UUAUAAUAUCUGAAUAAAACAGCGAUGGAAUGAAAGUAUGCUUGACUGGACUGAAUAAUUCAGUAGUUAUUUGUCGCUGCUCUGGGGAAUCAACCAUUUUAUUUCCAAAAAGGGGGGUAUGGCUUUUUGUUUUUUUGUUUUCACGACACAUUUUUUUAGUUUUUUAACUUGAUCAAUGUAUUUUUUCAUCAUCAAUUUGGAAAUCAGAAUAUUUUUUAAAAACAACCCUCCCUUUUGAAGUUAAAUUGCCAUUUCCUAAGAAGGCUGUUUUAUCUUUCAGUACUAAUGAGAUAGAAAAUGAAAGUACGAAGUUGAACAUUCCGAUUAUCGCGUAAUUGAAGUUCUUUAGAGGUUAUCAAACAAUAAAUUUUCAUUUUGACUCAUUUACAACGCAAAACCAAGUUGACCAGGAACCGAGGCAGCUUGAAGAAUAUAUCAAUACGCUCAAAUGUUGUCACCUGUCAGCAAUAAAACCAAUUGCCUUAAAAAAAAAUCAUUUCCAUGAAAGUUGCAUCAUCUGGCCUACAUGUCAACAGGCCAAAUGUCUGGCGUAAUAAAUUAACAUUCUGGUAUCUUUAAUGAGUUUCUACAUGUACGAUUGAUUUAAACUAAAAGUAUUAUACACUAUGAUGUAAAAUUAAAAUAAAAGCUAAGGUUACUUAACAGGGAUAAAAAUCAAAUGCAUGGGGGCGUAAAUUUACAAUCAUCGCUCACUUUUUAUCUUGUCAAAUGUAACUUCUGUUUUAGAGAAUUAAACAGUUUUUUUAGUUUUGUGUUGAAGAGACAAUGUCUAACUGUGUUUUGACUCCCGGACAUAUAUUGCAUUUGGGGAAUUCCUGAAAACUUCAAAAUUUCAAAGAGAGUUCAAAUAUUUACUUUGAUUGUAUCAGUGAUCUCACAACGAAAUGGUAGUAUAUCAAAUAAGGUUAUUCAUCCUGAGAGCUUUGUGUGUUCAAUAAACAAUACUGUAAACCAAUUUAUUUUUGCGGAUACUUUAUUUCGCGUUUAUCUCCAGCUAGUCUACUUCACGGCGAUUUAAUUUCGAGAUUUUCUAAUUAACUUGAUGUAGUUUAAUAAAGAUCCAAGUUAUAUAUAUUCGCGUUAUUUUUCUACUCUCGAAAGUCGGGAAAAUUGAUCGCUCGCGAAAUUAAGUUGGUUUACAGUAACUAAGUCAUAUUCUACUUAGUUAAAGUGAAUUACGUUAUAGCAGCUUGUCAUCAGCGAUUAUUAUUGAUUUCCACCCAAAGCUUUUAGCAUAUAGGUCUUAGUUUCAAAUAGAUUCUAUAAAUGUGUGUGAGUGUACUUUGUAUUAAAAGAAAUAUAAAUAAAAACAAAACAAACAAAAAAAAACAGACCAUAACAACUAUCUUUAUUUUAUCCUUUUUCAUUAACCAAAAUGUAUUUGAAAACUUCCGGAUUCAAAUAAAAACACAAUUUCGUACCUUCUUACAUAGGCAAGUAACGCGAUUUCAAUCGUAAUUACUGGUGCAGGUGAGUUCUGUGGUGCGAUUCGGACAUAAAAGAAGAAAAACUGACACCAUGGGUAAAUAGAAAGCAACUAACAGACAAACAAUAUAACACAAAUCACAACAAAAAACCUGAAGACUGAGCAACACGAACCCCACCAAAAACUAGGGAUUAUCUCAGGAAGGUUAAGCAACCCUUGCUCCACGUGGCACCCGUUACAUGUUAGUACAUACCCUGUAAAAAGUCAUAUUUACGGUUGAACUAUCAACGACCAAAUCAAAUCACCUGUUUAUAAUUUUCUAUUCCAAGCAAAAGCAGUUUCAAGUCAUAAAAAUGUUACUUCUUCAUUUGAAUCAUAGACAUCAAAGUUAUUGUGAAAAUAGCCCUUCUUUAAGCUGUCGUAAUGUUUUUUUUAAUAAUUUAAUAAAUGCUGAAGUAUGUACACAUUUAUUUUCAUCACUGACUAGUUUUUAUCAAAGGUUAUUUGUAUAAUAAUGUAUGCAGUAGUUUAACAGUCUUCUACUGAAAGAAAUAAUACACAAUAAAAUGAUAUAAAAAUUUACAUUAAAUUGUUCAUCAUAUUUUAAAAUCAUAAAUAAUAUAAUAAUGUCCAUAGUCAUACUUGAUGCUAAGUAUACUGAAAUCUAUUUGAAAGAUUUGAUAAAGUGUAUCUCAUCAUGAAGAGUGUAAUAAGCAGGAUAUCAUAUAAAAAAUAUCAAAUGCAGACUUUUUGAACUUGUAGUGAAGUUAGAAUGUUUGCCCUCUGCUGAAGGUGAAUUUGAGGUAUAAAAAAACAAUAAAUGUGAUUGGCUUGCUUUUUUUAUGUGCAAGUAGCAAUUUUUUUGUCAUUAAAUAAUAAUGCAUAUUUGUUCUUUUAAUCUAUUAUAAUUUAUUUAGUCCAUAUAAAACUUCACUUUCCUUACACUGAAUCCAUUGUAUCUUUUAUUAAAAGAGGCAAUAAGUGAUCUUUUUACUCUAAAGAAUGUAAAUAUCCUACCUCUUUGUUUCAUUUUUUUCUAAAUCUCAAUACAAACAUUGUUGCUGGCCAUAUGUUUACCAAGAACAGUAACAAUGUAAACAAUAACAAUUGUUAGUCAAAGACUCAAAAUAGGGAAACCCUUGAGCCAUCAUGAGAAAAGGGAACUUCAGGUUAUUAAAGGAUCUAGCUCAGAACUGUUCUAGAAAGUUGCUAAAUUACAGGCAAAAAAAAUAAAUUGCCAUCAUUGUACCGUUGAUAUUGACAUACAAUAAGAAGGAUGAACAUAUAGCUUGUUUAUUUUGGUUACCAGAACUUCACAAAAUCAUUAUAACAUAAAAAAAAAGCAGACUCGUUUAGAGGUUCCACUAUACACCUUUCUAAAAUGAUAGCAAUCAUCCUUGCUGUAAAAGAUGGGCUUCAAAAACAAUGAAAGAGGUAAACUCAACCAGCAGUAAUAUACAUUGAUUCUUAAAAAUUCUAUAAUUUCAUUACACUUUCAUUUACAUUUAGCAAUAAUGUCAACAAUAGUUCUACACUUAAUACAGUUUUUACUCAUGCUCAAAUGAUAAAAUCAACAUCAACCCAUUAAAGUUUUUUUUACUAAAAAUAAAAAUGUUAAUACGUCAAACUAUAACCUUUAACCUGAAUACCAGUUUCUCAAUCACCUACUAUUAUGUAUGGGUAGGAACAUACCACCUGCUCCAUUAUAAGGUGUUCACAUAUCUCUUUUGAUGUGUUACGGCAUGUUUGAUCAUAUUAUGAAUGCUUCACAAUUAGGAGUGUUUAAAUAAAGCAAAUCUUAUUCAGCAGGGUGAUUACAAAGAACUACUCUAAUUGACUCUACAUGAAUUUGAUGGUCAUACUCUCGAAUUGGUUGACUAAUAGAAUGUUUGUGUUACUCAACUCAUUAUUAUAGAUAUGGUUUAGAUCUAAAAAAAAAAAAAAAAAAAAAAGCAGAAGAAUCAUCUGAUUUGAAAAUAUUCUAAUUCAAUUCUGUCAUGAUAUUUUGACUAAGCCAGAAUUUGCAUUGUGUAAUGCUUCUAAUGUAUGAUUUGAUUUGAUUUGAUUUUUUUUGUUUUUAACGCCACUUUUAAGCACCGCAUUUAACCUAUUUUGUGGCUGCCAGUUUUUCUUGUGAGGGAAGUGUAGUGCCCGGAGACGAAUCCUAGUCAUUAAGAUUGGAGUAGAGUCCACCUGCACAAGCAUAUUUCGAACGCACAACCUCAGUGUUGACUGGCUAGUGUUUACAGUAGUAACUACUUAGACCACUUGGCACCAAGGCCCCUUGUAUGCUUAGAAGGAGAUGAUUACCCUGUCAAAGCAUCCAGUAUUGGUCCUUUCAGAGCUCAUGAGAUCAUUUUCACUUGAUAGUUAAAACCUGGAUCAACUCAUGGGUUGCAUUGCAAAGACAUGAAAUAGUUGAGACAGCUAAUCAUCUAUUCCAAUAAUGAUUGGGUCAACCAUUUUCCACAUUAUUGUUCUUUUAACACAUUAGAAAACACUAUAAUUUUAUAUGCCAUUAGAUCCUUUAAAUGAAACAGAUAAUCUAUCAAUAAACAAUAUACAAAACAAUAACAAUAAAAAUAUAGUUAAGCUUAAGACAGACACAUUUAAAUGAGGAGUGGUUAAACAUUUAACUUUGUUCUGUUUAACAGGAUCAUGUUGAAAAUGAGCAUCUACAUGUAUUCAUUUAAUAGAGCUAGAUAGAAUUAAAAAUUUAUGAAAGUGUCAUAAAAAUUCAAAUACAUUGGAGAAAAAAAUAUCAAACAUACAACUGACCACUGGAUGACAAUGAUAUACUUUGACAUGACCUUAACAAUUUAUCUUUAAAAUUUCAGUAGUUUAUUAUAAAAUAUAUAUGUCACACUGAAAAUGAACAACCAUACAAAGAUAGUAUAUCUAUUUAGUGACAUAAUGAGCUGACAUAUGAUUACUUAAAGAUUGAUAUGAGGCAUGGUGCUUCACAGAAUAUUCAUUCAUUAAAAAUAAAUGGAUAUAUACAUUGACGCAAGGGUUUGUUAUCCAUUGCAGAAAACAAAGCCCUGUACAAAAAGAGUUAGUUUUCUAACAUAAAAAAAUAUAUAAAGUUGCAUUUUAAAAGUAAAUUUCCCAAAAUUCUGUUGUAGUUAGUUCCCAGGAACUUUAAAGAACUUAAAAAUACACUGUAAAAAUUUGAAAAUACAUUUCAUGUCUUAAAUACAGUGAUUUCAUUAGCCAUCAUUAUACAUAUCCUUAUUUUAUACGGUUUACCCCAGUACAACAAUUCUGUAACUACUGUUUCUCAAAUUCUUCGUCAAUUUAUCCCACACUGCACCCAUUGUAUAAAAAAAAAUCAACGAGUGGUUCAUUUGAUCUCAGUUCUUCAUUGGUUCAAUUCUGAUUAUGACGUUGAAUUUUCUUGUGUUCCUCUGAAUUUCCUAUUGUGACGGCAUCAAAAAAGGCGACCAUGCCUGAUGACAUCAUACAGAAAGAACACAUCUUUUUGCAGAUCAGUUGCAAAGAAGGAAUAAGUUUGCCUGCAUAUUGUUUGAAAAUCAUUAAAGAAACAGAUUCCACCACCAAAUCUUGUGUAAUACUAUAUUUAUCCACUCUCGACAGUUAAAUUUUAAAUAUUUAAAAAGCUCAGCAAGCCUUGUGUUUUAAAUUUGAAAAUUUAACUGUCUCUAGUGGAUAAAUAUUGUAUCACACUUGAUGCAGUGGAAGAAUCUAUAUGUAUAUAUAAGUAGCAUGGUAGGAAAUAUGGACAGAUCUCUAUGUUUAGAACAGAUAUUGACUCAUUCUAACUUUUGAAAAAUUAACAUCCCCCAAAUAAGGCAGGAAUGUCAAAGUUGGAUUGUGAGAGCUUUUUAGCAUCAUUGGUUACUACAUGCAAUUCUAAUGUCAGAUAUAAACCAGUAUUUACCCUUCCUGUCAGAUUUUUAUAAAUAUUAUAUCUAAUACAAGUCAGUUAUCUGACAGCUGUCACAUAAACCAUAUUGGUUGGGCUUAUCUGGUGGUUAGUCACAAUAACAAAAUUUUUAAUGCAGUAAGUCAAAUUGACUGAUACUUUAUAUUGGUUGUUGUUGGUGUUUCAAUAGUAACUAUUCACAUUGAUUCACUACAUUCGAUUGGUUGUCGUCUUGGUUUCCACAAAUCUAAAAUUCCAACUAAAGGUUUGCCUAAGUUGACUUUUGGUCCUUCAUAUCUCUGUUUUGUCUCUGUAUUCACAACAAAUACUUGAACUUCUAAAUCUUUCUAAAAUUGAAAUAAAAAAAAAAAAAAUUGAUGUUAUUACAAUGAAUAAAUAAUAAUAAGUUAGUAUAUUUUAUAGCUUACUAUAAAGUAGGGUUAUGUUCAUUGCUAAAGGUUAUAUGGGACCUAUAGUUGUUUACAUCCUUGCACUUGUGGUUAAUGGUGGACAGCAAUUUUAUUGUCAUAUCUCUUAUUUUAAAUGUAUCUACCAUCAUUUAAAUUAACAAUUAACAUGAUUAAAGGCACUGUUGUAGGAUAAUGUCAUUUCUCAGGACCUUUUUAUGAUUUUCUUGAUAGAGGGUUACUGCUCACAAGGAAGCUAUCAUGGCUAUUUAACCAAGAGUUCCAAAUGGUGAAGUUGAAAUCAUCCCUUCAUAAGACGCCAUCACGAGUUGGUUGACCGUUAUGGAAUAACCGUUUCACAAAUGAUAUCGGAUAUGUUCCUUACGUCGUAACUACAAUCCCCUUCCCUUUCAUGGAUGUGACCUACCGAAUUAGACUUUUACGAUUUGUAAUCACAUAAGCAACACGACGGUGCCAAGGUGAGCAGGAUCUGCUUACCCUUCCGGAGCACCAGAUCACCCAGUUUUUGGUGGGGUUCAUGUUGUUUAGAUUUAUGAGUUUGACUGUCCCUUUGGUAUCUUUCGUCCCUCUUUUAUGGUUGAUUUGAAAUUCAUUUAUGAUAAUAGAGAUUAAAUCUAUCAUCUUUAAACAAAGGCAGCAUACAUUUUUUCUACAAAAUUUUUCACACUUAAUUAUCAGAAAAGUUAAAUAUUUUUCUACAUACUGUUAAUUUCUGCAAGUCUUGUAAAACAAUCUUUGUCUUAGGUGGGUCAUCAUGAACCUGACUAACACUCCCAAAUAUUGAUAUCGUCUGUAAAUAUAUACAAACUUUCUGAAUAAAUACACUGCCUGCCUCCAACUUGUUUUAGCUUGUAAAUAUGUUUUUCAGCUAGAUUUAAAUAAUAUUUUAAUGCAGAGUUAUGUAAAUUUUUCUGUGUUUGGUUUACAGUCAGACCAUCUGUUAAUAAUAAACCAAUCAUGUGUAAUUGGGUUGCUGUCACUAAGGUAUAGUCCUUAUAUCCUUUAAAUAUCUACCUAUGAAUAAUUCUGAUUCAUUUUUCCAAAUAUUUUUGAUAAAAAACAUUAUAUCUAUUAAAUAUUGUGAGCAUAUACAUGAUUUGGCUUGUUUAGGAAUUUGGAUACUUAUCAAAGCAUACACAGUGUAGUGUGAAAUGUAACAACCAUUUUGCCAAAAGAAAAAGAAAAGAAUAUCUACUCAUAAGAUAAGAACUGUGGUGAGUGAUAGUUUUCUAUACACCACUUGCAUAGCCCAAACCUAAAUCCAAAUCCCCAACCAGAAUGACAGAUCAUUUUAAGGUAAUUUUACCAAUAUUGAUGUAAUAUAGCUUCAAUAAUUUUAUAAAAAUCCAGGAAUUAUUCAUUUGGUAGAUUGUAAAUUCUUUUUUUACGUUUUGGUUGAGUGAACUAGAAUUCCUUGAAUGAGAUAAUUUUAGACAAUUAAUUGUCAGCAAAACUUGACAAACCAUUCCAUCAAAGGGAUAUUGCAAUCACAUUGAGGAAUACAGUUUUGAGCACUAUAUUGUAUUGCAAGAACUUAUGACUCAAAGUCCGUUCUUUUGGUUUAUGUUCAUUUAAUUUUAUGUUCAUUUAAUUUUUUGAAGCAUAUAAACAUCAGAUUUCUUAACUGCCAAUGAUAAUCUAUUAAUGGCAUACUGUUGAUAAAAGUCAUAUUCAGAGAGUUUCUUUAAAUUAUAAUGUUAUGGAAAUCAAUAUUGUAUAUGUAUAUAUUAAACAAACACAUGAUUUGGUUUACCAUCAUUCACGUGUAAAUAAGUCAAAUUAGUUAUGCAAUAGCAAUACUCAAUUUGUUUAAAAUAUAUUUUACAUGCAUUUCUAUUUGUUAACUAAACUGUUGUAACAAUUAAUUGAUUUGGUGUAUUAAAAUUUUCUUUCGAAAUCCAUUUUCACAUUUUAUAUUCCAGUGACGGUUGUUUACAUUCCUUUCACAUUUCCCCCCUCACAUCUGCACAAUGUAGUUGCAGAAGUUCUUUCCAGUGGUCUUGUGUUUAAGGUCAAUUUACACAGAAAAGCUAUCGAUGAAUAAGCGUACUGGACAACAAUAGUUAAAUAGCAGAGCAUUUCUAAAAAUUUUGAUUAAAUAAGGAUUUUCUUGUAAUGAAAGUUUAUGUACAUGUGUUUUAUAUAAAAACUUGUCUCAUUGGCAUCUUUCCACAUCUUCUUUCUUAUAUUAGCUAUUCAAGUAUAAGAAUAAGAAUAAGAAUACUUUAUUAAUCCAAUUAUGGACCCUUGCAGGUUUUAAAUUUCAUCUGAUUACAAUGAUUUGUGUUAUAACAAUGAAAUAAUAAAAUGAAAUACAUGACAAUAGAACACUGAACAGUUAUUGCGUGCACAUGGAAGAGAAAGUAAUAUGGGAGACAAUCAAUUUAUGUAAGGAUUAUUCCCCUUUAAACAGAUAUGGCACCAACUGAUUAGAUAUAAGGGUAUUUUUCUCCCAUGUAAACACAGCAACCAAUUACUAGAAAUUAAUGUAUAUAAUUAUAUUUCUUUCACAAUUGCAAGAAUAUGAUAAGCACAUUAGAGUAUAUAAAACAUAUGACUUUAAGUUCAGCUUUUGACACCUACAUUGUAAGUCUGAUAUUAUUCAUUUGUUUUGUACAGUUUUUUAUUUGUGUAUUUAUAUGAUAUUCUCUGUGGAGUAUUCUAUUGUUCACAUAUCCAAUAUUACAAAUAAAUAAUCAUUACAACAGAUAAUAACAUAAGCAGUACCAAUUUUUCUGCACAAGAUGCAAAUUUUGACAAUCAAUGUCCCUUCAGCGAUGCUCAUUAAAAAUAUGAAGAGCUAUAAACAAAAAAGAACUAAAAAACAUGGCCAAAGCCAGGCAAGUAACCAAAGCUUUGCAUGGGUGAGAUAUAUUCCUUAUUUCAAAUAAUUCCAAAAUUUGGCAAGUAAAUUUAAAUAACAUAAAAAUCUGUAUUUUCAUGCCAGUACCAAAGUACCAAAGUACUGGCUACUGGGCUGGUGAUACCCUCUGGACUAUCAGAUCACAAGCAGAGGUAAGACCAUAAGUUAUGUAUGACUGAGGACAAAUACUGGUCCAUUGUAUUUAUAAAGUUGACACUGAUGAUUAACUGACGGUUUGUAAACACUUUAUGUCUUCCCUGUGUGAAGGAUAAAUAGAGGAUAGAGUGCAUGAAUUUUCUUUUUUUCUAAAUGAAGCUCAUUUUAACUUCCUAAUAUGGUGUUGACAGAAGGUGUUGAAAAAUUUAGAGAUGAAACAAUAUAAUAUAGUCAAUAAUGUGUUAAUCACACAAUUAUAAGUAUUAAUUAAGCACAUUACACCUUACCAGAAAAACCUGAAACAGCAAUUGUAUGUCACAAUUUGUUCUUAAAUCAAUUAUACAUCUUUUAAAGCCUUCCCCCUAUUAUACAUACAUGGGGGUAGGAGGGGUCCUGAUCCCGAAAUACCGGUCUUAAAAACAUGAAAUCCAGAGGUCCCGAAUUUAGAUAAAUUUAAAUCCCGACAUCCCGACAUGGGAAUAAAGAAAUGCCAGAUCCCAAAAGGGUCAAUCCCGAAAUUCUGAUCUUAAAAACACCCGAUCCAAGAGUCUCAAUAGAGGUCCUUCCCCCCCCCCCCUUAUAUAUAAAUAAAAGAAGAUGAAGGGUAUGCACCAACGAGAAAACAAGCGAACAACACAAAUACCCCAAAAGACAUCUAAUGGAACAAUACUAAAAAUUGCAUUUAGUACCCAUUUUGCAUACAAAAUGACAGAUAUCUUAUAUGUUAUUCUGAGAGACUUUAUAAUUUGUAUCUUUUAUAAUUUAUCUACAUAGUUUAAUAUUCUUAAAGAUACACAAAACACUCAUCCUAUAUCAACUGAUGAAGUAGACCGAAUAAUCUAUCUCUUGAGUGGGUACAUUUGUCAUUUCAUAUUUUCUUUUCAUCAUUUGGCUAUUUAAUUUGUUUUUUAAUUUUUUUGUGUCCGUGUGGUGACGAAGUCUCCAGUUAAAAAAGUUAAAGACAGCAACCCAAUGACACACCAAAAAAUAAAAACAAUGAGAGGUCAGAUGUGGAAACAAAAAUUGUGUAUUUCAGUCUCAUUUGGCAUAAGUUUGGCUAAAUGAUAAUUAGGUUAUUUCUAAUGAUGAUUAACAUAAUUAUAAAACAAGUGUGUAGAUAAGGUUAAUCAUCAGUGACUGUAUAAUAUACCACAAAUGUGAUCAGCAUGACUGUACACCAUUAUAUAUGUCAGAUAAAAGAUUAAUUUACCUUGGGUAAAUGAGCAAUACAUCCUAAAUGAUACUUUAGGGACUUCCCCAUUGUCAUCGGCAUAACUGUACAGAAUAUUGUCAGCAUAUUAGAGAAUUCUGUCUGAAACUCUAACAACACUUUCCCCUUUAUUGCAGGAAUUUCUAUCUCUUUUGAUGGUGGCUUUUCUAAAAAAAAAAAAAACAUUUAUAAUUAUGUUAUUACCUCUAUCAAAUAUACUUGAUUCUAAUAUGACGUGCUUCUUUCUCUUUGUGAAUAAACCAAUGCUCUAAAUCCAAUAAAACGUGUUUGCACAUCAUAUAUUGACUACUGCAGAAUAAUGAAUUUUAUCAAAUUGGCAUGCAUUUGAUAUAUUUCAUGAACUUAAAAUACUUCCAAACUCGUUUAAAUGGUGCACAUAGUUGUUACUAAUUCAUUUAUUAUGAUGGUAAUGUGUUGCAAUUGGAGAUUGACAUAUUUGACCUAGAUACGACAUCUGUUCAUGCUGGCUGUUUACACCCAUCUGAAAAAUCACAAUGCCAGUCAUUUGCUUGUUUACAAACAAAAAAGGGAAUUUCAUGGAAGAGCCUACACAAACCUUCUACACUUAUACACAUUGGACAUAGAAAUUACCUAAAUUGUCCUAAUCAGAAUCGAAAUUAUUGAUGCAGGCUAUUCUUUAAUGUAGUUUUAACAUAAGUUAGUAGGCAUUAUAUUAGUGUUAUUUUAGCCCUUACUAUCGCUCGGGCAAAAAUAAUCACGAAUAUAAUGCCUACCCAUGUUAAAAUUACAAUAAAGUAUAGCUUGCAUCAAUUAUUUCUUAGAUAGAAUAUUAUUUCUUUUGUAUGUGUCCUUUAUACUUCAAAUGCAAAUUCUGGUGAUGAGUUCCCAUAUAACACAGUUAAAUAUAGUAUACUUCAACAGUCAUUCUUCGUAGGAUAAACUAAACUAUGAUGACAUCAUUGUCAUCUCUUCAAAUUCAUAUUUUAUUUCAAACCACUAUCACAAUAUUUCUAAUAUCAAAGUCGUAAUUCUGUCCUUCUUACUAAUGAAAAUAUGCCUUACUCUUGAAAACUAUUAAUUCAACAUUCUGAAUGAGAAAUUAACAGAUAGGUGAACAAGAAGUGUUAACAAUAUGCAUCAGUUGGUUUAUCUUUUAACAUGUUAACUUAAUAUUUUUAAUUGCCGUCAAACUUUUCUUAUACUUCUUCCCAAAUUUAGGCUAGCAUAUUAGUUUAAGGUUUGUGAUGUAUACUUUCAGAGAAACCAUUUAUCAGUCCAGGAAAGGUCUAGGUCCAAAUAAGUAAGACUCACCAUGAGCAUUGUUCCACAGUAAUGUUCUCUGAUUAUAAGCUUUAGUAUGGCCUUUUGUAGAUAUCCUAUCUGCGAGCGAUCGUCUAGGUUGUAAUAAGUUAGACUUAAUUUCUGGUAUCUGAAUGUGAUAGUAUUGAGAUUCCUUUCCUAUAUCUGAAAAAGAAUUAAUCAAGAAUAUUAUAUGGCUGUUUCAAUAUCACAUCUCUAUCCACUUGAGACACCAAUAUAUUCAAAAAGUCAUACCAUACACACUUAAAUAUAUACUUUUAAAACACAGGUGUUUUUAUGUUGUGUUUUGGUAAAGCAUUCCACCUGGAACUGAUAUCAAAAGGUGGUCGAUACAGAAAGAUUGACACUGGUAAUAUAAUAUGCAUACAAUCUUCUUCCACCUGAAACUGAUAUCAAAAGGUGGUUGAUACAGAAAGAUUAAUACUGGUUAUAUAAUGCAUCCAAUCUACUUGUAUUCACUAUUUGGUAUGUAAAAAAAUAAAAUAUUUACUGCAUAAAAAAAGCAAAAUAAAAUUUCAGUGUGUUUAGUUUUAACAAAUUGUAAUUCAGCAUGUACAGUAAAUAUUUUUCUAAUAAAACAAUUGAGAUUUUUUUUUAAUCAUGCAAUACAACAUAGCAAAGUUCUUUCAUUACAAUGUGCAGUGGUUGUCAUAAACAUCUAAAAUAAUAGUCUGGAUGGACAGGAAUAAACAUGAAAGAAAAAUAUUGACAGCCAUAUUUGUCAAUUUGGUUUUGGAUGUACAAAAGGAUGCUUAAAGGUUGUACAGUGACCUAUAGUUGCUAGUUUCUUUGUCAUGUGGUUUAUGGCAGGAGUUGUCUCAUUGGCUUUCAUACCACAUAUUUUUUAAAUUUUUAUAUCAAUGGCAAAACAUUAAAAAAACUAUAUAUGUUGCCCUGGAUACCCUUCUCAACAUGUUUUUCCUAUUUUACAUUUUCCCAUUCUAAGGACAUGUACAUGUUGAAGUAUAAUGUUUUGAAAAUCUUUGAACCAUACCUUCUUGAACACUUGUAAAAACAUCUAAAACACUCAUCUGUUUUGGAAGAUAUUUCUUCAAAUAUUUGACUAAUAUUCCAUUAUGAAUAUCUUCAUAGGCGUACAUUCCUUUGCUCCUAUAAAGAAAAUAAGUGUGAAUACAAAUGAUCAUGACUAAAUUAUAAAGCAUGUAAUGGUUAGCACGUCAAAUUUCAUUUCAGGUGAAUAUUUUUAGUAGACAAAUUGUUGCAUUUUUGCUUCAUAAAUAAUGUAAUCAUUAAAAGAUGGUUAAAAAUCUGGAAAUUAUAUCUUAUGUAUAUUCUAAUCCUCUUAUAAUACUCUGUGAAAUAACUAAAUCUUACGUGGCAUAGCAGAAUACUGUGUUGCCUUUCAUUGGAAUGUUGCUUAGAUUAGAACACAUUGCAUCCUGCUCUCGAUUUGUAGGUGGUUGUAAAUUCCUGAAAAUAAAUCAUUAUCUGUAUUAACCAGUAUUAUAAUACAACAGAUUAUCAUUUAUGGAUAAAUCUUUUUAAAACAAAGAAGUACCACAUAAUAAAAACAUUACAAAAAAAGAUAUGCAGUCAAACCUGUUAUAAAGGGCACUUCUAUGAGGUGAAAACAUGUCAGUAUGGUCACCUUUUUUUGUAGUAAAAUUCUAUGCAUUGUUAACCUAAAUCCACAGGUUACCUCUAUGAAAACGUCAGUUUCCUCAGGGUGACCUUUCAUAUACAUGUUGAAGUGUACAAUAGAAACCAAGAAAAGAUUUUCAGGUAUACAAUAUGACAUACUAAAGUUGGAAUUUUUAUUCUUUACAAAUUCUACAGUAAGAGGAUGAUACUAUAGGUAUUUAAGAUAACAUACCUGAUUCUACAGAUGUCAAGUAUGAGUACGAUAAGAGCUGGUGAUGUUUCUGUGUAAUUCUGCAUCUGACUUAACACAUCCUCAGCGCAUACACAGUCUUCUAUUGUAUAUCCAUGUCUAGCAUCAGGAGGAACGAGGUAACAUUUAGCUUCCUCCUCAAAACCAUGUCCACAAAAAUAAAAUACAGCGUAUACCUCACUACCUAUCAGUUUUACAAAUUCCUCAACGGCAGACUGCAUUUCCAAUUUUGUUAAAUUAAGAAGAGAAACGACUUUGAAGUCUAAACUUCUGAAAAUUUCAGCCAUGGUGUAAACAUCAGACUUUGGAGCACUUAAUGGUGACUCACAUCGAUAGUCAAAGUUUCCAAUAAGUAGAGCAACUUUGUCACUAGCUGAAAAGAUUUUUAAAAUUCUGUAAUAAUGUUGCAUCAAUAGAGGGGGAAAAGCACUUCUAUUAUAGUAUAAUUUGUAUAACUUUUUUACCAAACAGUUUAAUAUAAACAGCUAUAUAUAUAUAUAUAUAUAUAUAUAUAUAUAUAUAUAUACUAUAUAUAUAUAUAUAUAUAUAUAUAUAUAUAUAUAUAUAUAUAUAUAUAUAUAUAUAUAUAUAUAUAUAUAUUUAUACAUCUAUUAAAAAAUUGGAGGACUGUUGAAAUUCAAAAGGACAUAAAUUAAACUCUCUGUUUGGCAUUAUAAAUUAAUAGAAUUCACAGACACCAUUUUCAAAGGGAAAAACCAUAUUCAUAAGGGACAACUAAAGUUUAAGACAAGUUAUAACAAAACUUGGUUCUAAUCUUUAUCAAAAAAAUCUACGCUUCUGAAACUUACCAAAAUUAACCCGAAAAUUUUGUGAAGAGACCAAAACUUAUUGAUAAGGUAUUUUAAGUAAAAUAUGGGGUCAAACUCUAAUUUGGAAAAAAAGAAAAGAAACACCAUCAUAGGGCACAUGUAUACUAAGUUUGUCUGAUUGGACAACUCAAAAACUUGACCAAACAAAAAAAACCCACCACCUUCAACCAACGACAACGAAACAGUAAGACACAAUGAACGGAACGCACACAAGAAAAAACAUAAAUGCCCCUCUACUAUCGUAGGUGGGGCAUAAAAAUAGCAACUUUUUGCAAUUACUAAUCAUUAACAUAAUUAACACUUUAUAGUUAAUUCUGAACAACACAUUUUAUAAUGGCUAAUAGAUAUAUAUACUAUCUAAACUACAUUUUUGUACCUCGACCUCUACUACAGUAGACUGAUAGACGAGUAAAAUAGUUUUUUUAAAUGAUUAUGUUUUACACAGCACAUAUCUGGUAAUCUAAUUUGGCACUUAUUAUUUAUUAAUUUAUUUGUAUAAAAUAUUCUGUACUUCUAAAUUUAAUCUACUGUUAUAUCAUAAUUGUGUAUUUGUAUAUUCCAUUCAGUAUGUGAACCAAAGGGGAGAUAACUUGGUUUUUUUUACCUAAGGGAUAAGGUUGAGUUGUUAUUAUAAUAUUAAUUUCCAUGAGAUGUAUACCUGCAAGCAUAUAAUUUGAUCACAAUCAUUGCCACACUAUCUUACUGAGAAAGAAGCAACCUGCUGAAACCAAGGAAUUUUUUCAGUAUCAGUUUUCCUGCUUAACCUGAGUAGUUUGAUAAAUGAUUUAAGUCUAUAUACAUGUAUGUGUUAUACAGUGAUUGCAUAUGAAACUUAUUUUAGGCAAAAUGCGCAAUUAGCUCUGUAUUUUUUACAAUUAAAUGUAUGAUGUUUUAUUGUCUAGGGUACUUACGAUUGAACUCUGGUUUAUCAUUGGUCUUUAUAGAUAGACUGGCAGGGUAUGACAACCUGAUAUUUUUUGUUCCUGGUAUGGAAACCAUACAUGUGUACAAACCCUGGUGGUCAUAAUUCUGUAUUUUCUUCAAUACUAGAGAUGGUUUUAUUUCACCUUAAAAGAAAAACAAACAAAGUAUUAGCUAAGUUAUGAACUUUAUGGAUUGUAGUGAAAGAAAGUGAUUUUUGUCAUAAUUAAUUUGUAUAACCUAGCUUUUGGUUUUGUGAUGACUGUGAUUUACUCAAAUCCUAAUGAUUUUUGGUAGGCUAAUGGGCACUGCAACCUUGACCUUUAAACUACUGACACAAACAAAUAGUGGUCUUGUGUUUGGUAAAGGUUGGAUACAUGGUUCUAAAAAUAUAAUUUGGAAACUAAAAAUGUGGUGCAGUUACAGUUUACCUCUUGGCUCUUAGUGUGGCAAUUUUGUAAAACAUUGCAUGAUAGGCAAACAAAAUUUUUCUUUCGCUUAUUCAUAUCAUACUUUGUUCAGUGUGAUGUGACAGACAUAUCUGGACUUAACAUCUAAGAAUAUAACUUAUAAGCUGCAUUGCUUUUUGAAAAAUAACUUGAGAUGUUCUACAUUUGCCUUUACAUCAAAUAAUCUUAUCCUAAAUAGGAACACCAUCAUUUAACUUAUUAUAUAAGAGUUACGCAAAAACUAGUAAAACGUACCCUCAAUAGGAACACCAUCUUUUAACCACUGGUACACUAGAGGUAUGCUACAUCUUGCCUCACAACUAAAUAAACAAUCCCCACCAAACUCUAUAAUAACUGUUUUAGGAUUAGAUAUAAUCUCUAUCUCUGUAACAAAGAAAUGAGAACAUUAUAGACACAAUUUGUCAUUUUGAAUUAGUAGUUUCCAUAUGUAUGGUAAAACAAUGGGUAUACAAAUGAGUCAUUACUGGUAAAACAUUAGGGAUAAAAUUCAGUCAAUAUCGGUGAAAUGUGAGUAAACAAAUCAGUCAAACAUCUUCUUCUGUUAUUUCAGAAAUCCAUUUUUUAUUGUAAUCAUUGACUAACUUUUAUCAUUACAAGAAUAAAGAAUGCAAGUUUUAUACCCAACAGUCUUCCUUACAAAUUAUGAAUUUAAUGUAAUAUUCAUAUACUGACCUGUUGGUCCUACAGGGUCAACUAAUGGCUCUUCAGCUUAAAAUAAUAAAAAUAUUAAAUUUGUUAUACAAAUGAAGUUUCAUCAGCUAUUAUUAAAUUUUACCAUAAAGUAGUUAUUUUCAAAGGACACUUGUCUCAAUUCUAACUUGGAAUCUUAAUUUUUAUUAGCUAUUUAGGGCUUUGCUUUUAUUGUAGUCAAUACUUUCAAACCUUAUGCACAUUACAAAGAGAAAAAAAUAAAAUCUAAAGCAUUCUGGGUAAUAUUUUCAAUAUUUCACAUCAAAUCAUUAUAAUUGGUUAACAAUAAUAUUAUCAAUGAACAUUCAACGAAUGGUAUAACAUGGUUAUCAUCUGGCGCACAAACAACGCAAUCACCACUGUACUUCAGAAUCAGACAGGUGAAUGGAACAUUUCAGUCUUUAAUUUAAACGUUUUCCUUAAUGAAUAUUUUCACCCACAGAAAUGUUACUGUAAUUUCGAUUUGGACCAUUAUCUACAAAGGCAAUUAAAAUGCUUAUAUAUAAAUAUUCACAGUUACUCUUCCUUUUUAGAUAGGAACAUUCUGAAUGAUAAAUUGUUCUCAUGUACAUGUAUCAGUAUUUUCUUAUCUUUCUAUAUUGACAAAAUACAAUAAAACUUACUUUUACCCAACAUAACUGUUACUUUUACUACAUCACUCAUUGUUUCACCUAACUGGUUCCUGGCUCGGCAUUCAUAUGUUCCCAUAUCUGCUUUAUAUGCAGCUUUCACCUGGAGCAGACACAUUCAUUAGUUUAUUAAUUUGUUGAUAUUUAAUAUGAAAUAAUAGAAUACUAGUUACUUUUACACUUCCUGUUAACUGUCUCUGCACUUUAUACUUUCUGAACAAUUUUUGGUUAUGAUACUUAAGUUAAUGUGUUUGAGUUUCACCAAGUUUUUAACACUUCCAUUCAAAUGAUUUGCCAGACAGACACAUUUAAAUGUCCAUACUUAUUGCUUUGCUUUAUCACAUCCAGCUCUGGUUUGUAUUUUGUUUUUCUACAGUAAAACAAAUUUGUUUAUAACAAAAGCUGUGUUUUAAAUCUUAGAAGUGAAUGCAUAUUACUCAGAGCUGUUCUGUUAUCUUAGUUAUGUAUACUCUUUCUUGUCAUUAUUGGAAGAAUUCUUAACAUUUAUCUGAGCACUUCUUUCUUGUAAAAAAUAUAUUUUUGCAUUUAAAACAAAACAAUGUUAAAAACUAUUCUGAAAAUCUGAAGUAUUUCAGAAUUUUUUUGUUGUUUAUUUUCUGAUGCUGUGUAGUUUUUCUGCAUUCAAAUUAUUUUUUAAGUUUAUUAAAAUUAAUUAUGAAUUUUCGUAUUUAUUUUUUAUGUUUGUCAUUCUAUAUUUUUUAGUCUAAAUUUAUUAAUUUCACAAAUAAAUUACCUCAUAAAAUGGCUGAUCAGAUCUUUUAAUUAUCUCAUGGUUUUUAUACCAAUCAUAAAUGACAGGAUAUUUACUAAGAACUCGACAUUCUAGAAUAAAACCAUCACAAAUCUGUACAGUAACGUUUUUAGGUUGUACUUCAAAUGAUGGAAUCAAAUCUGUAAACAAAAAAAAACAUAUAUAUAUAUAUAUAUUACUUUUCAGUCUUUUUUUAUCUUGGGGCUCAACUCCUAUCAAAUAUAUUCAAACUAACACUAACCCUUACACUUGUCCUAAUUCUUCAAUCUCAUCCUCACAUAAAAAAAAUGUAAACUUCUUUCAUUAUUUUGUACAUUAAUCAGGCCAUCAGUUUUUUCGUUUGAAUUGUUUUAAUCAAAGGUGAUACAUUUGUAGCUGCUUGGGUCUGUUGUUGACAUGAAGUCAUUUGCUAGUUCAAAAUUUUUUUUUCAAUCAAUAAUAUAAAUUGAUCUGAUAUUGCGCAUAUGAUAUCUGUGAUAGCAUUAUUUGUGAAGUAGGAAUUAUCAUACACAUUUAAAGUCUUACCAUAUCUAGAUGGUCUAUCAUCAAAGGUAUCUCUAUCUGUAAUACAAAAAACAUGAUAUUAUCCAGUUUUAUAUGUAAAAGUUUAACAUUUCUUUACAUUCAGAAUAUUUGAUAAAGUUACUUUUACUUGUUACUGUUUGUCCUAUUCUAAAUAAACAAACACUAAUAGUGUUAAAAAAUAAUUAAGAUACCAAUGUAUGUGUGCAAGACAUGUUUCUAGAACAAAUUUCAUCAGAUAUGUACGAUAAUAAAAAAAAACUUCGGUAAAAAUAAAAUCCAAACUGCCUUCAUAGAAGAAUCUAAACAGUCUGAAGUGACUUCAUCUGUUUGAGCUACAACCUUGAAUUAAGUACAAUUACAUUCACUACAGAUAUAAAAUUUAAACCUUUAUUCAAUAGAAUUGUUAGUUUCCUGCCGAAUGUUGGUAAAUCUCCCAAGCACCUCUGCUUCCUCCAUCUAUAAAAACUGUGAAAUUUACCAAUAGUGCUAUAGGUGGUGUUUUACAACAAUCAAUCAAUCAUAUGGUAUAAAGCUUUAACAUUAAAUUCCUCCAAAGUUUAAAAGAGGGUCACAUGUAUGGAAGAAAUAUGUUUUAUUGUGUUAUGGAGUAAAUAUCAGUUUAUACGUACAUGCCACAGGGUCCUUACUCAUCUCUACAGUUACUGUAGACUGCUCUGUAAAUUCUACUUGUGAGUUAAUAUCUCCAUUGUGUAGUCGACAACAGUACACACCUGCAUCUGAUGUACUGUAAAGAUAAACAAUAUCAUUUUACAUUGUAGGCAUGUAUAACUUUAUGUUGUACACAAGUAUAAAUGUAUAUUGUAUACAUGUCUUCCCAUGUGGUGUACACGUGUAUAACUAUUUGUUGUUAUGUUGUACACAUGAAUAACUACAUGCUGUUAUGUUGUACACAUUUAGAACUAAAUUUGGGCACAUGAAUAAAUAUAUGUUGUUCACAUGUAUAACUUUAUUUAUCUUUGUAAUGCUACUGACCGUGCACGAUCCUCAUGGAUAUUUAAGGUUAUUAAACAUCCCCUAUUAUUAGCACUUUAUAUACAAUAUGUUGUACUGUUUACACAUGUAUGCCUAUAUGUUGUAAAUAUGUAUAACUGCUUUGAGUUUUACAUGUACAUGAAUAACUACAUAUUGCACACAUGUUUGACUAUUUAACAAAUGUAAAAUAUACAAAAGGGUAAUUUGUGAUUGAAUGUGCCUAAUAGUAUGGUCACUAGUGAAUAUUUUUCUAUAUUUGAAUUCUUCAAAUAUUAAUCUAUAACUUUGUAUAUCAUACCUGACAUUUCUAAUUCUGAGUAUGCUGCUUUUUUCUUUAUCUAAGAUAUCCCAGUCCUUUUUAUUCUCUUUGAACCACUGGUAUCGAGGAUAAGGGAAACCUAUAGCUUUGACUUCUAGUUCUAAAACUUCUCCUUUGUUUACAGUUUUUCUUUCAGCUGGUUGAUUAAUAAUCACAAUUGGCUCUGAAAUUUACCAUAAUUCAUACAGUGCAAAUGUAUUGUGGAUUCAUAAUUACCGGAUAUUCGUGGAAUACUAAUUUUCAGAGGUAGAGAUAAAGAAUGAAUUUAAAUGUUUAAUAAAUUUUGCAUUUGAGUUCACAACAAUACUACAUAUAAUGGAUAAAAAUAUAUAUUGAACAGUACAAGACCACAUCAAUAAUCACUUUAUUUUACAAAAAUUUCUGCGGGUAUAGAUAAACAACAAAUUUGAUUGAUUAACAACAUAAUGAAAUCAAAUAUCCAUUAAAAUGAAAGUUUUCUUCAAUCCAGGAAAAUCGGAACCCACCGAAAUAAAUGAAUCCACAGUAUUAUGAGUAAAUAUUAUAUCUCUUAUUAUUCUUAUAUAGAUUGCCCUAUUUUGAUUUAUGAUAUAAAUGUAUGGUAAUUAUUUAAGUGACCUAAACAACUGCUUUUGGAACUAUCCUCAUCUGCUACUAGUUAAUCAGACAAAAUUUUAAGGAGUCAAAUAUCAACAUAUAAGGGUAUAAAAUGGAAAAAUAACCAUAAAAGAUAGAAAAGUAACGUAACAGGAACUAUAAACUGUUAAUUAAGAUAUAUUUUUUUUUUAAUUGGACAGAAUGCCAGAUUAUUAUGAUUUAUUGGGAUUUGAGGAAAAUCCCCAUGAAUACAUAUUUAUAUUUAAAAAGAUAUCACAUUGUGAGUUCUUAUUAUUGUGAUUUUCACCUAGCCAGGAUGUUAUAUGCAUUAACAAAAAAAUCACAAUAAUUUAGAAUUUAAUACAAUAUAAUUAGUCUUAACUUACCAUAUUUCUUUAUAUCCAUAAGAACACUUUCCAACUUUAACUUAUCUAGACAGUCAACUAGCUCAGCGGCAGUCAUUCCCAUGGAUCCAAGUUCCCAUAACAUCUUAUUGCUGGGACUACCAUGGUAAACUUGGCUUCCAAACUUUCUCUCUACAUCUGCACUACUGUUUGAAGAAAAUAGGGGUACUCAAAUAAUUCAAUUUCAGACAUUGUAAAUACCUAUAACUAUGUGUAUGAUGGAGAUUGAUGGUUGUCUUAGAAGUUUGAGGUAUAUUUUCUGAAUUUUUUUAUGUUUUGUACACUUAUUACAAUGUAUCAUAAUUGGGAUAAUUUUCAUGUUUUGUACACUUAUUACAAUGUAUCAUAAUUGGAAUUUUCAUGUUUUGUACACUUAUUACAAUGUAUCAUAAUUGGGAUAAUUUUCAUGUUUUGUACACUUAUUACAAUGUAUCAUAAUUGUGAUAAUUUUCAUGUUUUGUACACUUAUUACAUGUAUCAUAAUUGGGAUAUUUUUUCAUGUUUUGUACACUUAUUACAAUGUAUCAUAAUUGGGAUAAUUUUCAUGUUUUGUACACACUUAUUACAAUGUAUCAUAAUUGGGAUAAUUUUUCAUGUUUUGUACACUUAUUCAAUGUAUCAUAAUUGGGAUAAAUUUUCAUGUUUUGUACACUUAUUACAAUGUAUCAUAAUUGGGAUAAAUUUCAUGUUUUGUACACUUAUUACAAUGUAUCAUAAUUGGGAUAAUUUUCAUGUUUUGUACACUUAUUACAAUGUAUCAUAAUUGGGAUAAUUUUCAUGUUUUGUACACUUAUUACAAUGUAUCAUAAUUGGGAUAAAUUUCAUGUUUUGUACACUUAUUACAAUGUAUCAUAAUUAGGAUAAUUUUCAUGUUUUGUACACUUAUUACAAUGUAUCAUAAUUGGGAUAAUUUUCAUGUUUUGUACACUUAUUAUGAUAAGUUUGAUGUUUGGAUGUUAAUUAUAUAAUUUUGAUAUAUUCAAUUUGGUUUUUGAUAGAUUUUUAUAUUUAUUUGUAACUUUACUUGGCCUUCAUUGUUGAAGAUCAAUAUUAUUAUUAUUUUCUAUUGUGAUCUGUAUCAUGAAGAUCUGCCACAUAUGAAUAAAACAAGAUGCAGGUAAUAAAACAAAAACGAGACAGAAAUCUUAACACAAUAAUAGUUAGGACAUAUUUUUCCAUAUAUUUUAUUUACAUAAAAAACCAGAAAACUUUGCAUUUGAAUGAAGUUUUGCCUCUAAUUGUUGAAGAUAAUUUUUUUUACACAUCAAUCACUGUUUGUUAUAAGGUAGAUCUAUCUUUUGGAUUCAAAAUCUCUUCAUUAUGAUUGUAUUUUUAAAUAAAAUUAAACAAGAAAGUACUGCUUAUCAAAUCAUAUUGCAACAUGUGAACUGUAAAUCUAAAGAUCAUUUUAUUAUAUUCAGCAAUAAACAAAUUUCCCAAAUCUAUGUUGCAAAUGAACCAAGUGUGAAAAAUCCAAGAAGAUAGGAGCCAUAUAUGCCUUUAUUCACCUGUGUAUAUGUUCCACAGGACGGCUGGACCAUCAUCACAUUGAAUAUAUAUUAUACAAUAGUUACCUAAAUCUAUAAUUUGGAUUAUCAGCUGCCUUAUCUAACAAUGCUCUCCAGUUACAUGUUUCUGGGUUAGAAUCUAGAUCAUCACGUAAUUUGAGCAUAAAUUUACUUGAUAAUUCACCAAUAUUGGUAUCUGGGUGGACAUGUAGUCGUCUACAAUGCUCACGAUUCAUCAUAAAUCAAGCAUACCUGAAAAAUAGAGCAUAAUUUAAGUACAGUAUACCUUCAGAGCUCCAGAUAAGAAUUCACAAAUUGGGUUUUUUACCCACCAUUUUCUUAUAUAAUUGGGUGAUAAAGUUUUUUAAUUGCAUUAUCAAUUCCAAUUCACCCCUCAUAUUAAUAUUACGUUUUUCACCACAAAGCUCCUUAAUGUAUUGGGUUUUUUCAUCAACACAAUAUUGAAUAUUUAGGCAAUAUCAACCCCAAAUUUUUUCCCAUCUUAAAUAUGUUUCUUUCUUUAAUUUGUUAAGCUGUUUUAUUUGGUUUAGGGUUAGGGUUAUUUGCUAGCUGUUUUAUUUGGUUUAUUCACUGAGGAGCAAUUGUAGGUUUAAUUUGUGUUCCGUUUCAAACCUUCUGCCAGUUUUGUAUUUUCUCAUAUAAACUGUAAAAAUCAAAGUGCUGGAUAGCACCUAUGGAAAGUUUGCAACUGUAUAUGUGUAUUAUCUCAAAUAGGUUAUAGACGUGUAUUAUUUCAAAUAUGUAUUUAACCACAGUGUUGAUUUUUCAAACUAAUCCAUUGUCUCGCCAGCAAUUUCCAAAAAUCACUGUUCAUUGCCCAUUUAUGGGCAUUAUGUUUUCUGGUUUGUGCGUCUGUUCGUCUUUCCGUCCUUCUGUCCGUUCGUCUGUCCCAUUCGGGUUAAAGUUUUUGGUUGAGGUAGUUUUUGAUGAGGUCGAAGUCCAAUCAAUUUAAAACUUAGUACACACUAGAACACACCUGUGAUGUCGCGGGUCUGUGACUGAAUUAAAGUAUAUAACUAUGCGUAAGCCUUAUUUUAAUAUUGGGAUUAUCAUCUGAUAAAGUCAUGCCGAUUAUAAGAUGCACAGUUUUCUCUGCUUUCAAAAUCUUUCUGUUUGAACCUGUCGACCUGGAACUUAUUAAUUAUUGGUAAUAUUAAUUAUUUGGAAAACAAAAGGUCCUGGAAUGGAGUAUUUUUUUUAAUCAACAGCAUUGUCCUAUAUUUAUUAAUUUAGUUAUAAAUAAAGUUGAAUUCUUUGAAUCGCUGUUUUAUGUUAUGCCCGCUAACAAAUUGAAAACUGUACCUAAACGCCUUAUUUUAAGUCCAGAUUUUUAGUAUUCGUAUUGUCAUCUUAGAAAGGCUUACUGCCUAAAAUACUACAAAAGGGAACAAUUUGACAAUGGUUGAAUAUAUUAGUGUCCUAUAUUUGAUAUAUAUAUAAAAUUGAAGUCUUUAAUUUGUCGUUUUACCCCAUGACAGCUGACAAAUUGGACCUCGUUAGUAUUAUAAAUGUUCCCUAUGAUAUAAUCUUUCUAAUUUUAAUGCCAAAUUAGAGUUUUUACUCCAUUUUCACGGUCCACUGAGAAUAGAAAAUGAUAGUGCAGAUGGGGCAUGCGUGUACUAUGGACACAUUCUUGUUUUAUAUAUCUAUACUUCUAAAUCUAAAGACCGUUUUUAUUUUCACUUGAUAAAUGUAUAACUGAAGAAAGCUACAAGUCAAACUUAUAUAUAAGGGUAUAUACUUGACAGGGUGUACUGAAAAUUUCACCCCUUUACAUCUAGAAUGGUAAAAGUGACGCCAACAAAAUUCAAACUUGACUUGUGGUUUUUGGUUUUAUAAGCAUUGCGUAUAAGUUUCAUAAAAUUUGGUUCAGGCAAACUAAAGUAAGAGAACAGAAAUCUAUUUUGGGAUGUAUGGACGUACGUACAAGUAAUUAUUAAGGGACGUACAUACUUACAGAAAAAACAAGGAUAAAACUCAAUAUGAUGGGGCACUGAACAAUAGUAGUAUGACCUCAGGAAUAAAAAGUUUAUAUACACUAGAUUCAUACAAUGUUGAUCUAAGGUGCUUAUUACCCUGUAACACAUUGUAGUUGCUGCUGUGUAAUUACCAUUGAGGCAAUGACAUUUGAGAUUUUUGUUCUAAGCCAUUUAUUUGAUAUACUAGUAAUCAUUGCCUCUGUGUUAGGACGACACAUUGUUAAUUAUAGGUCAAUCUUAAAGAAUCAUACUGCCCCAGGAAUAAAGUGUGAGGAUAAAACGUUCUGGAUCCGUCCACUGCAUUGUUAAGCACUAAGAAAGUCAUUUUGCUAGUACAUGGACAAAUGUUAUUAAAUCAUUUUAAUAAUUUUACAGCACUUGUCUUUAGCUUGAUCUCGGUCUUGAUACACUGAACUAUAACAUUCUAAGAAGUAAAUGAUGACUCGGUUGCUUUUAAAUUAUACGGAUGCUAUGAUACUAAUUGUCAUUUAAUAAGAUAACGUUUUUCUGUUGUCAGUUUGAUCCAUUUGAGCAUGCUGAACGAGUGAGGGUCCUUAUAUCCACAUUGGAAUGUGAAACAGCUAGUAUUUAAAUAACGGAAUUAAAAGUUUUCAAGUUAUUUUUGGCAUCAAAACUUUCAGAUCGAUGUCAGUUUGACAAAAACAAUGCACUUUUCUAUUAAAGCCUAUAUUUACCUUUACUCGUCCUUGGUGUGAGACAUAAGCCAUAUAACUAUCAAUUAUUUUAUAUUCUAUCACCUGUGUAUUGUUAAAAUAAAUCAAACCAUUAUCACUUGUCAAUUAUCCGACAACUUCGUCAAAGAUCAACUUGUUCUCGCAUACCAGACUCUUUCGAUACACUCUGGCUUUUACUUAUUCAAUAAUAAACAGUUGUAAAUAUUGUACAUAGUAAAAAAUAGUACGGGAAAAUGUUCAUUCAUGAAAUAUUCAUGAAUUAAACGCUGUCUCGCGUAGAUUUCUUUUGAUUUUCUCUUCAGCCAAUGUCCGAUCCGCAAAGUGUUUGUGAUACUUAUUUUCAAAAUGAAGUUAAAUUUAUCUGAAAUGUCGGUGAACAUUUAUUCCUUUUUUAUUCAAGCUGUUAUAUUUUCAAAAGAGUAGCAACUCAAAAUAUCCAAGAAUCAGAAUUCGAACACUAGUACUACAUUAUCUUGGAGCAGAACAUUGUGAUAGUCUGUCUCACCGGAAGUUGAGGCUGACGCCUAUAGCAAAUUUUCCAAAAGCUAUAGCUGAGACCAGUGCCUGUGUGUGUAUUCAUUAAUUAACCGUAAAAUGAAGAAAAAAAAUAGUAUAUAAACUCUAAUUAUACUUGAAUGUUUUUGUUUUAUUCCAAUUUUCAUAAAUCUGGGUUUAGUUGUCUUUUAUUAGAACUUUUUGUUUCUGAUGCCUUAUCAUGUCAUAACUGAUUUGGCCUUUCAUUUUUCCAACUGAUUUCGUUUUUGAGGAAACCCUGUUUUUUAUUGCAAUGUUCUCGUUAAAGUACGCACACACGCCUGUGUGUUCGAUGGAUGCUUCCUAAAAACACUGGCUGAGUCUUGUUAUCAUCAUAACUUUUCCUCAGCUUUUCAAAAGAAGCAGAAAAACAUUGAUUCUAUUCAAUAUUUUUACCGGACAUUCACUCUCGUUUUAAAUUCAAUGUAUUUUAUGAUAAACCUGAGCAAUGCGAAAAAAAUAUGACUACAUGACACAUGCUAAUUAAAUAAACGCCAAGAAGAUCAAAAUGUUUUCAAAAACAUGUGUACCUAUUGACAAUGGAAAACUCUAACAGGGACCCAUUUCAGCUACUUGAUGCAGGGAUCUAUUUUUAGAACGAAAGGAAAUUUCCAAUUAUAAAUAUUAUAAAAAUAGUUUACACGAUGACUGUAAACAGAUAAGGGUGAAUAACGCAAAUGGUAGCCAAUAAAAGGGUUGAGAACUCAUGGUGUUGGCAUAUAAUUGGGUUUUCCUUUGAAUUAAUUGGGUUAUUGAACCCUGCAAUGGGCAAUUGCAUUGGUUUUUUUUAUUAUUUGUAUUGCGUGAUCACGCAAAUACGCAGCUUAUCUGGAGCUCUGAUACCUUUUUCUCAUUUUUUCUAAAUUGAAAUUAAAUAGAAGAUUAAUUGAAUGAUUGGUGUUUAACACCACCUAAAGUAUUUAUGUUCAUUUGUGUUGGCCAAUUUUUAUUCAUGGAGAAAGCCUGUAGAGAAUCCCCAACCUUUAGAUGGAAAACUAACAUUCCUAGUCAGCUAAGAUUAGAGUUGACACACCUGCCAUGUGUGGGAUUGGAACUCACAACCUCAGUGUUGUACACGUAUGUAUAGACUAAAGAUAUGAGAGAGGUAAAUUUUACAGAAAAAAAAAUGUUCUACUGCACCAAACUUGAUUACCUAAUAAUAGUUUGUAUGUUUAUUUUUAACAAUUUCUUUACAAUUAAGUUAAAUUGUACAAUUUAGUUAAAUUGUACAAUUUAGUUAAAUUGUAAUAAAAUUGUUGAAAAAUAAAUGAGGAAUGUGUCCAUCAUGUCCAUGGGACACAGACGAUGCCCCUGAUUACAUUUAUAAAGUUAUAAAGUUAUAAAGGGACAUAACUGAAGAGGUAAACGGACAGAGUCACAGGACAAAAAAAAAAAAAAUUUGACAAUUGUUGAAAUAUUUUUUUUUUUACAUAUAUUCAUUUUUAAGUAAAGGAAAUUGCUAAAAAAACAAUGAUUAAUGAAACUGUAUUAAAUUUUAAUCAUGCAAAGGAUAUGUCUAUCUGCAAAAUGACAUUUUGUUUUCAUAACAAUUAUUUGAUCAUUUUUUAUAUUUAUUGAAUAAAUUUUAAUUACAAAGUUGCUUCAUAUAUAAAAAAAAUUCAAAAUAAGUGUUUUCUUGUUCAAAGAAAAAUAAUCUCAAAACUGAAUUGUGACUUUUUGUCCUGCGACUUUUUGUCCGUGACUUUUUGACCUGUGACUUUCUGUAAGUACUGCAUUCAACUGAAGAAUGGUAAAAGUGACAUUACUUGAUUUGAGUUCUGUGGUAAUACGCAUUAUGUAAUGUAUGUAUAAGUUUUAAAACAUUUGGUUGAGACUAACUUAAGUAAGAGAAUGGAAACAAAAAAUUAAGCAAUUUUUCAAUUUAUAAAGAAACAUAACUCUAGAAGGAACAGUAAAAGUGACACCACCAAAAUUCAAACUUGAUCUGUACUUUUGGUAAUAACUUAUAAGCAUUGUGUAUUAGUUUCAUUACAUAAAGUUGUUGAAGCUCAAGUUGUUUCAUUACAUUGAGUUUUUGAAACUCAAGUUUAAAUAAAAUAGGUGUUAAUUGCCCUUUGAGUGAUAACUGUUAAAAGUGUUUGGAUCAGGUCAGAUUUAGCCAGAGGAAGAAAAGCUUGAAGAUUUGAUGGACUACUGUAAACCAACAUAUUUUUGCAUAUACUUUAUUUCGUGUUUAUUCCUUUCUAGCCGCCUAUGUGGCAAUUUAAUUUAGGGAUUUUUCUAAUUUACUUGAUGUACAUGAUGUAGUUAUACAUGUAUAAGGAAAGAUCCAUGUUUAAAUAUUUCAGGACAAUUUAUAUUCACAUUAUUUUUUUACUCGCAAAAGUUAUUAAGGAAAACUGUGAAUUUCUUACAGCAAAUGGUACUGGACCAGUAUACUGAGACUUGCAUACAUAUUACAAGGCACAAACAUUUAGAAUUAAAUGGUCUUUACUUGAGUAAAUUAAAGCGACAUAAAAUUAAGUAUGGUUCAUUAAACUAUGUAUAAGGGUUUUCCAUGAAAAAUGAUAUUUUUUUUGGAGAAUUCAGAGUACUGACAUACUGUGAUCAGGUGAUGGAUUCUAAAAUAUAUGCUUUUUUCCCCCAUCUGAUGAGUUAAGCCUUUUUCAACUGAUCUUUAUAGUUUGUUCUUAUAUUGUACUGUUACAUCACUGUCCCAGGUUAGGGGAAGGGUUGGGAUCCCUCUUACAUUUUUAACCCUGACACAUUAUGUAUGUAUGUGCUUGUCCCAAGUCAGUAACCUGUAAUUCAGUGGUGGUCCUUUUUGAUGUGUUACAUCUUGGUUGAUGUUAAUUGUUAAUAAUUUAAUUUUGGAUGUUACGCGUCUUCUGAUUGGCUGACGUUAUUUUGUUAUGAGCCCAUAGACAUAAUUUAGUCAUGUGAACGUGACGUCAUCAACGUUUUUUCAUGGUUUUCUACGGUUUAAAAUGGAAUUUAGAAUUAAAUUAUAAGAAAUGACUGUAAUAUUUUUUCUGUCUAUUCAAAAUAACAUAAAAAAUGUGGUGCACACUGUUAAAUAACCGCUACGCGCGUUAUUCAGUUUGCACCAAAUUUUUUAUGUUAUUUCUUCAUAGACAGAAAAAAUAUUACAGUCAUUCCUUAAUUAAAUAUAAAUUAGGCCCUUAAUUAAAUUUUCUAGUUUGAAUUGUUCUACAUUUGUCAAUUCAGGGCCUUUUACUAGCUGACUAUGUAUAGUAUGAACUUUGCUCAUUAAUGAAGGCGUUACGGCAACCUGUAGCUGUUAAUUUUUGUGUCAUUUGGUCUAUUGUGGAGAGUUGUCGCAUACACCUUAUCGCUAUUUGUCUGCCUUUACUGGAUAUCACAAAUUUCCUGUAAUUUUUUUUGACGUCAUUAUAGAAAAUAUCUGACGCAUGUCAGGAUAGCGAUAAGGUGAAUCAUACCACAUCAUCUUUUCAGUUUUGCCAACUUCGGUCAAGUGCCAGAAGCAUUUCUAAUAUAAAUAAUACGUUUGUGUAAAACUUGAAUAUCUUCAUAAAUUGAUAUUGUAGUAUUUGACAAACGAAACAAUCUUAAUCGAACACAUGUACAAAAUAAAUCGAAAAAUUCUAUUUGAACCCAUUGUAAAAAUAUUUCCCGGGUCAUUUUUUCUUACACUAUAUCAGGUGACAGUCGUUGUUUUCUCUAUUAAUGAAUAAAAUUAUAAUCUUCAUUUAUAUAUCAAGAGAAGAAUUCUGUGACUUCGGUGGCUUUGUGCUAUUAACAGCUUGCUUUUGCUUGUGCAUUUUGUUGGACAAAAAACAUGUUAUUGUUUUCCCGGAAGUAGUGUAAAUAUCAAAAAGGAAACCCGGAAGUCCAAAAUCAAACUAUAAAAAGCCAAUCAAAUUUAAAGAUAAUCAAAGUGCUCUAUAUUUUGAGCAUACUGUUUACCGAUAAAUGUUUCAAGGAAUGGAAGCCUAGGAUAAUUCAUACCCACCAACUGUCACUAUUUGCGGGGGAUUUCCCCCAUGGAGACUCCCAAGUGGAAAUUUUGUAAGAGCAAUUUUGUCCACUAUUUUAGAGAAAACAAUUAAUUUAACAAUGGCUAUGAACUUGUUAAAGCACGAAGAAACCAAAAAACCACAUUAAAAUAAAUUUGAAGGCCCCCUUGAAGUUUUUGUAGGACUAUAAGAACCAUCUUUCACGUAAAACCCCCAUGGGCAUUUUGAAAAGUUGGCAGGUAUGAUAAUUAAUAUUCGUCGAAUUUGAAAUAAGGAAAUACCAAAGUUAAAUAUGAUCAUAUUUAUUCAAAUAAAGAAUUCCAGUCCGAGAUAGUUAGGCAAAAUUACUAUGUAUCUAUCAGUGGUUGAAAUAUUUUUUUGCAGCUCUCGGUAUAUAGACCGGCCGUGAUUAAUGAUUGAUAUUUUCACCACUGGCACCAGCAUGGUUUUUGAUUUGUUUAUACGAGAUUAAUUCUUCCUGCGUUUUUUUAACGAAUGAUGCCUAAAUUUGCCCUAAAAACAGUCAACUUUCCUCGUGUUUAACGGUUUUCCAGGCACUCCGGCCGGGAGUGAUGAUUUUCAAAAUCUUAGGUAUAUUUUGAAAUAAGUUAUUGGUAUGACACGGGCCGGGUUAUUUUCUCAUAUACAUUGUAUGUUAUGAUGGUAUGAUACUAAACCCCUGACGGGAGGGAGUGUGCCUGAUAUUCAUAUGAUGAACACAUAAUCUUUCAAUCAGUUUAAAUGCAAUCAGGAGCAGGCAUGUCAGUUAACUGCUAGUAUUCUGUUGUUAUUUAUGUAUUAUUGUCAUUUUGUUUAUUUUCUUUUGUGACAUCAAACUCGGACUUCUCUUGAACUGAAUUUUAAUGUGCGUACACCGUAUUGUUAUGCGUUUACUUUUCUACAUUUGCUAGAGGUAUAGGGGGAGGAUUGAGAUCUUCGUUCUUAUGUUGUACUGUUAUACCACUGUCCCAGGUUAGGGGAAGGGUUGGGAUCCCGCUAAAUGUUUAACCCGCACAUUAUUUAAGUAUGUGCAUUUCCUAAGUCAGGAGCCUGUAAUUCAGUGGUUGUCAUUUGUUUAUAUAUAUGUGUUACAUAUUUGUUUUUCGUUCGUUUUUUAAUAUAAAUAAGGCCGUUAGUUUUCUCGUUUGAAUUGUUUUCCAUUGUCUUAUCGGGACCUUUUAUAGCUGACUAUGCGGUAUGGGGUUUGCUCAUUGUUGUUGAAGGACGUACGGGGACCUAGCUAUAGUUGUUAUAAUGUCUGUGUCAUUUUGGUCUCUUAUGUAUGUAGUUGUAUCAUUGGCAAUCAUACCACAUCUUCUUUAUUAUAUGUUUAAUCCCGCCGGUUUUUUUUUUACGCCUGUCCCAAGUCAGGAGCCUCUGGCCUUUGUUAAUCUUAUAUUAUUUUUAAUUUUAGUUUCUUGUGUACAAUUUGGAGUUUAGUAAGGCGUUCAUUAUCACUGAACUAGUAUAUAUAUUUGUUAAGGGGCUAGCUGAAGGACGCCUCCGGGUGCGGGAAUUUCUCGCUGCAUUAAAGACCUAUUGGUGACCUUCUGCUGUAACAGUUGUUUGUUCUAUGGUCGGGUUGUUGUCUCUUUGACACAUUCCCAAUUUCUAUUCUCAAUUUUUUUUAUCCAUUCUUCCCAGUCAGCCCAGAGGAUUUAGGGGGAGGUACAGGGGGCCCGCCCCUUUUGUGGUUGGUUAUAUAGGGAAUCACUGAAGCUUGACGAGAGCGGGCCCCUUCUUAGACAGUCAGUGGGUCCCACUUAUGAAAAUUUAUAGAUCCGCAACUGCAGUCUAUUCUGUUAAGUUGCCAUACCUUUUUUGUCGAGGCACUUACAUGGUCAGAUCGUUUUUUAAUGUAAUCUUACAUUUGCAAUUCAAUUGAACCUAUGGGGAAGAAAGCAGCCUACAUAAAAUUGUAUUCGAAAUUUCGAAUCAGCAGAGAUUGAAUCAGUAACCGAUCCUUUUCAAAUAAUAUUAUUUACAUGCGCUUCCCAAUCAAGGUCAUGUGCUAUUGUUUCUCCUCAGGGGCGGAUCCAGCCAUUUUAAAAGGGGGGGUCCUAACCCAGGACAAAAAGGGGAGUCCAACUACAUGCCCCCAUUCAAAUGCAUUGAUCGUCUGAAAAAAAGGGGGGUUCAACCCCCAGACUCCCCCUCCCCCCCCCCCUGGAUCCGCGCCUGCUCCUUAAUACGGACUUUUCCUUGACCGAUUCCUGUAUGUAUGGUUUUGCAAGUAUACUUACAAGAGGAUUAGCCGGAUUUUCUUAAACGUGUAACAUAACAUUUUUCAUCCAAUUGCCAAUAAUGAGUUUGGAUAUCCAUAUUUUUAAAUAUCUUUUGCCUUUCUACUCUUACCUAGUGAUUGAUAUAAAUUUUGAUCACGUAUCAACGCUUCGCUUGUACAAGAUUCUACAUAUAUUAGUCUGACCCAUGUUCUUAUUUUUGCAACUAUAUUAUCUUUGGUAUUCGAAUUAACAUACUUCUACCGAAAUUCAUUAGUUCUGACAGUUUUUUUUUUUUUUUAAAUAACGUUUUUUCGAAAUCUCUUUCACUUUUACUACAUAGUCAGCUAUAAAAGUCAUUGACCAUCUCAUAUAUGUCUAGAAAUGUGUCCUUAAAUCAACAUAUCAGAAUUUGUAACUGCUACAUUGGAAUGGUUACACUGGUGACAACAAAAACAUCAUCGAUCAGAAACGACGCCAUCGACCAAGCCAAAUCGAAUAUCUUUACCUCAGUGGAAAUUGUGCAAACAACUUUCUCUAACUUCACUAAACGUUCGAUUAGUAAAAAACAAAUCCCUGUCUAUAACUAUAAGUGACCAUUUACUUUCUUGCAAUACUGAUAUAUUAGUGCUAACAGAGACAUGGCUCGGUUCCAUCAUUGGUAAAUGUAUUCUGUCUGAACCUCUACCAGACGGAUACACUAUUCAGAAUGCUCCCAGAUGCGUCCAAAGGGGUGGUGGUGUUGCUAUCAUACACAAAUUGGACAUUCCUGUUAAACGCGUACCAACGAAGAAAUCACCUUCACAUUUAGAACUCCUUCAAUGCAAUAUUAGUUCAUCAAGAAAGAACGUCCGUUUGUUUGUGAUCUAUCGUCAACCACCGUCCCGUGCCAACAAGUUCAAAACAUCUAGCUUUUUCGAGGAAUCGUUGGAUUUUAUUGACUAUACAAUGAGAAUAUCCGAUGAUAUUAUCCUAACGGGAGACUUAAAUUUCACCCUAGACGAUAAAUUCGACAGUGACGCCCGAAAAUUCACAGAAACGUUAUCUGAUCGUGGUCUCGUGCAACAUGUUGUUGGUGCUACUCAUUGUCCGUGGACACACGCUUGAUGUCAUUAUUACUAGAGAAGAUAGCUCAAUUGUAAUCGGCAUUCCAUCUAUUGAGGAAUUACAUCUUUGUAAUGAUAAAGGCGUUCCAUCACUCGACCAUUUCGCGGUUCACUGUAGUCUGAAUGUUAACAAACCACCUAAAAUACGGGAGUCCAUGAAAUUCCGUAAGCUCGAAGAAAUUGUUAUUGACGAUUUAAACACCGACAUCAAUUGUUCGAAUUUCAUGCCAAGUCAGACAGCAUCACUUGACGAAUUAGUUUCAACAUAUGACUCAGUGCUCGAAAAACAUGCUCCAAUUCAAUCCAAAACUAUAACAUUGCGCCCGAAUACAGAAUGGCACGCAUCCGAGCUCCGUACCGCUAAGACAGAACGCCGUAAAGCUGAGCCUAAAAUGCGGAAGAUAAAGCUUGAGGUUCAUAAACAGUUGUAUAAAGAGCAAUGUAUCAAAACACACAAGCUGCUUUUGAAGUGUAGGACUGACUACUAUUCAGAUAAAAUUUUGGAAAUAGGGUGUGAUCAAAAGAAACUGUUAAAUUUAACAAACAAGCUAAUGGGUAAUACGAAGACCAUAGUUUUGCCAUCACGUGAGUGCGAUAAAGAUAUAUCGAAAAGGUUCGGCGACUAUUUCCUCAAUGAGAAUGAAACCAUCAUGAGACAUCUAUCAAGUGAAGGUGAUUCCUCUCUAAAUGGAAAUGACGCCUUCUGCGCAGAUGUGAUGUUCGACGGGCAGGCACUUACUGUUGUCUUAGCAUCUGCAUCCGUGGAUGAAGUCCGGAAGAUCAUUUCAAAGGCUCCGUCGAAAUCAUGUGAACUCGACCCGCUACCAACUUCGUUAUUAAAACCGUGUUUGAACAGCUUAGCACCAAUCAUAACGAAAAUAGUGAACAAGUUAUUACAAGAGUCGUAGGUUCCAAAAACAUUUAAGGAAGCAGUUGUACUACCCUUACUGAAGAAACCGGGACUAGACAAAGAAAUGUUAAAGAACUAUCGUCCAGUUUCUAAUCUUCCAUUUAUAUGUACGGAAGCCGUAAUGGGACACACAAACAAUAAAGAAAUAUUUUUUUUUAAUUCGAGAUCACGAUAAAACAUAACCGUUUCGUUACUCUUCUAAUAUGCAUUGUGGGACAUAUUGACUAUAUCCCUUUUGUUUCUCUAUUAAUAAGCUUUUGAAUGAGGUAUAAUGUAUAUCUGUAAUUAGGGGCUAAAGGGUCGCAGCAGUCCAUUCAAUUAUUCCAAAUAUCCAUUCCAUUAUUCAAAAUUGGCUAUUUUCAUAAUUUUCACGCGUAUUUUGGCAUUUAGGUCCUCCGUAAUCCGUCUAAUAGUCAUUGCGUCACAAUGGACAUGUUAUAUCUAAAAACAUGGGAUGACGAACAUCAAAGGUAACGCGAAAAAAAGAUAACGUUGAGUAUCCGGCCUCACCCCUAUGAAUUUUAUUCACCCUUUAUGGAUCCGUAGGGGGUCAGUAGUUAACCGUAUAACGAAUUUAUCGGACGCUGGACUUUUUCUGCGGGCGUUUUGUUGAAAAAUAAACAAUGAAACACAACAACAUUAAUAGAUGACGUCGCCAUUAACGCGUCAUGAACCCCAUAUGAAACUUACUAACCCCAUACGGUCUCAUAGGGGGUCACCACGUGACGGUGUUUAACCAAUCACAACGUGAUAAUUCAUCUGUGGUCCGAUAAUUAUAUGUAUGUUUUGGUAUUCAGGUCGUCCAUACAUUGAACCAAGGAAUUUCUGUUAAAAAUAGUUAGGGAAAUCCACUAGUUUAUUAUCCGAAACUAAAUAAAUGAAUGAAUUAAAGUUAAAAAUUUAAAGAGUUCUUUGAAUGUUUUUUUCUGAUAUUAAUUUGAAUAUUUGUUAGAUAACAUCAAAUUGAAGAAUUCAGAAAUACUGUUUCGUUUUAUCGAGAUAAUAAUAUAUUUUAUCGAGAUCUCGAUAUAUUUAACCGAGAUAAUGACUUAAUAAUCCGAGAUCUCGAUCUAAUUAAUCGAGAUAACGAUCGAUAUGAUAAUCUGAGAUCUCCAUAAAACAGUUUCGUUUUAUCGAUAUAAUAAAUCGAGAUAACGAUAUAACAAUCCGAGAUCUCGAUAAAAGAAAUCGAGAAAACGAUAUAACAAUUUCGUUUUAUCGAGAUAACGAUAUAUUUUUUAUCGAGAUCUCGGUAAAAAGGUAAUGUUUUGUCGUAAUCUCGAAUUAAAAAAAUAUUUUCUAAUUUUUUGUGUGUCCCCUUACGGCUUCCGUAUAUAUCGAAGGUCCUCGAAAAGGUUGUAGAAUGUCGAUUAGAAAACCAUCUUCAGUCGAAUGAUCUGUUUGAUAGUGGUCAAUCGGCUUACCGUGCUUACCAUUCCACCGAGACGGCAUUGCGAGUUCAUCACGACAUAAUUGUUGCACUUCAUAAUAAUUUUUGUGUAGUUUUAUUAAUGUUAGACCUUUUGGCAGCAUUUGACGUCCUCGACCAUCCAUUUUACGACAGCGACUUGAAUACUCGUUCGGAAUAUCUGGAGCCGCGCUAAAUUGGUUGUUAUCAUACCUUACUGAUAUAACUCAGCGUAUCGCAAUCGGCUCUGUUCAGUCGGACGAUAUUCAUUGGAAGUAUGGUGAUUCACAGGUAUCUGCCCUCGGACCGAAACUCUACUGCAUUUUCUAGAAACCCAUAGGUGAAAUUUGUAAACGUCAUAAUACAUGUUACCGCUGCUAUGCGGAUGAUACUCAGGUGUAUCUCGUAAUUAAACCGCUUGACAAUUGGAAUAAUAUAUCUGCUCGACUUGAAACCUGAAUGCCGGACAUAAGCUCUUGGGUGUGUUCAAAUAAGCUUAAAUUGAACGAAGAUAAAACCGAGCUGAUAAUUUUCUCUCCGAAACACCGAGUAAAAGAAUUCGCAGACUGUCACCUAACGUUUGGCAAAACAUCGUUAGUGAUUCAGCACGCGUCAAGAACCUUGGUGUUUAUUUUGACAAAACAUUGGCGAUGGACCAGCAGAUUAGUGCGACCUCGAAAUCUUGUUUAUAUCAGCUCAGAAAUAUCGGUCGAAUUCGUCCAUUCUUUACAGAGAAUGCAGCAAAGACACUUGUUUGCUCUUUAGUGACGUCUCGCUUGGACUACGGAAAUGCAAUAUUGUAUGAACUUCCCGCAAAUGCAAUCCAAUAAUUACAGCGUGUACAGAACACCGCCGCAAAAUUAAUCACAAGGAAAAAGAAAAACGAACAUGUUACUCCAAUUUUAAAACAUCUUCAUUUGCUGCCAAUAACAUUCGUUGCAAAUACAAAGUGUUGCUUAAUGUGUUUAAAGCUAUGAAACAAGAAGCAUCCGUAUAACUUCAAGAACUAGUUAACAUUUACAAGCCAACAAGAACUCUUCGGUCUGAAAACAAUAUGCUACUAGUAAAACCAACAGUAACAACAAACACAUACGGAGAAAGACGGUUUGAUAGAGCUGCCGCCGUUUUAUGGAAUGACUUACCGAAAGAACUGUGAAACACGGAAACUGUGAAUGCUUUCAAGAAAAACAUUAAAACCUAUCUAUUCAAAUGGCAAUUCAAAGGAUUCAUUGCCAUCUAAAAAGAGUGAUGAAACGUUAAACUUAACCCCUUGUUUACAUGAGACAAGGAUUCGAGAGCCAGUAUCUUCAAGUAAUGAGUUGAACAAACUAGAUUUGAUCACAAGUAAAGAGAUUUAUUGUGAAAUUUCACCAGCAUAAAUGUUCGUUCUAGGUAUUUCACAUCCAACUCUGAUAUGCCGAUCUAAUGAGUUCAUCGAUCGCCAACAGUUUUGAAAUUAGUUAUCAAAGGUACCAGGCAAAUAAUUUGAUACACCUGACUCGCGUUUCGUCUACCGUCAGAAGACUCAUUAGUGACGCUCAGAUUAAAAAAAGUACAAAGCCAAACAAGUAGAAAAUGUUAGAGCAUUGAGAGCUCAUAAUUCCCACAAAAAAGUGCAAAAUACGGCCAAGGUAAUAUAUGCCUGGGAUAAGAAAAUCUUUAGUAUUAUUCAUUGUAUUGCAAACAGUUUUAUAAAAAUGACCAUGUAAUUGAUAUCCAUGUCAACACCGAAGUUCUGACUACUAGGCUGGUGAUACCCUCGGGUACGAAACGUCCACCAACAGUGGCAUCGACCCAGUGGUGUAAAUAGUUAUCUAAUAUAUAUGCCUGGGAUAAGAAAAUUUAGUAUAAUUAAUUGUAUUGCAAACAGUUUUAUAAAAAUGACCAUGUAAUUGAUAUUCAUGUCAACACCGAAGUGCUGACUACUAGGCUGGUGAUACCCUCGGGUACGAAACGUCCACCAACAGUGGCAUCGACCCAGUGGUGUAAAUAGUUAUCUAAGGUACCAGGCUUAUAAAUUUACGUUACACUGCAUUUUUGAAUGCACUAAAUCAUUCAGGAGAUAACUGCAUUGUAUUUUAAGAUCCGACGGUAUCAAUAGGUGAUUUGGUGGUUGCAAAUCAAGUUUUCCAACGACUUGUUAGUAGAACAUCCAGUAAACAGGUAUGUGCGACCAUCAUAUCACCAAUCAAUGCCGCCGGAGCUAAAAAUUAAUUCCAUUCUUAUGAAAGAGGGACGAAAGAUACCAAAGGGACAGUCAAACUCAUAAAUCUAAAACAAACUGACAACGCCAUGGCUAAAAAAUGAAAAACUGACACAAAAUAACGUCAAUUCAUACUUAAAAUCUGUCAAACGUCUUCUGCGCUUUGGCGUACGUUUUCAUAGCUCAUAGAUUAUGAAUUGUUCCCAUGGUGACGUUAUUGACGAUAAAAAUGAUGUUGCAAUUAGAAUGAUUGGUAGUGCCAGCAAAAUAUAUAAAACAUGCUUUUCCCUAUAUUUUUAUUUGUUACCCGCAAUAUGAGGGAACUGUCUACAUACCUACAUCAACAUAAUUUACAACCAUGCGGUUUAAAACUUAUUAUCGAAAGUAUAAGCCACUCUAGACUAUAAUAAAUGGUUUCAGAUGAAAAUUAAAGUUUUUUUCUACUUAAAGGAUGGAGACUACACAAUCAGAUUAUUCAGUGAGACGGGUUUACACCAGACCACUUCUCUUGUUUCCCAGUCAAUGAAUCAUUUUUAGAUUUCUUUUUAUGUCUUUCCUUUUGUAGCUAUACAUAACAAUUCUUUUGAUAAAAUAUGUUUACAUCUAAAAAGAUUUUUAUAAUAGUAAAAUACACAGGGUUGGGGAAUUACGGUCAUAUAUUGCAACGAACUAAAUACAUAUACAUAUGGUCGGCACUUAAAGUUAACCUGUAUACAGGUGGUACGUAAUUUUAGUUUGAUUGUAUGCAUAAAUUUGGCAAGUUUAUCCAACAAAAAAAUAGGUAAAAUCCGUAAAAAAUCUUUAUUUCACAAAAUUAGAAAACUGAAGCAGCCAACAAUCUAGAAAAAAAAAAACCUUAAAAAAAUAUCGAGAAAAAUACAAAUUUGUUUUUCUUUCCAUCAAUUUAAUGAUGCGUAAACAACAAAUAUAAUUAAAGACAACUCUAAUCUUAAACAACACUUUCUUCUUCUGAUGUGACUCAUAUAUAUGUACAACAUGUAUUGACGACAGUUUCUUAAUUAGAGACCUUAUUUAUUUACCACUACAUCCGAUUAACUGUCUUUUUAAAUGCUCAUUUCCCGCUGAUUGUUCCUAACUUUGUUUCCGUCCAUCUGUAAAAGUUAAAAUGUAAAAUUUCUACCUUGACUGUGUCUGUUUUGUAAACAAGAAUGAAGCAGAACUGAAAAUUAGUUCAAAGUUCAAAGUAGAGAAUCAACAACGAAUGCUGACAUCCCACAGAACCAAUGGAACGGAAAACUGACGAUGACUUGGAACAUUCUAGAGAACAAAUGGGUCAGAAUACUGCCGAACGGAUGACACAGGCCAAACACAUGGGAAGCGAAUAUAAUGAUGAAGCGACACGAGAUGUUCCUGGCUAUACAGAUCUUGCGAGAACAAUGUCGUCUGAACAGAACAUUGCUGGAUAUGACACACUACAAGAUCAAAAUAAUGGAUAUACAGAACUAAGGAAAUCCAUUGUCACAAAAGAUCAAUAUGAUACACUUGGGGACAUAAUAUAUAUGACUACAGUACUGUUUCAGAUUCAACAACAAACACUAAAGCUAUUAGUGCAGAUAGGGAAGACGGCGUCGACUGUUCUAGAGAUCGUGAGAACAUAUCAGAAACAUCUGGGCAUAAAUAUAGAAAUAUCGGUAAAACAAAUCUGAAAUACUAUAAUGAACAGCUGCACAUUUCUACUGGACAAAAACAUAGCUUAGAGUCUUCAGCAUCUGGAAUCAGAAAACAAAAAUCCGUAGAAAGUAUCGGUAAUGAUGAACCAGAUUACUCUUAUGUAAGUGGAUUUAAAGAUCGUCAGAAUGAUACCAAGCAUGUUCAAGGUAUGGUACAAAGUUUAAACAAAGAUUUCGUUCCUGCAUGUCCAGAUAAUGAUGUUCACCAGGAUAUGCAGAGGGAAGAAUGUGUUAGUGAAAGAACAAAUAAAAGCAACAGCAUACAGGCUGUAAGUUCAAGGGCUCGGCUUAUUGGUGUAGCUAUUGUCGUUCUUGCAGUAUUUGUUGGUUGUUUAGUCUUAGUUUUAUCUCUAAAAGGAAAAUCAAAAAACAACUGUAACUCUUCAGAUAAAGGUUCGUAUAAUACUUAUACGGCGUGUAAAAAAUAAAAACAACACUAUAUUUAAAACACGUGUUCCUUAUUGAUAAAUUUUAGUAGUUUUUUUUAAUAUGAAUUGCAUAUUCUCCUGCCGAAAACUUAUAUUGACCGCGCAAAACGUUGCGUUUUUUAUUAGGUAAAUAAUUUUGGUAAAAAAAGUUUGAUGUUCAAUUGGUUUUGGUAAAUAAUUGCCAUUAAAUAUAUCUCUCCCGAACAUGGAAUAAAACAUUAAGAGAAAGCAUACUAAAAUCAUACCAAUGUCGAAUAUAUACAAUUACUGUGAUUUGUUUCAGUACAUGACUGUGUGGUUUAAUUUACUUUUGAAAAACUGAUAUUCAGUUCGGCCGUUGGCCUUUGUGAAUAUCAGUUUUUCAAAAGCCAAUAAAAUCACAUAUCUACCUCAUCAAAAGACAGUAAUUGUAUAUUAUUCGACAUUGGUAUCAUUUUAGUGUGCUUUCUCUUUAUGCAUUAGAUUUUGAAUCAACAAGCGUAUUCACAUAGAGAAAAGUGCUAUUCACCGCGCUGAACGUCACGCGCUUAUAUAUGAUUAUAACGUUAUGAUAAAAUGUUUGAUAUACAAUUGAUUUUGGUAAAUAUUUCGCUUCAAAUACUUUGUUUACUUUUGGAAAUUGGAAUAAAACGAUAACUGGUCGACUUCUGUUUGGGUAUAUAUGUGAUUUAAUUGACUUUGAAAAAAACUGAUGUUCACUUCGACUGCAGGUCUCAGUGAAUAUUUGUUUUUCAAAAGUCAAUACAUCUUCACCUCACCUAAUUUUAACCUCACUGAAUGAAACUUAUUAUAUAGUAUUCCAUAUUGAUUACACUUUUGUGAGUUUUUUCUAAAUGAAUUGGAUUUAAAUAAAUAAGCAUAUUCACCUGCGGAAAGGUAUAUUCACCGCGCAAAACGUCGUAUGCUAUAAUUUUACGUGUAUGAUUAUGUUAAAAUCGUUUGAUGUAAAUUGGUAAAUAGUUCAUGUACCCUAAAAUCUCACUAGAUCUCCCAAAUUCCUUAAGUUGCAUUUUGUUUCAUUUGUAGUUUAAAAUAUCUAAACAAUUAUUUUUAUCAGCCAUCUCUUUCACAAUUAUUUAUUUUCUUUCAUUUAUUCAGGCUUUCACCCACAGCUGUUAACAUUAACAGGUGAGCAGUAGUUUUAUCACAUAUAUUGCAUUUCGACAUGUCGAAAACAUCUACAGAUUCAGAGCAUUUAUACAUAAAAUGGUACUAUUAACACAAUGUUAGUUUGCAAAACAUUUUCGAUAAACGUUUCAAAUUAUUGUGAACAAACGCUGAUGAGUUUCAGAAGAAAGAUAGAUUUAAAAACAAUUAGAAAACAAAAGUCAGUUGUGUAUGCAUAUUAGUUUAGUUCGGAUUCCGUGAACUAAUUUGCAUACAAAACUUAGAUUUUGUCACAAAAUUCAAUUUUGGAUUUAUUUUUGUGUAGACAAAAUUGAGUUUUGUUAAACAGAAGUGAAAAUUUAACAUAAAAGUAAAUUUUGUGCCACAAAAGUCAAUUUUGUGCCACAAAAGUCAUUUUUGUCACAAAAGUCAUUUUUGUCACAAAAGUCAUUUUUGUUACAAAAGUCAAUUUUGUGUCACAAAAGUCAAUUUUGUCUACACAAAAAUAAACACAAAAUGAAUUUUGUAAAGAGAAAAUUAAUUUUUUAAGACAAAAUUCAAUUUCGUGUUUAUUUAAAUAAUAAUGAUGUUCUCUCCAGAAAACCCUGGCCGUUUUUUGGCACAAUUUUUUUGAACUUUUUGUCCUCAAUGCUGUUCAACUUUGUACUUUUUUCGGCUUUCAAACUUUUGUAUCUGGGCGUCACUAGUAAGUCUUGUAUGGACAAAAUGCACUUCUGGCGUAUUAAAAAUUUUAAUCUUGUUGCCUUUUGUUAGCUAUUAUUCGUGUGUUUCUUUGUCAAUUGUGUUCUCCUAUUUAUUUAUAUUGUAGUCUAGUAAUGUUGUGUUGUCAUUUUAAUGUUAUAUUUCACAUGGCCAUAAAAGAGGGAGGUUUGGCAUGGCCCAAAACCAGGUUCAACCCACCAUUUUUAGCUCACCUGUCCCGAAGGGACAAGUGAGCUUAUGCCAUCACUUGGCGUCCGUCGUCGUCCGUCGUCUGUCGUCUGUCGUCGUAAACUAUUUAAGAUCUUCUCCUCUGAAACUACUGGGCCAAAUACUUUAACUUUUAACUGAAUGUUUCCUUAGGGUAACUUAUUUAUAAAUUGUAUCCGAAGUUUUGACUAUAACAACAUGGUCGGCCAUUGCUAAAAAUAGAAAUAGGGGUCAAAUGCAGUUUUUGGCUUAUAACUCAAAAACCAAAGCAUUUAGAGCAAAUCUGACAUCGGGGUAAUAUUGUUUAUCAGGUCAAGAUCUAUCUGCCCUGAAAUUUUCAGAUGAAUCAGACAACGUUGUUGGGGUUUGCUGCCUGAAUUGGUAAUUUUAAGGAAAUUUUGCGUUUUUGGUUAUUAUCUUGAAUAUUAUUAUAGAUAGAGAUAAACUGUAAACAGGAAUAAUGUUCAGCAAAGUAAGAUUUACAUAUAAGUCAACGUGACGGAAAUGGUCAGUUGACCCCUUUAGGAGUUAUUGCCCUUUAUAGUCAAUUUUAACCAUUUUUCGUAAAUCUUAGUAAUCUUUUACAAAAAUCUUUCCUCUGAAACUAUGGGCCAAAUACUUCCAACUUUAAACUGAAUGUUCUUAGGGUAUCUAGUUUGUAAAUUGUAUCCGAAGUUAUGAUCUAUCACAAACAUGGUCGCCAUUUGCUAAAAAUAGAACAUAGGGUCAAUGCAGUUUUUGGCUUAAACUCAAAAACGAAAGCAUUAGAGCAAAUCUGACAUGGAUAAUAUUGUUACAGGUCAAGAUCUAUCUGCCCUGAAAUUUUCAGAUGAAUCAGACAACCUGUUGUUGGGUUGCUGCUGAAUUGGUAAUUUUAAGGAAAUUUUGCUGUUUUUGGUUAUUAUCUUGAAUAUUAUUAUAGAUAGAGAUAAACUGUAAACAGGAAUAAUGUUCAGCAAAGUAAGAUUUACAAAUAAGUCAACAUGACGGAAAUGGUCAGUUGACCCCUUUAGGAGUUAUUGCCCUUUUAUAGUCAAUUUUUAACCAUUUUUUCGUAAAUCUUAGUAAUCUUUUACAAAAAUCUUCUCCUCUGAAACUACUGGCCAAAUACUUCCAAACUUUAACUGAUGUUCUUAGGGUAUCUAGUUUGUAAAUUGUAUCCGAAGUUGUGAUCUAUCAACAAACAUGGUCGCCAUUGCUAAAAAUAGAACAUAGGGGUCAAAUGCAGUUUUUGGCUUAUAAUCAAAAACCAAAGCAUUUAGAGCAAAUCUGACAUGGAUAAUAUUGUUUAUCAGGUCAAGAUCUAUCUGCCCUGAAAUUUUCAGAUGAAUCAGACAACCUGUUGUUGGGUUGGUGCCCCUGAAUUGAUAAUUUUAAGGAAAUUUUGCUGUUUUUGGUUAUUAUCUUGAAUAUAAUUAUAAAUAGAAAUAAACUGUAAACAGCAAUAAUGUUCAGCAAAGUAAGAUCUUCAAUUAAGUCAAAUUGACCAAAAUUGUCAAUUGACCACUUAAGGAGUUAUUGCCCUUUAAAGACUUUUUUCACAAUUUGUUCAUCAUGUUGACUUACUUUAAAAAAAUCUUCUCUUUUUGAAACUGCUGUAUCAAUUUCAGCCAACUUUAGGCUAAAUGAGUUCAGAGUAUCUAGUAUAAAUUUUAUAUUUUAUUUCCUUGUAUGUCAAGAAACAUAGCUCCUAUGGCUAAAAUAGAACAGAGGAGAAAAUGAUUAUUUUUUUUGGCUUUUGAAGAAAAUAGGACGAUCCUAAAAACAUUUAAAUAAAUUGAAAAGCCAAAAUAAUCAUUGAUGAGAGAUUUAACCAAAAGAAUUAAGGUGAGCGAUUCAGGCUCUUGAGAGCCUCUUGUUUCCUUUAAAAAUGUCCUGUAAAAAGUCAGGAAUAUGGCCAUUGUUAUAUUAUAGUUCGUUACGUUGUGUUACUGUUGUGUCGUUUGUUAUUUGAUGAGUAUAAAUUCACAUUACUAUAAGACGUGUCAUGGUACUUUUCUAUCCCAAAUUCAUGUAUUUGGUUUUGAUGUUAUAUGUGUUAUUCUCAUAGGAUUUUGUCUAAUGCUUAGUCUGUUUCUCUGUGUAUGUGUGUGUGUGUGUGUGUGUGUUACAUUUUAAUGUUGUGUCGUUGUUCUCCUCUUAUAUUUAAUGCGUUUCCCUUAGUUUUAGUUUGUUACCCCGAUUUUGUUUUUAGUCCAUGGAUUUAUGAGUUCUGAACAGCGGUAUACUACUGUUGCCUUUAUUUGUGGUUACAAAAUUGACUAUUGUGACACAAAAUUCAUUUUUUGACACAAAAUUGAAUUUUGUAAAGACAAAUUCAUUUUUGUAGACAAAAUUCAUUUUUGUCAUGACAAAAUUCAAUUUUGUGUUCAUUUUGUGUAGACAAAAUUGAGUUUUGUUAAACAGAUGUGAAAAUUUAACACAAAUUCAUUUUGUCACAAAAGUCGAUUUUGUGUCACAAAAUUCAUUUUUGUCUCAAAGGUCAAUUUUGUGUCACUAAAGUCAAUUUUGUAUGCAAAUAAGUUUAAAUUAAAGGGUCGCAGCAGUCCAUUCCAUUAUUUAAAAUUGGCUAUUUCUUAAUUUUCACGCGUAUUUUGGCGUUUAGGUCCUCCAACCCCUCUAAUGGUCAUUGCGGCACAUAUUAUUGAUAAACAUUUUGUUCCUCUUUUAAUAAGCUUUCAAAUGGUGUAUAAAGUAUUCCUUAAUUAGGGACUGACGGGUCGCAGAAGUUCAUUCCAUUAUUCAAAAUAAGCUAUUACAUAAGGUUCACCCAUAUUUCUGUUUUUAGUCCUUCGGUACUCCUCUAAUAUGCGUUGCGGGACAUAUUGACUAUAUACCUUUUGUUUAUCUAUUAAUAGGCUUUCGAAUGAGGUAUAAUGUAUAUCUGUAAUUAGGGACUGAAGGGUCGCAUCAGUCCAUUCCAUUAUUCCAAAUAUCCAUUCCAUUAUUCAAAAUUGGCUAUUUUCAUAAUUUUCAUGCGUAUUUUUGCAUUUAGGUCCUCCGUAACCCCUCUAAUAGUCAUUGCGGCACAAUGAACAUGUUAUAUCUAAAAAUAUAGAAAAAAAAGAUAACGUUGAGUAUUUCAAUAUUGAUAUAUAUGUUUUGGCAUUCAGGUCGUCCAUACAUUGAACCAAGGAAUAUCUGUUAACUAGAGGCUCUAAAGAGCCUGUGUCGCUCACCUUGGUCUAUGUGAAUAUUAAACAAAGGACGCAGAUGGAUUCAUGACAAAAUUGUGUUUUGGUGAUGGUGAUGUGUUUGUACAUCUUACUUUACUGAACAUUCUUGCUGCUUACAAUUAUCUCUAUCUAUAAUGAACUUGGCCCAGUAGUUUCAGAGGAGAAGAUUUUUGUAAAAGAUAACUAAGAUUUACGAAAAAUGGUUAAAAAUUGACUAUAAAGGGCAAUAACUCCUAAAGGGGUCAACUGACCAUUUCGGUCAUGUUGACUUAUAUGUAAAUCUUACUUUGCUGAACAUUAUUGCUGUUUACAGUUUAUCUCUAUCUAUAAUAAUAUUCAAGAUAAUAACCAAAAACAGCAAAAUUUCCUUAAAAUUACCAAUUCAGGGGCAGCAACCAACAACGGUUGUCCGAUUCAUCUGAAAAUUUCAGGGCAGAUAGAUCUUGACCUGAUAAACAAUUUAAAAUGCAUGUCAGAUUUGCUCUUAAAUGCUUUGGUUUUUGAGUUAUAAACCAAAAACCGCAUUUUACCCCUAUGUUUCUAUUUUUAGCAGUGGCGGCCAUCUUGGUUGGUUGACCGGGUCACGCCACACAUUUUUUUAAACUAGAUACCCAAUGAUGAUUAUGGCCAAGUUUGGUUUAAUUUGGCCCAGUAGUUUCAGAGGAGAAGAUUUUUGUAAAAAGAUUACUAGAUUUACGAAAAAUGGUUUAAAAAUUGACUAUAAAGGGGCAAUAACUCCUAAAGGGGUCAAUUGACCAUUUCGGUCAUGUUGACUAAUUUUGUAAUCUUUACUUUGCUGAACAUUAUUGCUGUUUACGUUUAUCUCUAUCUAUAAUGAUAUUCAAGAUUAAUAACCCAAAAACAGAAAAGUUUCCUAAAAUUACAUUUAGGGGCAGCAACCCAACAAGGGUUGUCCGAUUCAUCUGAAAAUUUCAGGGGCAGAUAGAUCUUGACCUGAUAACAAUUUUACCCUGUCAGAUUGCUCUAAAUGCUUUGAUUUUUGAGUUAUAGCCAAAAACUGCAUUUUUACCCUAUGUUCUAUUUUCAGCCAUGGCGGCCAGUUUCGUUGGUAAGCCGGGUCACCGGACACAUUUUUUAAACUACAUACCCGAAUAAUGAUUGUGGCCAAGUUUGGUUUAAUUUGGCCCAGUAGUUUCAGAGGAGAAGAUUUUUGUAAAAGAUAACGACGACGGACGACGGACGCCGGACGCAAAGUGAUGGGAAAAGCUCACUUGGCCCUUUGGGCCAGGUGAGCUAAAGAUAGUUUAUACUCCGAAACUAAAUGAAUGAAUGAAUUAAGAUAAAAAUUUAAAGAGUGCUUUGAAUUUUUUAUUCUGAUAUCAAUUUGAAUAUUUGUUAGAUAACAUCAAAAUGAAGAAUUCAGAAAUGCAGUUUCGUUUUAUCGAAAUAACGAUAUGUUUUUAUCGAGAUUUUGAUAUAUUUAACCGAGAUAACGAUUAAAUAAUCCGAGAACUCGAUCUAAUAAAUCGAAAUAACGAUAUGAUUAUCUGAGAUCUCGAUAUAAUAAAUCGAGUUAACGAUAUAACAAGUUCUUUUUAUCUAGAUAACGAUAUAAUUUUUAUCGAGAUCUCGGUAAAACGGUAAUGUUUGUCAUGAUCUCGAAUUAAAAAAAUAUUUUCUAAUUUUUUGUGUGUCCUCUUAUGGCUUCCGUAUGUAUCGAAGUUUUUCGAAAAGGUUGUAGAAUCUCUAUUAGAAAACCAUCUUCAGUCGAACGAUCUUUUUGAUAGUGUUCAAUCAGCUUACCGUGCUAACCAUUCCACCGAGACGGCAUUGCUGCGAGUUCAUCACGACAUAACUGUUGCACUUGAUGAUUACUUUUGUGUAGUUUUAUUAAUGGUAGACCUUUCGGCAGCAUUUGACGUCCUCGACAAUCCAUUUUACGACAGCGACUUGAAUACUCGUUCGGAAUAUCUGGAGCCGCGCUAAUUUGGUUGUUAUCAUACCUUACUGAUGAAACUCAGCGUAUCGCAAUCGGCUCUGUUCAGUCGGACGAUAUUCAUCUGAAGUAUGGUGUUCCACAGGGAUCUAUCCUCUGACCGAAACUCUACUGCAUUUUCUCGAAACCCAUAGGUUAAAUUUGUAAACGUCGUAAUACGUGUUACCACUGCUAUGCAGAUGAUACUCAGGUAUAUAUCGUAAUUAAACCGCUUGACAAUUGGAAUAACAUAUCUACUCGACUUGAAACCUGUAUGGCAGACAUAAGCUCUUGGAUGUGUUCAAAUAAGCUUAAAUUGAACGAAGAUAAAACCGAGCUGAUACAUUUUCCUACGAAACACCGAGUAAAAGAGUUUUCAGACUGUCACCUUCUUCUUUUGGCAAAAACAUCGUUAGUGAUUCAGCACGCGUCAAGAACCUUGGUGUUUAUUUUGACAAAACAUUGGCGAUGGACCAACAGAUUAGUGCGACCUCGAAAUCUUGUUUCUACCAGAUCAGAAAUAUCGGUCGAAUUCGUCCAUUCAUUACAGAGAAUGCACCAAAGAUACUUGUUUGCUCUUUAGUGACGUCUCGCUUGGACUACGGAAAUGAAUUAUUAUAUGAACUUCCCGCAAAUGCAAUCCAACGAUUACACCGUGUACAGAACACCGCCGCAAAAUUAAUCACAAGGAAAAAGAAAAAGGAAUAUGCUUAUCCAAUUUUGAAACAUCUUCAUUGGCUGCAAAUAACAUUUGUUACAAAUACAAAGUGUUGCUUUAUGUGUUUAAAGCUCUCGUAUACCUUCAAGAACUAGUAAAUAUUUACAAGCAACAAGAACUCUUCGGUCUGAAAACAAUAUGCUACUAAUCAAACCAACAGUAAGAACAAAAACAUACGGAGAGAGACGGUUUGAUAGAGCUGCCGCCGUUUUAUGGAAUGACUUACCGAAAGAACUGCGAAACACGGAAACUGUGAAUGCUUUCAAGAAAAACAUUAAAACUUAUCUAUUCAGACAGGUUUUUCCACAUGAUUAAUAAUCGGACAGUACUUAGACUUUUAUUCGAUCUAAGUAUAUAUUUUAAUGUAUCAUACUUACUUUUUAUUGCAUUUCUAUUUUCUUGAAAUUGAAGCUCUUCUGUUGAUUUUAUUUUUAAAAAAAUGAAUUUAUCUAUAUUUUUUAAUUCUAUUUGAUGAAUAAUUUUUAAUUUUCAAUAUUGAGUUGUAUUGUUUACGGUCUCUAUUUUGGUUCUAUUGAACCAUUGACAUAUAGAUAUAUAUUUUUUUUUAAAUUGUGUUUAUUUAUAUAUAUGUACUUGUAUCAUUGGUUUUUUUAUUCACCGUAAAGCGCUUAGAGUAAAUGUCUAUUUAGAUAAGCGUUAUAUAAUCACUGUAAAUAAUAAUAAUAAUAAUAAUAAUAAUAAUAAUAAUAAUAAUAAUAUAAUAAUAAUAAUAAUAAUAAUAAUAAUAAUAAUAAUAAUAAUAAAAUAGUUUUAAUUAUACCUGAAGACCGCAUGGUGACCUAUAGUUGUUUACCUUUGUGUUAGUUGGCCUCUUGUUGAGAAUUGUCUCAUUGGCAAUCAUACCACAUCUCCUGAUUUUUUUUUAUAAACAAGAUUAAUUCUUUUUAAAAUAGAGAAGAGUACAUCAAUACUUUAUCGAAUGGCAAUUUAAAGGAUUUAUUGUCAUCUGAAAAGAGUGAUGAAGCGUUAAACUUGCCCCCUUGUUUAUAUGAGACAAGGAUUCGAGAUCAGACUCGGAUUUCUCUUGAACUGAAUUUUAAUGUGCGUAUUGUUAUGCGUUUACUUUACUACAUUGGUUAGAGGUAUAGGGGGAGGGUUGAGAUCUCACAAACAUGUUUAACCCCGCCGCAUUUUUGCGCCUGUCCCAAGUCAGGAGCCUCUGGUCUUUGUUAGUCUUGUAUUAUUUUAAUUUUAGUUUCUUGUGUACAAUUUGGAAAUUAGUAUGGCGUUCAUUAUCACUGGACUAGUAUAUAUUUGUUUAGGGGCCAGCUGAAGGACGCCUCCGGGUGCGGGAAUUUCUCGCUACAUUGAAGACCUGUUGGUGACCCUCUGCUGUUGUUGUUUUUUAUUUGGUCGGGUUGUUGUCUCUUUGACACAUUCCCCAUUUCCAUUCUCAAUUUUAUUCGAGAGCAAGUAUAUUCAAGUAAUGAGUUGAACAAACUAGAUUUGAUCACAAGUAAAGAGAUUUAUUGUGAAAUUUCACCAGCAUGUUCUUUCAAGUUUUUCACAUCCAACUCUGAUAUGCCGAUCUAAUGAGUUCAUCGAUCGCCAACAGUUUUGAAAUUAUUUAUCAAAGGUACCAGGCAUAUAAUUUGAUACACCAGACGCGCGUUUCGUCUACCGUCAGAAGACUCAUUAGUGACGCUCAGAUUAAACAAGUUACAAAGCCAAACAAGUACAAAAAGUUAGAGCAUUAAGGGCCCAAAAUUCCCCCAAAAAUGUGCAAAAUACGGCCAAGGGAAUAUAUGCCUGGGAUAAGAAAAUCUUUAGUAUAAUUCAUUUUAUUGCAAACAGUUUUAUAAAAAUGACCAUAUAAUUGAUAUUCAUGUCAACACCGAAGUGCUGACUACUAGGCUGGUGAUACCCUCGAGGACGAAACGUCCACCAACAGUGGCAUCGACUCAGUGGUGUAAAUAGUAAUCUAAAAUACCAGGCUUAUGAUUUUAUACGUCCGACGCACGUUUUGUAACGUAUAAUAACGUCAAUUCAUACUUAAAAUCUGUCGAACGUCUUCUGCGCUUUGUCGUACGUUUUCAUAGAUUAUGAAUUGUUCCCAUGGUGACGUUAUUCACUCUAAAUGAACGAUAGAAAUGAUGUUGUAAUUAGAAUGAUUAAUAGUGCCAGCAAAAUAUUUAAAACAUGCCUUUCUAUAUUUUUAUUCGUUAACCGUAAUAGGAUGGAACUGUCUACAUGCCUACAUCAACAUAAUUUACAACCAUGCUGUUGAAAUUUUAAUAUCUGUGCUCAUGCGGCGUAAAGAAACCAACAAUCAAUCAAUCAAUCCUAAUCCCAGUCAAUGAAUCAGUUUUGGAUUUCUUUUUAUGUCUUUCCUUUUUUAGCAGUACAUAACAAUUCUUUUGAUAAAAUAUGUUUACAUCUAAAAAGAUUAUCAUAAUAGUAAAAUACACAGGGUUGUGGGGAAUUACGGUCAUAUAUUGCAACGAACUAAAUACAUAUACAUAUGGUCGGCACUUACCGUUAACCUGUAUACAGGUGGUACGUAAUUUUAGUUUGAUUGUAUGCAUAAACUUGGCAAGUUUAUCCAACAAAAAAAUAGGUAAAAUCCGUAAAAAAUCUUUAUUUCACAAAAUUAGAAAACCGAAGCAGCCAACAAUCUAGAAAUAAAAAAUAACCUUAAAAAAUAUAGAGAAAAAUACAAAUUUGUUUUUCUUUCCAUCAAUUUAAUGAUGCGUAAACAACAAAUAUAAUUAAAGACAACUCUAAUCUUAAACAACUCUUUCUUCUUCUGAUGUGACUCAUAUAUAUGUACAAUAUGUAUUGACGACAGUGUCUUAAUUAGAGACCUUAUUUGUUUACCACUACAUCCGAUUAAACUGUCUUUUUAAAUGCUUAUUUCCCGCUGAUUGUUCCUAACUUUGUUUCCGUCCAUCUGUAAAAGUUAAAAUGUAAAAUUUCUACCUUGACUUGACUUUGUAAACAAGAAUGAAGCAGAACUGAAAAUUAGUUCAAAGUUCAAAGUAGAGAAUCAACAACGAAUGCUGGCAUCCCACAGAACCAAUGAACGGAAAACUGAUGAUGACUUGGAACAUUCUAGAGAACAAAUGGGUCAGAAUACUGCCGAACGGAUGACACAGGCCAAACACACGGGAAGCGAAUAUAAUGAUGAAGCGACACGAAAUGUUCCUGGCUAUACAGAUCUUGCAAGAAUAAUGUCGUCUGAACAGAACAUUGCUGGAUAUGACACACUACAAGAUCAAAAUAAUGGAUAUACAGAACUAAGGAAAUCCAUUGUCACAAAAGAUCAAUAUGAUACACUUGGGGAACAUAAUAUAUAUGACUACAGUACAGUUUCAGAUUCAGAUUCAACAACAAACACUAAAGCUAUUAGUGCAGAUAGGGAAAACGGCGUCGACUGUUCUAGAGAUUGCGAGAACAUAUCAGAAACAUCUGGGCAUAAACAUAGAAAUAUCGGUAAAACAAAUCUGAAAUACUAUAAUGAACAGCUGCACAUUUCUACUGGAAACAAAAAUAGCUUAGAUGCUUCAGAAUCUGGAAUCAAAAAACAAAAAUCCGUAGAAAGUAUCGGUAAUAAUGAACCAGAUUACUCUUAUGUAAGUGGAUUUAAAGAUCGUCAGAAUGAUACCAAGCACGUUCAAGGUAUGGUACAAAGUUUAAACAAAGAUUUCGUUCCUGCAAGUCAAGAUAAUGAUGUUCACCAGGAUAUGCAGAGGGAAGAAUGUGUUAGUGAAAGAACAAAUAAAAGCAACAUCAUACAGGCUGUAGGUCCAAGGCUCGGCUUAUUGGUGUAGCUAUUGUCGUCCUUGUAGUAUUUGUUGGUUGUUUAGUCUUAGUUUUAUCUCUAAAGGAAAAAUCUAAAAGCAACUGUUACUCUUCAGAUAAAGGUUCGUAUAAACACUUAUAUGGCGUGUAAAAAAUAAAAACAACACUAUAUUUAAAAAACGUGUUACAUAUUGAUAUGUUUUAGUAGUUUGUUUAUAUGAAUUGCAUAUUCUCCUGCCGAAAACUUAUAUUCACCUCGCAAGACGUUGCGUUCUUUUAUUAGGUAAAUAAUUUUGGUAAAAAAAAGUUUGAUGUAAAAUGGUUUUGGUAAAUAAUUGCCAUUAAAUACAUUUCUCUCGGAACAUGGAAUAAAACAUUAAGAGAAAGCGAACUAAAAUGAUACCAAUGUCGAAUAAUAUACAAUUACUGUCUUUUGUUUCAGUACAUGUGUGGUUUAAUUGACUUUUGAAAAACUGAUAUUCAGUUUGGCCGUUGGCCUUUGUGAAUUACAGUUUUUCAAAAGUCAAUAAAACCACAUAUCUACCUCAUCAAAAGACAGUAAUUAUAUAGUAUUCCAUAUUGAUUACACUUUUGUGAGUUUUUUUCUAAAUGAAUUUGAUUUAAAUAAAUAAGCAUAUUCACCUGCGGAAAGGUAUAUUUACCGCGAAAAACGUCGUAUGCUUUAAUUUUACGUGUAUGAUUAUGUUACAAUCGUUUAAUGUAAAUUGGUAAAUAGUUCAUGUACCCUAAAAUCUCACUAGAUCCCCCAAAUUCCUUAACUUGCAACUUGUUUCAUUUGCAGUUUAAAAUAUCUGAACAUUUUUUUUAUCAUGCAGUUAUCUACUCUUUCACCAUUAUUUAUUUUCUUUCAUUAAUUCAGGUUUUCACCCACAGCCGUUAACUUUAACAGGUGAGCAGUAGUUUUAUCACAUAUAUUGUAUUUCGACAUGUCGAAAACAUCUACAGGUUCAGAGCAUUUAUACAUAAAAUGGUACUAUUAAUACAAUGUUAGUUUGCUAAAUGUUUCCAAUAAACGUUUCAAAUUAUUGCGAACAAGCGCUGGUGAGUUUCAGAAGAAAGAUAGAUUUAAAAACAAUUAGAAAACUUGGAGCCAGGUCCACUAAAUACUUCACUGACCAUUAAGGUAGAUCAAAACGCACCCAAACCAAUAACGGAAAACCCGGGAGGGGUUUUUCUUGAUUGCCUACAUUUUAUAAAAUAUAUAUUGCUUGAAUGCUUACAAAAUAAAUUGAAUUUGUGUUGUUUUGGUAAAAUGGUUUUGUUUUAGAACAAAAGUUUGAAGUAGGAAAAGUUAUAGUUUAAAGGUGGAAAAAUGUUGCCUUUACUAGAUCAAAAGUGUCAAUUUAAGAGGAACAGUUGUGUAUGGACUAUACCCCAGAUUUGUGAACCAAUUAAAAAUGUUUGAUUUUCCUGAAUGUCAAUAAAAAUGCCUCUUAUUUACAGGGGAUUGCUAUCACAAUACCAGCACCCAGUAUUUUGGAAGACUUAAUUAUACAGUAAGCGGUAGGGCUUGUCAGAAUUGGAGUAAGAAUUCUCCUCAUGUAACAAUAUUUAGACCUGAUAGAGACGCGGACAAGACCACAAACUAUUGUAGGGACAACAGUUAUUACAAACAUGGUACACCAUGGUGUUAUACAGAGGACCCUGAUUUCCGCUGGGAAUUUUGUCCCGUAUUUAAAUGUUCGUAUUCAAAUGCUUAUUGAUACAUAUUGUUGCUUGCUUUUAAAAAUGUUCUCAAUAUAACAAGUUAAUAAAUUGUUACGCUAUACGAGUAUUUCAUCUACAUAUAAGUCACCACGGGGGCUUGCAUAACAAAAGCAUAAAGCGAAACAAAACAUAAAGUUGGAGAGCAUUUCAGGUAAAAAUUCUGACAAAUAGAGCCAACCAUGACCAGAGCUAUAUAUUUAAGCCUUAAAAAAAACAUGUUUCGGAUACUUCAAUUUCUAAAGAAAAGAAAGUUACGGUAAAUGAUCAAAUCAAUGGGUUUGUUUUAUGUCAACAAUUUAUGCUGUGUUGAGUCCUAUAUUAGUAUUAUCUAAAAUUUAUCUUUAUGGGCACUAGGAAAAACCUACAUUUUGUUCUUCAAAAUCCCUGUUUCCAAUCAGACAAUGCAUAUAUAAAAUAUAAGUCAUUGUUAAAACCUUUUGAUGAUAUUAUCUGACAAAUCCCACACUGACUAAAGACACGCUUACUGACAGGGUUUUACUAACAUUUAGUAAGUUAAAUAACUAAGACAUCAUAAGAUAACAGAUCCAAAAAUCUGCAAGGAAAAUAAUUUUUUAGACGCCAUCAAUAUAUAUCCUACAAAAGAAUGUACGAAGUGUUUUUCUUUAACUCAGUAAAGAAUUUCUUUUCACCAAAAACUUAUGUAUUCUUUUUAGGUAAUGCCUGUACGAUGCUGCCAAAGGCCAAACCUGGAACAACAGUAAGUUAUAAUAUAACAUUUGGAGUUGUAGCUGCCACAUACACAUGCCAGUCUUUUAAGCCAGGAGUUUCAUUUCCUCAUUGUCCGAUAUCUACAUGUAGCAAUGGUAACAAAUGGCUGAAGUUCAACACAUCUUGUUCUGGUACGUACAAAUGGUAGUACUAAAUGUUAUAACGAAAAUACCGAAAUCAAACGUAAAUCAAAAUAGGUGAAGUCUAUAAAUAAAGGCAACAGUAGUAUACUGCUGUUCGAAAUUCAUAAAAAUCGAUUGAGAAAAAAAACAAAUCCGGGUAACAAACUAAAACUGAGGGAAACGUAAAAGCAGACAAAUCCAAACGCUGAACUCUACCAAUUCGAUUAUGUGUGACAUAUUUAAAACAUGUUUAUUACUGGGGUUUUGUACCUAAUAAGAAUUAUUUUUAGUAUUCGAAUAAAUGAAAGAAAGGGUUCCUUUGUUUCGCUUUCGAUGUUGACAUUCUUUCUUUGCCCAUCUCCGGUACGGGCCAAAUUGAUUGUGUGAAUAAAAAUUCAAAUGAAGUUGGAUUAUUGAAAUUCAUCGUUCCGACUGACAUAGUGUAUAUUCAAUUUUUGAACGUUAUACUAUUUGAAAUGGUAAACUGUAAUCACUAUAUACUAUAUUUUUUUAAAGGGCAUAAGCCAAGAUUAAGACUAAAGAAAUACAAUAUGAUUUGUUUGGUUCACUUAUAAAGCGGGAUUGUGAACGACUUAUUUCGUGUACAGAAAUAAUUUUUGUUCAAUUUUGUCGAAAACCCAAAACAACCGUGAUGUAUAAAUGAAUUUGAAUAAUCCAACCCCAUUUGAAUUUGUAUUCAUGCAACUUCAAUUUGACCCUUACCGGAGAAGGACAAAGAAAGAAUGUUAACGUUGAAAGCGAAACAAAUUAAAGGAACAAUUUCUUUGAUGUAUUCGAACUUCUAAAAUGCAUUCUUAUUAGAUAAACAAAAACCAGUGAUUAACAUAUCUUAAAUCUUUGACAAAAAAAUCAAACAGAUCUAGAAUUAAAAAAAAACAUUAAAGUACUUUUACACGUGCUUGUUUAAUACAAGUGAGCGGUUUAGCUUGCUAAAAUAAGAAGGUUCAAUCUACCAUUUUCUACAUAAGAAAAUAUUUGUACAAAGUCAGGAAUACGACCGUUGGUACAUAUUCGUUUGGUGUCUUUGAGCUUUUAAUUUUGCCAUUUGACUUUCCUUUAAAAGAGGGACGAAAGAUACCAAAGGGACAGUCAAACUCAUAGAUUGAAAAUAAACUGACAACUAAACAAUUUUCCUCUGAGUUCGAUAUUAUUGUUAUAUUACUUUUGGUGCAUUUAUAUUAACAGUAGUUCUACUAAAUCAAUCGAAUGACUGAAAAACAACUGUUAUAUUCCUGACUGAAUGUUUUCCGAACGAAAGAGAGGCGGAAGACCUAAAAGCAUCAUAAGUCGAACGAAAACUUACAACAGCAUUGCAAAAAACAAAAAAAACCGACAUAAACACAUAAACACAAGCUAUAAUAGUUGUACAAAUUUAAGGAAUACGCAUAUAAUAUUCGUGAAAUAUGAGACGUAAUUGCACAAACUCAUAUCUAAUCAAACGAGAAAAAAAAUAAACGUCUAGCAGGCCGGCUAGGAUUAGGAUGAAGUGCGACUGAAAUACAAUGGUUUAUGUCCACAAUAACGAAUUGGUAAACAAAUGAUUGUGAUGCAUCCGUGGAUCAACACACGAGAUACUAGUACAUUUAUACGUGGUCUUAAAUCUUUUGAUAGACAUUAGAAAAGUAUUGUCAGAUUUUUUAAUGCGGACGGAUUUUUAUUUACUAUCGCGAUUGUUUUACCAAGUAUUGAUUGAAGUAAUGCAUGCAUAAAAGAAGACUUAUUUUCUCAACGCGGGAUAUACGUAUUUUGAGCAUCGUUAAACUCAAUGAAAAAGUAUUAUACUAGUGCUGUUCUGGAUUUACCUUCACCGGGAAGGUCAAAUUUUAACAUUUAAAAGGCACAGAGGCGUAAAAUCGCAGCAACGUUAGGAAAUAAAAAAACAAAUUAAAAAUGACACGAACAGAAGAGUCAUAUCAAGUACUUUCCACUUUGCCUGAACUACUGUUGCCAUAGUUGAAUAUUUGCAUUUUCUUAUAAAAAACUUUAGGUUAAGAAGUCACUAUAUAUUUCUGUCGUUUAUUUCAGUUGAAGAUCGCUAUCUCAAUAGCACUAAAUACAACGGAAAAGUGUCCUGUUCAGUUAGUGGAACACCCUGUAUGAUUUGGAAUCUACAAAAACGCCACCUUUUACCUAUCAACUCAGAUGAUCAUGUAACAAAUUACUGCAGGGAUCCAGACGGGAAAGGACAGCCAUGGUGUUAUGUAGAUCAUCAAGGAACUGUUGAAAAAUGGGAAUUUUGUUAUGUUCCAAGGAGAUGAAGAAGAACCUUACAAGAACAUCAAUAUCCUUGAAAGUCUGUCAUACGCAAAAUGACGUGUUUACUACCUUAAUCAGGUUUUGUUACCAGUUAUGUAAUUUUGUGGAAUUUAAAAUUUUAAAAAUAAAUUUUGUGCUUAAAAUAUUUUCAAUAGUGUAAAUUUAGCCGUUAAAAUAUAUGUGAAAAGUAAAGGCAACAGUAGUAUACCGCUGUUCAAAACUCAUAAAUCGAUAGAAAAAAAUCAAAUCCGGGUAACAAACUAAAACUGAGGGAAACGCAUUAAAUACAAGAGGAGAUCAACGGCACAACAUUUAAAUGUAACACACAGAGAAACGAACUAAGCAUUAGACAAAAUCCGACGAGAAUAACAAAUAUAACAUCAAAACAAAAUAAACCCCACAAUAUUGAUAUUUGCACAGAUAAUUGCAAAUUUACUGCAAAUUCACAUUGGUAUACGAUUGUGCAUGCAUCAAAUAAUUUUAAAAUGACUUAGCAUGUGAUGACUAAAAUAUAUAGCUCAUGAUGACAAUAUGAAAUAGAUACCUUAUUUUCGAAGUGAUGUUAAUAUACUUGGUGAAUACUCUCUCUCCACAUUUUUAUGUAUUGCCUAUUCUAGAUAUUCACCUUCAAAAUUCAUCUCACAUAUCAUUUUUAUACCCCCGGUUUGAAAAAAGUAGGGGGGUAUACUGUUUUACCUCUGUUUGUCCUUCCGUCAGUCCGUCCGUCCCAUGAAUAUUUUUCGUCGCAUUUUUCUCAGGAACUACAAUAUAAGGAUUUCUGAAAUUUGGUUUUAGGGUUUAUAUAAGUCUGCUACACCGUUUGAUGCCUUUUCAGAUUCAUCACUCGACAACUUCCUGUUUACCGAACACUUGUGUUGUAAACGUAGAAUUCCGAGCGUUCAUAAAUUUAUAACUUAACACCAUCUUUGUAGAAAAUAGCAGUCACGAUUUAUUCACACUAUAUGUAUAUACAGACGUUACAUAAAAUACAAGAUACACAGCAUACACUCCAACAGUUACUGUCUUCAGUGCAACGCGAUUUUUCUACGGACUUUAAAGAUUGUCUACAAUGUUCCUGCCACAAUAUUUCUUUGAUAAGUUCACUAACUGUUGACGGUUCUUUAGUCAGAACUCUAUAUCCAAUGUUACCAUCAGGAUAUCCAUAUAUAGCAUACUCAGUAAUCAGCUUCACUAAUAAAUCUUCGUUCACACCAGGGAACGAUUUCCGAACAUUUAUCUCAGUUCUACAUACGUACUCUUGAACGCUUUCACUUGUAAGCAUAGUUAUAUUUCUCAAUUUCAUUCUACAAAUCUGAGCAGUCUCAAUAUCACCAAAUCGACUUUUCAAUGCAGAAUACAAAACAGAUACAUUAUAAAGAUCUCUGUGUGGUAAAUACGACACAUAUUCUAAAGCUUUACCUCUCAGUGAAGUAACCAAAUAAAAAGCCAUAUCACUAGAUGACCAAUUAAAACGUUCAGCAAAGAUAGAAAAUUUCAUCCAGAAACCUUCAAAAAGUUCAGUACCGUCAAACUCUGGUAAGUCACACCAGCUCAUGGUUAAUAUAUAUCAAAAUGCUGACAAAUAUAAGUUAUAGACAUACAUAAAACAACAAUUAUUUAUAGAUAAACGUAACAAUGUUGAUUUCUUUCAAAUUUGCACCUUAGAUUGUCAUUUUAUCCUUGAUGCUAACACCGAACAAAAAAUGUUUAAUUAAUUUCCGUCCACUUUUGCCGAUUAAAUACUUCUCUGUGAAUUAUGUGGUCGAAUCUGUUUUAAUUCCAAUAUCAGUUUUAAAAUGGUGAAUCUUCGUAUUCCAGUGCCGUAUCGUCCUUCUGUUGUAAUGUAUACAUUUGGUCACAAUCGUAUUGUCAAAUAAACUUGUUUACGGUACAUUCAUUGUUUAAUUUCAUAUUUCCUCCCCUCUUUAAAAGCAUUCCGUCUGUAUAAAAAUAUAAAUCAUCUGUUUGCGUAGAUCCGUUUCUGUUCGCUGCCACCAAUGUUGUAAACGUAGAAUUCCGAGCGUUCAUAAAUUUAUAACUUAACACCAUCUUUGUAGAAAAUAACAGUCACGAUUUAUUCACACUAUAUGUAUAUACAGACGUUACAUAAAAUACAAAAUACACGGCAUACACUCCGACAGUACAAACAUUCAGCCAUCUUGUCCAUCCGGCAACACAUCUCUCUCUCUCCCACGUCACUAUCACACAACGUCAAUAAUACGGGAAACAACGUUAACACUGUUUUGCGACAUUACGGACAUGAAGACAAAGUCACAUUCACAACAUAUAUCAACCUGAUUGUUUUGACCAACAAAACACAGCUUUACAUUAAAAAAGGUCUGCAUUGUUUUCCAGUAGCAUCUUUACUAUUUCAAUAUUAUUAAGACGACAAGCCACACGCAGAGGAGAUACUUCAGCAUCAUCACAUUUGUUAACGUCUGCCUUGUAUUGAAGUAACAGGUUUACUAUUUCAAUAUUAUUCUCCUGACAAGCUAUAAACAGGGGAGUCAUUCCAAGAACGACAUAUUUAUUAACGUCUGCCUUAUAUUCAAGUAACAUCUGAACUAUUUCAAUAUUAUUCUUAUGACAAGCUGUAAACAGGGGAGAUACUUUAUCAGUUGUACAUUUAUUAACGUCUGCCUUGUAUUCAAGUAACAUCUUAACUACAUCACCAUGAUUCCUCUGACAAGCCAUUAACAAGGAAGAUACUUCAUUAGCUUUACAUUUAUUAACAUCUGCCUUGUAUUCAAGUAGCAUCUUAACUACUUCAACAUGAUUCUUCUCACAAGCCAUAAGCAGGGGAGAUACUUCAUCCUCAUCACAUUUAUCAACGUCUGCCUUGUAUUCAAGUAGCAUCUUAACUACUUCAACAUGAUUCUUCUCACAAGCCAUAAACAGGGGAGAUACUUCAUCCUCAUCACAUUUAUUAACGUCUGCCUUGUAUUUAAGUAACAUCUUUACUAUUUCAAUAUGAUUCUGCUGACAAGCCACAAACAGGGGAGAUACUUCUUCAGCUUUACAUUUAUUAACAUCUGCCUUGUAUUCAAGUAGAAUCUUAACUACAUCAACAUGAUUCUCCUGACAAGCCAUAAACAAGGGAGAUACUUCAUCAGCUUUACAUUUAUUAACAUCUGCCUUGUAUUCAAGUAAUAUCUUAACUAUUUGAACAUGGUUUUUCUCACAAGCCACAAAGAAAGGGGAUACUUCAUCCUUAUUCCGUUUAUUAACAUCUGCCUUGUAUUCAAGUAAUAUCUUUACUAUUUGAACAUGGUUGUUCUGACAAGCCAUAAAUAAAGGAGAUAUUUCAUUAUCAUCCCAUUUAUUAACAUCUGCCUUGUAUUCAAGUAAUAUCUUUACUAUUUGAACAUGGUUGUUCUGACAAGCCAUAAAUAAAGGAGAUAUUUCAUUAUCAUACCAUUUAUUAACAUCUGCCUUGUAUUCAAGUAGCAUCUCAACUAUAUCAACAUGACCCAACUGACAAGCUAUAAACAGGGGAGAUACUUCAUUCUCAUCACAUUUAUUAACAUCUGCCUUGUACUUAAGUAGCAUCUUAACUAUAUCAAUAUGAUUCGUCUGACAAGCUAUAUGCAAGGAAGAUACUUUAGCCUCAUCACAUUUAUUGACAUCUGCCUUGUAUUCAAGUAACAGCUUUACUGCUUUAGUAUCACCUUCUUGUGACGAAACAAAUACAGGACUAACACCAUCCGAUCUACAUUGGUUAACAUCUGCACCAUAAUAACAACACCACUGAAUUAAAGAAAAGUCACAUAUAAAACAACAAUCCAAUAGUGCAUUAUAUUUGUAUUCGAUAUCAUUAAUUUGGGCUAAUUGUUUUUGGUAUGAUAAAUCAAGUGUUUCCACAAAAUUCAAAAAUCUCUUUCUGAAAUCUGGUUUUUCCAUAUUUAUAUUAUUGAACACUGACAUAACUCUACCAAUAGACCAGUCAUCAACCAUUCUUUGAAUGUAAAUUUGAUGGUAUUGUGGUGGUACAACAAUGAUAAACUGUUCCAUAUCUUCUUCUCUUUCGAAUGAUAAUCGUUCGCUGAUAAACAUACUUUGUGAAUUCUUAAUCAAACACUGAAUUAUCAUUUUCCCAAAAUAAUGAGAUAAAAAGUCGAAUAGUUUAUCAUGUAUUGUUUUGUAAAUGCCAUCUUCUUUUUUCAAAAAAGUAUGUUCGAGUGUAUCAAGUUCAUCCAAUAACAUUAAUCGUGAUGUACUUCUUUCUAACCUACAAGCCUCACAGGUGUUCUUUAUGAUCCUUUUUGUUUCUUUAUCAAUCUCUUCUGUUAACACUUCCUCGUUUAACUCGUUAUUGAACAUGACAAGCAAUGCCAAAGCACAGUAUUUUCCAAAAAUUUCUUUUUUCUUGAGCUGUUCAAUUUCUGCUUCAUACACUGAGAAUGGAUUCUGGAAAAAUUCUGUAAUAUUGAGUUCAGUGUUAUCACGAUAAAGUUUACAGAGAAGCGGAAAACAUUCAUAUAAAUGACAAUAUUGGAUAAUCUCUGAAGCUUCUGUUUCAAGAUAAAUUUCUGCUAUUGACUCCUUUUCAGCCUGUGACAAACAUAAAUUUUCCGAUAACAAGUUACAUACAUUGGUUUUAAAAAUAGACAGCGCUUCAAAUUUGUUAUCUUUGUAUACUUGUAUUCUACAGGCCACAAUAAUUUUGAUGAGUGAUUUAUGAAUUAGCCCUUCAAUACGCGUCAUAACUGGUUCCCAAUUGUAUAGAUCAGACUGGUUAAUAGAAUAUGUUCCACAAAAGUUAUCAAUAACAAACAAUGUUUUCUGAUUUGGAUUAUAAUAAUCAAUAAUGUUAUGUGGAUUGGUUACAAGAAGCACAUCAUACCCUUCUUCUGCCAUUUUUAAAACUACAUGUUGUAGGGUUGCUGUCUUGCCAACACCAGAACUAGCAGUUAUGGUGACACAACUAUUUUCUUUGAUACAUUUUAGCACAUGUUUUGCAGCUUUAGUCUCGACAAAAUUUAAAUCAUUCUUUUGCCACUGAUCCAAUAGUUGAAUGAUUUGUACUGAAAUAUAAAUAAAUCAAUAUUAUUGGUUGUUAAUCAAAUGAAAUAACAUAAGAAAUAUGUCCAAGUUAGUUUUUCAAUAAUUUGUCACAUUAUCUCAAACAAAUCAUGUUUUCAUUCACAUUGAACAAACCAAAGAGAGAUAUGAUCAAUCAAAAACAGGGGAUAACAUGCACUGGAGAUUCAUUUAAAACAAUGAGAGGAAUGAACUAUGUGUUUCUUUUCGAAAAAAUACAUCCAAAGCUUCACAACACUCUAUCAAAAUUCCAAGUAAAAUGUAAAUCCUACAAAAUGAUUCAUGUGUGCAUUACUCAUCAAACAAAACCCUUAAUUAUGCAUAUAUUUUCACAUUAUAUUUAAAUUUAGGGCCAAAUAUAUUUAUAUUCUAAAUGACAAGUGAUUAGUUUCAGAAUUGCAAUGCAUCCCACCCAAAUUUUAAUUGAAACUUUCUACAGUUUAAAUACAGAGAUGAACUACAGGAUGUUUUUAUGGUAUUGCAUUUUAUUUGUUCACCAAUAUGGGUCAUAAAGUCAUCUGAAGCAAGUAUUAUGCUUAAGAAAUGAAUGUAUCAAUCUAAUCAUUCAUACUAAAUUAAGGCAUUAAUUUAACAGUAGUGUACAUAGGUUCAAAUGUCAUUAAUGAAUUAGGAUAAGAAGUAAAGGCUACAAAGACGAACCAACGUAAUUCUUGAAAAAAAAAAGUCGGUGAGUUUAGCCGGAAUAAUUUAUAUGCUUCUUCCGGUUGACAAUCGUUAGGUAUAAUAAAAAGAAUCUAGCAUCAAUUUUAAAUUCCAGAUUCUUUUUAUUAUAACUAAGUUCAUCCUGAAAGUAAAUCCUCAAAAAUACAUAAGAAUCUGAAAACCGUUAAUUAUUUGACCUGGUGUGAGAAUAACUAACCAUGAAAUGCAGUUGGUGUUGGUGUGUGUUUUUUUUAAAUAUAAAUUGCAUGCUGCCCAAGCUUAGUUGCAAUUCGAUAAGACAUUCAUAUCUUCAUCUACCUACAUACCUACCUACCUUUAAACGAUUGUCAACCGGAAGUAGCAUAUAGAUUAUUCCGGCAAAACUUACCGACUGCAAUAUUUGUUUGGCGUUUAUACGUUAUGGAUUCAUAAAAAAAGAGGAUAUAGUUUUUUAUCAGAAUAAGUUCAUACUAUCUUCUGAUCUACAUUGUUUCGUAGAUCCAUUUCGAGACUUAUUUAAAUGGCUCGAACGUAACCUUAUAUUUGCAAUUGUAUUGUGUGGGUCUCAAAUCGAAAGAAAAAAAUCUAGAACCUGAUUAAAUUUGGGUAUAUGACCUGUAAUCGGCUCUUGAAGUCUUACAUGAAAACAAAAAUGGUGUUAUGGAGGAAAUUACUUUAUUCUGUAUCGUAGUAAACAAAAUUAAAAUGUCCGAAAAUUUGGCAAUAGUUCCUAAAUCUCACCUAAUUACAGGUAAAUGAUUACAGUUUUAUCACUAACACUACAUGCUAAAGUUUUUUGUUAAAGAUCUUACCUCUAAUAUUCCAAGGUACUGUUGACUGGUCUAAAUGUUUUGAUCUUAGCUCUUGACAUUCCUCAUACAUAUUUAGACCACCAAGUCUCUUCACAGCCUAUGAACAAAUGAUGUUUUACAGGUAAAAAUCAUAUAUUCGAAUCCAACAGGCUAUAAACAAAAAGAUGGUAUUAUAAUCAUUACGAGAUUAAAAAGAGCUAAGUAUAAGUUUGAACAUUAAAUCAAUAACUGUGUCGAAUUCUGAAUAUUAGUAGAUCGAUCACUACAGUUAAUAUAUCACUUGAAACCAAAACGGCUAUUUAAAUUUCAAGACCUUUUAAAAAACUGAACAUUGAAUUAUGAAGUCAGGUUCAGUGUUAAUUAAUAUUCAUAAUUAUCUACAUGUACUGUUCAGGAAAUAUGUUGAUUAAAAUAUCAAGGAGUCAAAGAAAAACGUGAAAAUGUAUUCUUACUCCACUGAUAUCUUUCCAUGCAGUAACAAAGACUGUAGAUUUGAUCUUUCCGUCUUCAAAAUGAUGUAGGAGGUUUCUGUAGUGUUUAAUUCUUGCCAGGUCAGCCGUAGAUGUGAUAUCUGUACUUAAUGGUAAGAAGUCAUAUCCACAUACGGGUGAAGGUACAUUUGUCAAAUUCCUGAGUAAUACUACCAUUAAUGUGACAUCAAAAGUGUUAGAGUCAGGGACACCUGUAACACAAAAUUUAGUAUAAGCCCUUAAUUGAGAUGAACACUAAAAUUAAAGCUUUUUCUAUAAGGGAUGAAAGAAUGGAGAAGACACCAAACGGAUAUCCACAGUGAUAUUUAUAUAAUAUACUAAUGUUUUAGGGUGAACUAAGGAAAUGACAAGAAAAACAGUGUUUAGUACAAAAAUGUCAGUAUUCACCUCAAAAGCUUACAAAACCUUUAAACAUACUUAUUAAGAAGGGAUAUAGUUACGAUACUGUUGUCAGGUCAAUAAAGAUUGCAAAUUUUUGCUUUAAUAUUGAUUCACUUUGUAUUUGUUUGGUUUAUAACUAUUUUGAUAUGAGCGUCACUGAUGAGUCUUAUGUAGACGAAAUGCGCGUCUGGCGUACUAAAUUAUGAUCCUGGUACCUUUGAUAAGUAUUAUAGGGUCUAUGCAUCGGAACUAAACACAUUUAUUCAAAAAGACAGUUGUUGGCAUGACACGGGUUAUGUUCUUCUCAUAUAUUUUAUGAUAGUAUGAUACUAGGCCCCUAACGGGAGGGAUUGUGCCUGAUAUUCAUAUGAUGAAGACACAAUCUUUCAAUCAGUUUUAUUGAGGUCUGGAGCUGGCAUGUCAGUUAAUGGAUAGCAGUCUGCUGUUAUUUAUGUAUUAUUGUCAUUUUAUUUAUUUUCUUUUAUUUUAUCUUCUGACAUCGGACUCGGACUUCUCUUGAACUGAAUUUUAAUGUUCGUAUUGUUAUGCGUUUACUUUUAUGCAUUGGCUAGAGGUAUAGGGGGAGGGUUGAGAUCUCAUAAACAUGUUUAACCCCGCCGCAAUUUUGCGCCUGUCCCAAGUCAGGAGCCUCUGGCCUUUGUUAGUCUUGUAUGAAUUUUAAUUUUAGUUUCUUGUGUACAAUUUGGAGUUUAGUAUGACGUCCAUUAUCACUGUACUAGUAUACAUAUUUUUGUAAGGGGCCAGCUGAAGGACGCCUACAUUGAAGACCCAUUGGUGACCUUCGGCUGUUGUCUGCUCUAUGGUCGGGUUGUUGUCGCUUUGACACAUUCCCCAUUUCCUUUCUCAAUUUUAUUUAGAGAUAUAACUAGGUGUUUAUUUCUAUGUUAUCAAAAUUUGUUUCUUUUCCAAAAUAUAUUUGAGAUAUUGCACAACUUUUGUUGGAUUGAAAUGACAAUACAUGUCAACAAAUUUACUUUCAAAGUUUGAAGUUAAAUCAAUUACUUCAUUUGUUUAAAUAUGUAAGAUACAUCAGCACAUAUACAAAUAAUUGCUUUGGAAGAAUCAUUGCACCGUCCAUUUUCAAAAUAUCUUAUACAUACCAACACGAGGAAAAAGUAAAUUCCAUUGAGCUCCGUUAAUAACACGUUUCAUUCUUAAGUCAAGCAGUUUUCCAUGUUCCUUUUUAAUUGUAGCAUGUAAGCAAGAAGGAUGAAAUUCUUUAUCAAAUAAAACCCGUACAGCCCUUGAAGAAAUGUCUGUCAUCAACAAAUGUAUUCGCAAAUAGUUUUCUUCUUCCUCUGAAACAUGUGAUAUAUAGGCAGUUGACAUUUUGAUUAUCUAUUUCAAAAUCUGGAUGUUCUUUUUCAAUAGAUGAUUGUUUUACCGGUGUUAUCGUUUUAUUUUUAAUUCAGUAUUUCUUGAAACUAUACUUCCAUUCUUGCCAUGUGGGACCUUCUUCCUUGCUGUUUGGUAAUUCAAAUAUGCAAAGACUCUCAAGAUUAUUUCCAUAGACUCUUGGUUAUGUAAGAACAUUAUUUCUUACUUUUGAUUGUUCAAGUAUAAUGUGUUGUUUAGAAUUGUCUCUCUGACAGUCUAGUAUUUGAAAUGUCAACAUGUUCGCAUUUUUUUAAAUUUUAUUUCAUUGUCCUGUACAUAUUUGCUUUCCUUGCAGUCUUUUCAUUCCAGUUUAGCUGAAGUUCAGAAUUUACUCCCUACUUGUUGGACCUCAUAUUUAAAAUCAUCUCACAUGCUGCUUUUUAUUCCAUAAUAAACUGUAAAAAAACAAAAAAUGUAUUCUGAAAUAUGUUUUCAGAACAGUUAUUUGCAAAAGAUUCCGAUUGAUUUACUUUCCAUUUUACGAGUUGACGAUCUAUUUUUUCAUUCCAAAAGAAGGCAUUUGAAAAAAAGACUUCAGAUAUUGAAAACGUUUGGGACAUCCAUCCAUAUAAUGAUUGUAGAAAAGUAUACUGGUCGACAUUGAAAUUAAAGGACCGUAGAUAUGUGUAUAACAGCGGGUGGUAAAAAUUGUGUAAAUGAGUAAACGUAUCAAAUGAAAUUUAGGUGUUCAUUAAUUUUGCCAUCUUCAUUGGGAACGGACAAAAUUGAAGGUAGAUUUUUAAUUUGACUUUAGGCAUAAAAUGCACUUAAUAUUUUUUAUCCAGUUCCUGCCAUACAUAAAAUUGUAAACAUGUGUGUCAAUACUAAGAGUACAUUUUCAGGUGUAAGCACAGUCAUAAUAAUGUAUUUUUCAUUUUGAAAUUAAGGAGUUUUUAGAUGUUUUUUGUUUGUGUCUGUUUUCCAAAACUUGAAACUGUUUAUUCAUUUGAAUUUGAUAUUCAUAAAUUGUAAUAUAAGAAUCCAAUCAAUCGAUACUGUUAAGGACCUAAAAAAUAUAGGUGUCAGACCCCCAAUUACUCCCACCAAUUUAGAACGUAUGUAGCCCUACUCUGACACAAAAUAGUGUGUUUGAUGUCAUUGUGUACUUAUAAACUAACCAAAAAUAUACAGAGAUGGAACUUUUGGUGAAAGAGAAAUAUAUUUAGACCAUGCUGAGCCACAAUUCACUUGUCUUUGAGUUUGCAUUAUAAAAUUCAGGAUUAAUGCGCUACAUAAUAUAGUAAUUACUGAUUUCCAGAAAACCAGGGGUAAAUUUUGGAGUACCUCUGUACGAAGGUCAGUUUUACUUUUAUACGACUUUAAAGGUAUGAUGAAAAUUAACAUGUAGAAAGCUGAUGCCUGCAAAAUUCAGGAUACACCUGGUUUUUAUGAAGUUCUACUUAAGGUAAAAUAUUAGGAAGCUGUGAAAAUUUUAUAAUUUGGUUCAACAGAUCACGGAAUGGUGGUCUGCCAUCUAUAGCAAAAUUGAAAUAAACUAUAGAUGCAUAAUAAAUCAUAGCGUUAUCGAGAUAAGUAUUAUUUCUAUGUUAGUAACUUGAUUGAACUAUUUGAUCUUAAAUUACUUUGGAUGUGAAAAUUCAAAAGAAUAUACCAAUUUUCUUGCUAUAACUUAUUCACCAGCAGGAAAAACUGCAUUUAUUUCAAUGCUUAAAUGGGCAAAUGUAUGUCCGCAUAAAGCAUCAACGAACCUUUCACUGACAUUUUCAACCACCAAUUGACAAACAUCAACAUACACCAACUAAACAAACUUUAACAGACAAAGACAGCAUUAUUUUAACAGUCCAAGCAGUCAAUCACCAACGAAACAGACCUACUAAAUGGGAACGUCAAAUGUUAUUUCAACUACGCCAACAAGCAAAGUCACAACUAACUUAAAACAAUUUAACAGUCAAACAAUCCGCGUGAUAUUGCAACAGCGAGCACAGUCAAUCACCACCCAAACAGAUCUACCAACAAGAGAACACGUCAACUGCUAAUUCACCAAACUAAUAGCAAAGUUAAACGUUUACUCAACAAUACUUGAACAUACUGAGUCAAAUCUACCAGCAAACCAACAACCAACAUAACAAAACAUACAUCCAACAGGCUAAUUCUAUUAGACAUAAAACUUACUUUCAAUUGCAAACAAAAAUCGGGGCCACAACACUACCUUUUGGAGUCAUAAUUUCAUUUUGUAAGAUCAAGUAUUGCUGAGUUGUGAUGCUGUUCAUAGUUUAAUUUAUAAGAAGUAGUGGAUUCAUAAAUGAGAGUCAUACGCGACGUUAGUCGAAAGUUAAUUGUCGUUUUUGAAACCUGUACUUCUUAUAAUAGUUUCUUUCUAAACCUAUGUUAUUCUUAGCAUUUUUGUCAGUGGCAGUUAUUCACUAUUUACUGUUGUUUUCAAGAUAUUAAUACAAUUAAUGCGACUUAUCCUAAGUUUCCUUACUUUUGAUUUGUAGACAUGGUGGUUAUGCUGGUUGUUUGGCGGAACAAAUACACAAAUUUAAUUCCAAUAACCUUAUUGAAAUUGAUCUUUGAUUUCAGAGGAGGAGAUCUUUGCAAACGUUUUCGAUGGUCGACGAUAACGAAGUUGAUAGACGCCAUGUCAUGACAAUAACUUAAUAUGUGGCUUAUUUGGGUCAGGUUAAUAUAGAAAGCUAUAUUUUGAAGACUCCCUUUUUACAUUCUUAAGUUUAAAUUGCUCACAGUGAAACUGACAUUGUGAAUUAAAACCUAUAAACAAACAUAAAUACAUACCUCCUUCUUUAUUAAAGCAACUAGACUGCAAGAAUUACGAGACACACACCAUUUACAUUUUCCUUUCAAAAAUUACGACCUACUCUGUAGUGAAUAAGAACACGUUUACAACUGAUAAAGACUUAAGAUAAAAAUUUAGAUUACAAUAUUUGAGAGUUUAUACUGUGCCAGAUAACCUAUAAUGUUAUAUAUAUGAUGUUUAUUUAACUUUUAUAGAGGACUUAAAACUAUAAAACUUUGAUCAAAUGAUACUAUCAGAUUUUUUAUCUAUGUUAGUAUCUGCAUCUGAUUCAGACAACCCCUAUAAUAGGUAGUGUCACAGUAACCUUGAAGUUCCGACUGAUUCAUGGCAAGAUAGAUUUUAAUAAUUUGUUUCGUUGAGCAUACGACAGUCCCUGUUAUAUAACGUUGGUUGCAUGUUGGGGGAACACAUGUUUAAUUCAUUUGAUAUCCUGUAAAGUGAAGGAAGAUACAGUUUUCAUCAAUGUUUGUUUACCCUACUCGGUUAGACUUAUCAACCUUAUUCGUAGAUCUGUUCACAUUAUUAUCUUUUACUGUUUUAAGUAGAUAUAUGAAGAUGUGGUAUGAGUGCCAAUGAGACAACUCCCCAUCUAAGUGUCUUUAUAUCUAUUAUAAUUUUAAUGCAAGUAGACUUACACUAUAAAAAAUGGUAAAUUCAUAACUAAACGUCAUUAACCCCCAUAAGUAGUCAACUGACAAUUUCAGCUAUAGCCCUUGUUUGAAGAUAUUUUCUUGCUAAUCAUGUUUGUUAUUUAAAGUUUCUAUCUGUAUAUCAUGCACUAUAAACCAAAGUUUGAACACAUACUCGACAAGGCUUAAAACAGUCUCAACCUGAUUUGGACCUGUAUUUAACCAGUUUGUAUUUUUAAUGUCGCUAACAAAACCCGACCAAUUGACUUGAAAGUCUGAACCGUACACAAACAAAGUCUAAACCUUACUUGACCAAUACACUUCUACAUUAUCAAUCUUUAAUUAUAUAAAUGUAAAUUUAUUCAACAGUACAUUACUUAUUUUACAUUGAUUUUUUUAUCCGACAAAUUACUUAUUUACAUAUUACUCUUUCUAAGGAAAACACAUAUUGAAAAAAUAGACUCUAAAUAAAUGAAGAACAGACAAAAUGAGGUCGAGGAUUGUCAAAGUCUAGUAUGGUUCAAACUUGAGUGUAGUAUAAUUCAGACUCUUUAUAACGGUCAAACAGGUUUAGUAUAGGUUCAGAGUGUUUAGUAUGCUUCAGACUAUAGGUAAGGAAAAUUCAGACCAAUAUGGGUAAGGAAAAUUAAGACCAAUAUGGGUAAGGAAAAUUCAGACCAAUUCGGGAUGUGCGAGUAAAUUCAGUACUGCACGUUUCAGAUGUUUUUCUAGUUUGUAGUGAUGGUUCUGAAGAUAAUAAACAAAUUAGCAAAAGUAGUCAUUAAUGAGUUGCAUCCUCAAUAUGUAGACAACUGACAAUUUCGGCCAUGUAGAAAUAUUGGUGAAUAUAUUGCCUUGUUGAUUAUUUUUGCUGUUUAUACUUUACACUUCCUAAAAAUAACAGGCAAAAGCUAUAGUAAAAAUUGGUAAAAUUGUCAUUCAAUGGCACUUAUUACUGUUAGAAGUCACCUGACGGUUAUGAUGUAAAGGGAUAGUGGUUAGAUCUCAUCAUUCUAAUCAGUUGCCCCCGUCAUAUUGUCGCUUUCUAUAGCGUUUUGUUAAGAGAGCAGAAACAAAUUGCACUUUACGAUUAUGAGUGUUGAGACAUGUAGUUUAUAUCUGCUGACACUUUAUCAAAAUAUAUAUAUGGAUUCUUUUUUCGAUUUUAAAAGUGUAUAGAAAUAGAUUGAACUAUACAGGAAAUGUGUUACUGGAUGUCAUUUUGCAUACAUAGCCCGAUGUCGUAAUCUGUUAUAGAAAUACAUUGAACUAUACAGGAAAUGUGUUACUGGAUGUCAUUUUGCAUACAUAGCCCGAUGUCGUAAUCUGUUAUAGAAAUAGAUUGAACUAUACAGGAAAUGUGUUACUGGAUGUCAUUCAUUUUGCAUACAUAGCCCGAUGUCGUAAUCUGUUAAGUGUUACAAAAUCUUUUCAGAAAAUGCGGCGCCAAAUUUGACUAAACUAUAAAAGGAAUAUUCAGUUUAUAUGGAUUCAGUUUCGAUUUUAAAAGUUUUGAGUAGUACACACAAUUAUCCGUUUUUAAAAUCAAAUUGCUCAGGAUUUUGGAAAUGUACCUUUGUAUAAUCAGAGUUCUGUCUGAGUAAUAUUGUUUAAGCCACAAUUCAUGUUUAACUAAGCAGUAAAUAAAGGUAAACUGUUAUAUUUACCUGCAAGAAAUAUGGAUAAAUUUGAAAUGUUAUCGGUCUAACUGAACAAACAAUAACCAGUGUUAAUAAGUGUGUUUACUGAUAACAAAUAUUUGGUAAACUUGAUCAUCACAAUUUAGGUAUACAGAUGAUAUGAAAAUGACUCUUGUGUUUCAAUUUUUUUCCCAUUUUUUUUUUUAAAGUAAUUAUUCCCCAAUAGUUACAUUGAAUGGAUCCCCAAAACAUGAGAAAGAAUGUCAUAUGACAUUUCUGAAUGCUUAAUAUUUUGCUGUCUUGUUGACCAACAUCCCCUUAAAUAGACUUACGAAAAACCAAGAAGUCUAGUAUCAACAAAAAUACAAUUUGGUACCAACGAAAAUAUUAAUUCACAGAAUUCAGAUUUGGUGUAUUUUUUAUUUCAGUAUUGAAUUCAUACAGUGAAAAACUGUAAUAUUUUUUUUUGUAUCGUUAUUUAAAGUAAGAGUAAAUCUUUUAAUGUUUAACAAUCUGUGCUUCCGUUCGUCUGUUGUUUUGAUUAUUUAAACGGUCGCCCAUCUGUUCGUCCGUCUGUCCGUUCAUUCGUCCGUCUGUCCCGCUUCUUGUUGAAGUUUUUGGUUAACAUUGUUGGUCAAGGUCGUUUUUGACAUAAACACAAGCAAGCUAUUACGGGCCCCAAAACAAUUAGUGAAAACAUAUUCAAACGGGAAAAACCAACAGUCAAAUCUAUAUAAAGAAACGAGAAACACCUAUAAACCACAUCAACAAACGACAACAACUGAACAUCAAAUUCAUGACUUAUGACAGGUGCAAACAAAUGAAGUGGGUUUAAACGUUUUAAUAGGUACCAGCAUUUACCCUUAUUUAAAAUAAUAGUGUAACAUCAUAACCAAAAAUGACACACUACAACAUAUUAAUUAAAAUGGCGGAAUUCAAGCAAAAGACAUAUAUAAAACACAAGUGAACAUACACUACACGAAUAAAUUUGAUCGUUGACACAAUGUAAAUGCAAAAUCAAUAUAAAAAUCUGUUAGAUGUUUAAUUUUUUGAGAAAAAAAAACUAUAAACCUGAAAUGUCGCCAAAUAGAAUAAGAAUAAUAAUAGACACAGUUAAAUGACAGUAAUUGGUUGUAAGGUAUACAGUACAUAUAUAGAGAACGGAAAUAUGUUUUACAAAAUACAUAUUUAUGUUCUUCAUAAUACUAGAACAAAAGUGAAAAUUUAUAGUUCUGCACUUAAGCUUGUUAGUACAGCUAUCUAUAAUACCCCAAUAAAAGUGAAAAUGAGUUUUAGGCAAAUACGUUGUACUCAGUACAUGCAAAACUGGCAACAAACAUUACUUCAAAAUUGACUUAUAAUUUAGUUUAAACAAUGUCAGGUUUUGAAUGAAAUAACAUCUAUAAAUAGGAAUAUAAAUCAUUACAAAAUAGACUAACAACUGAAGAUAGACAUGUUUAAUGAUAGAACAGCAUUAGAAUCGUAAAAAUUUGAGAAAGUUCUGGAUAUCUAAUCCCAAGCUAAGUGACCUAAGAUAAAAAAAAAUCUUCAUCUCUGCUGGACUGUUUCACGUUGUGCUUAGCAUUUGUAACUUGAUAAGCAAUUCAUAUAUUAAAGGAAUUUGUAAUGUGGGACCGUUAAAACAAGGCUCUGAUCUUUGACUGGAAAACAUAUAGUGAAGACAUGGAAGGUUUAGCAAAUCUCCAAUAUCAAUACUGGUCUAAAUUGGAUACGNNNNNNNNNNNNNNNNNNNNNNNNNNNNNNNNNNNNNNNNNNNNNNNNNNNNNNNNNNNNNNNNNNNNNNNNNNNNNNNNNNNNNNNNNNNNNNNNNNNNNNNNNNNNNNNNNNNNNNNNNNNNNNNNNNNNNNNNNNNNNNNNNNNNNNNNNNNNNNNNNNNNNNNNNNNNNNNNNNNNNNNNNNNNNNNNNNNNNNNNNNNNNNNNNNNNNNNNNNNNNNNNNNNNNNNNNNNNNNNNNNNNNNNNNNNNNNNNNNNNNNNNNNNNNNNNNNNNNNNNNNNNNNNNNNNNNNNNNNNNNNNNNNNNNNNNNNNNNNNNNNNNNNNNNNNNNNNNNNNNNNNNNNNNNNNNNNNNNNNNNNNNNNNNNNNNNNNNNNNNNNNNNNNNNNNNNNNNNNNNNNNNNNNNNNNNNNNNNNNNNNNNNNNNNNNNNNNNNNNNNNNNNNNNNNNNNNNNNNNNNNNNNNNNNNNNNNNNNNNNNNNNNNNNNNNNNNNNNNNNNNNNNNNNNNNNNNNNNNNNNNNNNNNNNNNNNNNNNNNNNNNNNNNNNNNNNNNNNNNNNNNNNNNNNNNNNNNNNNNNNNNNNNNNNNNNNNNNNNNNNNNNNNNNNNNNNNNNNNNNNNNNNNNNNNNNNNNNNNNNNNNNNNNNNNNNNNNNNNNNNNNNNNNNNNNNNNNNNNNNNNNNNNNNNNNNNNNNNNNNNNNNNNNNNNNNNNNNNNNNNNNNNNNNNNNNNNNNNNNNNNNNNNNNNNNNNNNNNNNNNNNNNNNNNNNNNNNNNNNNNNNNNNNNNNNNNNNNNNNNNNNNNNNNNNNNNNNNNNNNNNNNNNNNNNNNNNNNNNNNNNNNNNNNNNNNNNNNNNNNNNNNNNNNNNNNNNNNNNNNNNNNNNNNNNNNNNNNNNNNNNNNNNNNNNNNNNNNNNNNNNNNNNNNNNNNNNNNNNNNNNNNNNNNNNNNNNNNNNNNNNNNNNNNNNNNNNNNNNNNNNNNNNNNNNNNNNNNNNNNNNNNNNNNNNNNNNNNNNNNNNNNNNNNNNNNNNNNNNNNNNNNNNNNNNNNNNNNNNNNNNNNNNNNNNNNNNNNNNNNNNNNNNNNNNNNNNNNNNNNNNNNNNNNNNNNNNNNNNNNNNNNNNNNNNNNNNNNNNNNNNNNNNNNNNNNNNNNNNNNNNNNNNNNNNNNNNNNNNNNNNNNNNNNNNNNNNNNNNNNNNNNNNNNNNNNNNNNNNNNNNNNNNNNNNNNNNNNNNNNNNNNNNNNNNNNNNNNNNNNNNNNNNNNNNNNNNNNNNNNNNNNNNNNNNNNNNNNNNNNNNNNNNNNNNNNNNNNNNNNNNNNNNNNNNNNNNNNNNNNNNNNNNNNNNNNNNNNNNNNNNNNNNNNNNNNNNNNNNNNNNNNNNNNNNNNNNNNNNNNNNNNNNNNNNNNNNNNNNNNNNNNNNNNNNNNNNNNNNNNNNNNNNNNNNNNNNNNNNNNNNNNNNNNNNNNNNNNNNNNNNNNNNNNNNNNNNNNNNNNNNNNNNNNNNNNNNNNNNNNNNNNNNNNNNNNNNNNNNNNNNNNNNNNNNNNNNNNNNNNNNNNNNNNNNNNNNNNNNNNNNNNNNNNNNNNNNNNNNNNNNNNNNNNNNNNNNNNNNNNNNNNNNNNNNNNNNNNNNNNNNNNNNNNNNNNNNNNNNNNNNNNNNNNNNNNNNNNNNNNNNNNNNNNNNNNNNNNNNNNNNNNNNNNNNNNNNNNNNNNNNNNNNNNNNNNNNNNNNNNNNNNNNNNNNNNNNNNNNNNNNNNNNNNNNNNNNNNNNNNNNNNNNNNNNNNNNNNNNNNNNNNNNNNNNNNNNNNNNNNNNNNNNNNNNNNNNNNNNNNNNNNNNNNNNNNNNNNNNNNNNNNNNNNNNNNNNNNNNNNNNNNNNNNNNNNNNNNNNNNNNNNNNNNNNNNNNNNNNNNNNNNNNNNNNNNNNNNNNNNNNNNNNNNNNNNNNNNNNNNNNNNNNNNNNNNNNNNNNNNNNNNNNNNNNNNNNNNNNNNNNNNNNNNNNNNNNNNNNNNNNNNNNNNNNNNNNNNNNNNNNNNNNNNNNNNNNNNNNNNNNNNNNNNNNNNNNNNNNNNNNNNNNNNNNNNNNNNNNNNNNNNNNNNNNNNNNNNNNNNNNNNNNNNNNNNNNNNNNNNNNNNNNNNNNNNNNNNNNNNNNNNNNNNNNNNNNNNNNNNNNNNNNNNNNNNNACUUAAAUUGUUUUUACGUUCCAUAAUUAAUCUUUAUCCAAAAAAUCUUCUGGUACUCUAAUUUUAAAAGGGAGUUUACUGAUUCAAUAUUUUAAUAAUGUACAAAUUCUGAAAACAAUAUUCGUAAGGCCAAAUAAAAUAGUGUUUGGUUCCAGUUACAUCUAAAAAAUAAACCAGAUGCCCGCAGGGCGUAGCUUUAUACGACCACAGAGGUUGAACCUGAACAUUUGGGGCAAGUAUGGACACAACAUUCAAGCUGGAUUCAGCUAAAUUUGGAUUGUGUUAAAUAGUUGACACAGCAUAGUUCUGACACAGAAUGAAUGUGUUUCUAAUGAACUUAAAAUUUUUGUUUUCUCUUGAGCAAUUCACUAUGCUGUUGAAUAUUAUCCUCUCAAAAAAAUGUUUGAAGAAAUUUUCUUUUUUAUUUAUGAAAUUUCAAAAUGAGAAACCAGGUGCUCCGCAGGGCGCAGCUUUAUACGACCGCAGAGGUCGAACCCUGAACAGUUGGGCAAGUAUGGACAAAACAUUCUAGCGUGAUACAGCUCUGAAUUUGGAUUGUGAUCAAAUUUUUGACAUAACAUGGUUUUUUUUACACAAAACAAAUGUCAAGAUUUUACAAAUUUACAAUUAAAGAUUUCUUCUUCAACUUUUUAAAUCAAAAUUAAAUAGUUGACACAGCAUAGGUUCUGACACAGAAUGAAUGUGGUCUAAUGAACUUAAAAGUUUUUUUUGCCUUUUUAGCAAUUCACUAUGCUGUUGAAUAUUAAUCCUCUCAAAAAAAUGUUUGAAGAAAUUUUUUUUUAUUUAUAAAUCUGAAAUGAGAAAAAUUUAACCCCCCCCCCCCUUUUUUUCACAUCCCCGUUUCCCUUUUUCCAAAACUGAUAUCAAUUCAAAUUUCUAAUGGAGUUUGCAACAAUAACUACUCUUUUAAAUACAUCAUAAAAUAUUAAAAUGUAAAAUAAAGUGCUUGUUAUCACUGAAUGGUAAAGAUUGGUUGGUAGUAAAAGUGAAUAUACAUUGUUUUUGUAUAAAACAAUAAAAAAAACUUCAUCAGCAACAUUUUAUAUUGGCAAAUUUCCAAUGAAGUUAUUUACAUAAAGUUAUUGGCAAAUAAAAAUAGAAAAUGACAUCAUAGUCAUGUCUGGCAAAUGUCCAACAUACAUUACCUAAAAACAUUUUAGAUAAGAUAAGGAAAUAAGAUGUAAAAAAAACUGCUUGUUAUCACUGAAUGUAAAGAUUAUUUCAAUUUAUCUGUUGGUAGUAAAAAGUGAAUAUACAUUGUAUAUUGUAUAUAACCAAAGAUUUAAGUUGAUUUGGACAAAGAAAGAUAACUCCAAUUAAAAACAAAUAUUGCUAUUUCACAAUAUUGUGCAAUUAGAUAUUUCUUGCUUACUAUUCUGGACAAAGAAAGAUAACUCUAAUUAAAAAAAAUAUUGCUAUUUCACAAUACUGUGCAAUUAUAUAUUUCUUGCCAUUGUGCAAUACUGUGCAAUUGAAAAGACUUGCUAUUGCACAAUACUUAAUAUAAUAUUUUAGAUCCUGAUUUGGACCAACUUUGAAAACUGGCCCAUAAUAAAAAAUCUAAGUACAUUUUUGGAUUCAGCAUAUCAAAGAACCCCAAGAUUUCAAUUUUUGUUAAAAUCAGACUAAGUUUAAUUUUGGACAAACGGGACAAAAAGUUAAGAAUCUACAUACACAGUCAUGACAGUUAGCUUCGGCAUAUCAAAGAACCCCAAUUAUUCAAUUUUGAUGAAAUCAAACAAAGUUUAAUUUUGGACCCUUUGGGGCCCUUAUUCUGUUGGGACCAAAACUCCCAAAAUCAAUACCAACCUUCCUGUUAUGGUCAUAAACCUUAUGUUUAAAUUUCAAUAGUUCUAUUUACUUAUACUAACUAUGGUGCGAAAACCAAGAAAAAUGCUUAUUUGGGUCCUUUUUGGCCCUAAUUCCUAAACUGUUGGGACCUAAACUCCCAAAAUCAAUACCAACCUUCCUUUGUAGUCAUUAAACAUUGUGUUUAAAUUUCAUUGAAUUUCUAUUUACUUAAACUAAAGUUAUUGUGGAAAACCAAGAAUAAUGCUUAUUUGGGCCCUUUUUUGGCCCCUAAUUCCUAAACUGUUGAACCAAAACUCCCAAAAUCAAUCCAACCGUUCUUUUGUGGUCAUAAAAACCUUGUGUCAAAAUUUCAUAGAUUUCUAUUAACUUAAACUCAAGUUAUAGUGCGAAAACCAAGAAAAUGCUUAUUUGGGCCCUUUUUGGCCCCUAAUUCCUAAAAUGUUGGGACCAAAACUCCCAAAAUCAAUACCAACCUUCCUUUUGUGGUCAUAAACCUUGUGUUAAAAUUUCAUAGAUUUCCAUUCACUUUUACUAAAGUUAGAGUGCGAAAACUAAAAGUAUUCGGACGACGACACGACGAAGACGACGACGCCAACGUGAUAGCAAUAUACGACGAAAAUUUUUUCAAAUUUUGCGGUCGUAUAAAAAGUUAGGGUACAUGUAGGUACAUUUUUAGGUCAUGUCUGUAGGGAUUUUUUAUAUUUUGUUUUUACAUAGAGUCUAUGGGACUGACAUUCUGACUUUAACAGCCCUUAAUGAAAUAUGACAAAAAAAUUAAGGGUAGGCUAUUAUUGAGACUAAAAAGUAGGGUAGGUACGUACAAAUGUAGGGUAAUUGGAACCACACAUAUAAAUUUUUAUGUGGCAUAAUAGUAGGUUAGUAAUCCACAUUAUGGCAAAUGUAAACUAACAUCAUGCAUACAAUUUUGAUAGGAAUGUGUAGAAGUAUUAAUGUAUGUAAAUAGUUAUCAAAGGUACCAGGAUUAUAAUUUAGUACGCCAGACGCACAACUUACCUUUGUAGCAUUUUGAACAAAGUCCCAUGGUCUUUGCUGAUCUAAAAAAGAAAAGAAAAACAUUAAAUAUGCUACAAUAAUGAUUUAAACAGAAUGCAGGAUUCACACUUUACCUCAGAAUCAUAGGGAGAAAUGACUUCACUUUUAGAAACUGAUAGGGAGAAGUGGCGGGAUUGGAAAGCAUCUAGGCAGAUUCAAAAAUGGAUAAAAAAUUUAGUUGAUUAAAUAGGGAAUCACUGAAGCAUGACUGGAGUGGUCCACCUUAGGUCAGACAGCAGGCCCCCAUUAUGAAAAGUUCUGGAUCCGCCACUGGAAAGGGAAGUACUUGUUCAUAAAUGUUGUCAGGCCAAAAAAAUGUAUAUCUGUUUAAGGUUACAUCAUCAAAAUAAAUAGGGUAGGUUGGUCUAUUAUUUUUUAUCCAUUUUAUUUUUUGCACCAUGAUUUGGAGUUGUGUUGUCCAUGGGCUGAGUUUACCCGUAUUUUUAAUGAUUGGACUAUUCCCCUUGGUUAUUGGUUGGAAGAAAAUGGCGGUCAAGUUUUUAUUUCAUUACACAAGGUUGCAUGUUUCCUUAAAACAGCUGUCAUAUUGGCGAUAAUGAACAUUGGGAUGUAUCAGGCAAUAGACAACAUUCGAGUUCGAUGCAUUUCCGUCAAAAACUUCAGUUUUAGUGAAAGUCACUUGUGCGUUUAGGUGCGUUGUGACUUCCGUUUCAAUGUUGAGCGAGUGGUUGAAAAACUAUAAAGCUAUAUUGUACGAAUUAUUCAGCAAAUUAAAUUCUCAUAAUUGACAAUCUGCACCGCUGUCAUUAGGGAAUUGUGAUUAAGUACCUACUGAACAACCUUUAUUUCAAGUUUAUCCUGCACAAUGACGAUCACAAAGACGCUUGAUGAACGUUUAUAGAGCAGGGCUACAGGAGAGCCCCUUUAUCUGGAUAAUGACGUCACAAAGGCGCGUAUAAUUGAUGAGUUUUUUCCGGUGACGGAUGAACUCUAAACAUGCUAAAGUGGUCUAUUGAUUAAAUUUAUUGGCAACCCUUACAUCGCCUUUGACACAAGUUUUAUUAGUUAUUCACUUUACAAUGGAAAUAAAAUGGCUAAGGGUCAUCGCUCAAAUUAGGGUAGGUCGGGUAACCAUAACAGACAUAAAUCUUUUUUGACCUCAGCUAUAUGCCAGUCUUGUAUCUUUAGUUAUCAUAGUAAGAAUACUGAUUUUCGUCAUAGCUGAUCUGCAUCCCAUGAAUCUCGCACAAAUAUUUUAAUAUCAGGCGGACAAAGAAAAUUCAUGUCUAUCUGGAUAAUGACGUCACAAAGGCACGUAUAAAUGAUGAGUUUUUUCCGGUGACGGAUGAACUCUAAAGUGGUCUAUUGAUUAAAUGUAUUGGCAACCCUUACAUCGCCUUUUGACACAAGUUCUAUUAAUUAUUCACUUUACAAUGGAAAUAAAAUGGCUAAGGGUCAUCGCUCAAAUUAGGGUAGGUCGGGUAACCAUAAACAGACAUAAAUCUUUUUUUGACCUCAGCUAUAUGCCAGUCUUGUAUCUUUAGUUAUCAUAGUAAGAAUACUGAUUUUCGUCAUAGCUGAUCUGCAUCCCAUGAAUCUCGCACAAAUAUUUUGAUGUCAGGCGGACAAAGAAAAUUCAUGAAAAUAAAUAUUAUAUGUUUGACAAGAGAUUUCAUAAGGAAUAUCAGGGCUCACACUACUUCAGAAUUAUAGGGAGAAGUGACUUCUCUUUUUGAAACUGAUAGGGAGAAGUGGUGAGAUUUGAAAGAGAAGUGCUCAUUCGCGCGGUGCGAUACAAUGUUUGGAUUUUACAAUAGUAUAAAGGGCCAUAUGUAAAUAAUGUUCUUUUUAUAUUGUUCAAUUCAUAUCUGAGUAAAAGAAUUACAAUUAAAGUAACAUUUGAAAUUAAAAGUUGUUUAAGUUUUACUAAGGUUCUUGGGAGAAACUACCAACUAAAUAUCUAGCACUAAAAAAAAAAAAAUAUUUUAAAAAAUGUAAAGAAUUUAUAAUAUAUCAAUUACAAUUUAAUUAAAAAUUAUCUUGUGUAUGACAUUCAGUGUUUCUCAUAAAAAAAAUAUAAAAGUUAUUAAGCUGGGCCAGAAUAUAUUGAUAUUAGUAUAAUAGUCUCAGAGUUAAGCAACUUUAAUCAAUAGUUUGAAACAAUCCAUAAAAAAUAUAGGGAAUUAUAUACACCAAUCAAUUAGAUGUUACCAAAAGUCUCUUAAUGCGUGUGGAAUGCGUAAUUUUUCGCUUUGGAAUCAAUAUUCUUCUGUCAGCUGUUCCAUCUGUGCGUCCGUAGUAAUUAUUGUAAAAGUACGGAUUUCGGUCAUAGCUGAUCCGGUUCAGAUCCGGAGUUUAGAAAUCGGUCAAUGGCGGACGAAUGCAAGAAAAUUUAUAAAAAUAAACGAUGUUUGACAAGUUAUUUGGAAAGGAACAUGACGUUUUUAAUGCAAUAAAUGGAUUAAAAAUUUACUGGAGGCAACUUUUAUCACGUUUAAAUGAAGUAACAAACUUAUGUUGCCGCCGAAUUUGAGGUUGAUGUACGUUUUCGAGUAACAAGCACCGGAACUUGCAGAAAUGCACGAAGUGAUAAAAAGUUGUAUUUUUAUGAAAUAACCUGCUACACACUACGAAGACAAUGCUUCAACCUCUUUUCUAAAGAUAAUGAAUCGUUUAUGUCUGAAUUUCUUUAAUUAUCAAUAAAAAAUUGAUGUUUCAUCAACUUCAAGAACUUGGUAAAAAUUGAAAAUGUCCGAUGACGGAAGCGACUGAAAGCGACUAUCGUCAAGAACAGGGCGACUUGUUUUCGCUUUUGGGGGUCGGGGAAAGCGAAGUGACGGUCGGGAAGGCGACUUCUUCGCCCAAGUCGCCUGGUAGCGUGAGCCCUGGAAUAUCCGAAUAUGACGAUUCUAAUAAAUGGAUGAAACAUUAACGAAAGGCAAUUUACAUCAAGUUCUAACGAAAUAACAAACUUAUUUUGCUCAAAUCAAAAUGUUUUGAUGUACACUCUCAAGAAACAAGUACCUUUUCUCAUGUGUCUUAACAAAGUUUUGCAAACGGCUUGAAACGCUCAUUUGUCCAGAUAAAAUUUCACGUCUGGGGCAUGGGACUAUAGUGGCCAACAGGGCAGACUGUAAUAUUAUGGAAUAUUUCUUCUGUUUUGAAGUCAGAUUAAAUGUAUAAAGGGACUUUCAUUGAAUGACAACUAGUAUGACAAUGCAAAUUUUAGCAACCUCCAACAUGUCCAAGCGACCAUAACCAAUAAGUUCUUUUUCAUUGACCUUAAUAUGCUGAAACGAGCAUUAUUUAUCAAGCUGAACCAUUUUGCUUGUCACUUCAUGUCCCAACAAAGCAUAUAUAAUAUUGUAAUAUUAUGCUCAUAAAUAGCUAAUCACAAUCUUCUAUAAUCUAAAUUAUCAAGAUAAUUGCAAUUUAAAAUCACUUUUAAGUUUCAAUUGUCUCUUAUAGGGCCCAUAGAAUUGUUACCCAUUAACAUUACGGUGAGAAUCAAUUGUAUUUGAACAAAUGGGAAUAAUCAUGCUGUUAUCUGCUAAAGAUUUACAGAUGUUGACAUGCGAUGAUGCGUCAACACUUGUCAACAAAUGAACUGGUCUGAACAAUUAAUGAAAGAAAAAUCGGUUUAUUUCCCACCGAUCUUCCUUAUUCUUACCCGUAAAACCCACACGGACAUAAUAGCUGGUCACUACUCUUUGAAUCCUCCAUUUUUGCAAUGAAACUGUAGUUUCCAGGGCAAAAUAGAUGGUUCCUGGCGACUGACGGAUUGACAAUCGCCAGCGAAUAAUUCGACCUGCCAAUAGAGGGCGUCCUGAGUGCUUCCGGGGUCAAAAGGCAACAUACAAGUAAACUUAUCAAAUAGAGUUAUCUUUCUUUGAACAAAACCCUUAUAAAAAAUUGAAAACAACACGUUAAAUAUUUUCAUGCGUCCGAAGCGCUUUUCUGGAGUUACCUUCAUCAGGAACGCUCAAAGCCAAACAUUUGAAAUCAGAAGAAUGUAUAAGUACCGAAACAGUUGAAGAGCUAUAUGACAAAAAUACCUAAAAGAAAUAGUUAAAUUCAUCUGUGGUCAACUUUGAAGGACUGAGUUAAAACCUUAUAUAUAGUUUCUUUAUAAUUUCAAAAAAAAUAAACGAACAUUUUAGGAAGUUUGUUAAUUUAUAAAUCAUGUCAGUAACGAAGUACUGAAUACUAAUCUAAUGACUUCUGCUGCUGUUAUCAGAGCUGGAAUCGUCUGGCCCUGUGUUCUGUUUAUUGUUUGCUUUUGUUUUAUUUAUUUGCUUAGCUUAUCAGUGUCAGUAUGCCAGUUAAAGCAAAAUUUGCUUUUCAUUUCUUUUAGCUUGCUUGCUUUGAUUUAUGCAUGUUUGCUUUGCUAUUAUAUUAUGCAUUUGUUUUAUUUGUAUGUGUAGUCUGUCAAAUGUGCCCCGAUAAUUUGUAAUUUUUCAUUUGUUUUAAAUAUCAAGUCGGUUAAUUUUAAGAGCUCUACAGAGCUCAUGUACCUUGUUGACAUGUACAUAUCAUGCCCGACUAUAAAUAAAAUUUUCUUACUUACUUAGUAAGUCUUACUACUUACUUACUUACUUACUUACUUACUUACUUACUUACUUACUUACUUACUUACUUACUUACUUACUUACUUACUUACUUACUUACUUACUUACUUACUUACUUACUUACUUGGGGACUGAUAGUCCACCAGUAGAGCCGGUAUCGAUCGACCCAGUGAUAAUAAGUUCUUUAUUUAAAUUUAUUCAAACAUACAUUCAAAUGGCGAUAAUUGAUAAAGCUUGAUUAAGUUUUCAUAUUCUUACACAAUAAACAUGAUAAAAGAAAGAAAACAAAUUAUUUACUUGCAUAGAAUUUACAAGAAAAUGAUUAUAACAAUGUUUCUUGAAUAGUUCCACAUUACGGCAAGUUUUAGAUGUUGCAGAAUAAUGAACAGAUUUUUUUUAUAAAAAAAAUGUAUUUGGUCUUGGAACAAAUAUAUCAUUAUUAGAGACAGAUUGUAAGUUGUGGUGUUGAACAUCAUCAACAUUUAGCAUUGCAAGUCAUCAGGUAUUAUUCCAUUUACAAUUUAAACAUAAGAAUUGAUUGUUGAUAUUUUAUUCUUUUAUUUCCUUUAAGAAGAGACUAGUCCGACAGAUAUCCAAUCUAUUUGUCUAUAGGAUUUGGCUACUUCGAAAGGAGGGUAGUAUACCUUACAUAAUAAUGCAUAUGACUUCACGAUUCAGCUAGCAAGCAAGCUAACCAAAGAUAUUAUACCGUUACCUACACACUCAUUGCAGUCGGCUGUAACGAAAACGAAAGGACACUGUUAGAGUUGCCGUCAACCAUGUCAACUGACAUAAUAUAUACUAAUAUUCACAGCUUUUAACAAGUAUAUAUCCGACUGUAGGUCAUGUUAAGUUAUGUAAUAAACAGGGAAGACAUAACAUGACGAAAACAACAACAACCAGCUACUUAUUUGAGGAAAUCGAUGACCGAUAUAAUAUGAUGAACAACAAAGUUUUAAUCUGACUAUAGAAUAUGAUGUUCCUUGUUAGUGGCAAAUACUUUUGUCGUGUUUACCAUGUUUACUGAGAUAUUAUUUAACUAGUGUUAGAAAUUAUUGCAUAUUGAUGCAAAUAGUGAUGUAAAGGUACCAAUUGGAGAUUCAAAUUCUCUUUUUCUGUUACUCUUUUUUAGAAGUCAACCCUUACUGUAUCUGAUUUUUCGUUUUCUUAAUUCAUAUUUAACGAAAAUUCAUAAAACAUUUUAAAGAUUACUUUUCGAAACAUGCCUUUAUGAAGUUGCAUUAAAGUUAAAAUUAUAAUAAUUAAAAUUGGUUUCUUUUAUUAUUUAUCGACUUGAAAUGUUUUUUUACAACUUUUCAAUCUCAAUUUUCUUAUCACAUGAAGAUAAAAACAAUAACAAAAAAAAACUAGUUUAGGUUAGAGUAAAGAAGGAUUUCAUGAAAUAGGGGAUCCUUAAACCGGCGGUCGCAGUGUUUUUUUUUCGCAUGGGAGUUUAUUCUAGAUCAUUCUAAGUGUUGAAUUUUUGGCAAAAGAAUGAGAAUGGAAAAACGUCUUUGUUUCAUUGAAGUUAUCCUUAUGUUAAUGAUGGGUUGAUCUUGUUUUAGACUGGCAUAUUCAAAAAUAUAUAUGGUGAUGGUAUGGCAAUUUAUAACUUCAUGAUACAUGUAGUUUUUUAGUGUUCGUUCUCUAAAGGUUAGUCAGUUGAUAUACAAUUAUUGAAUUUUGAUGAGAUUGAUACAACGAUGAUUUAAUCCCAGACAUAUAUAUUAUAAGUCAAAAAUUGUUUUAUUUAAGAAGAUGAAUUAUUUAUUAUAGUGCAACCUGAAAAUACAUAUAAAUAUAUGUUUUAAAAUAUAAAAUAAUCAGCCAGUCAAAUAGGUUUAUGAUGCACUGUAAUAAUAGUCUAUUCUGAGUCAUGAAAAUGAUUUUUUUUUUAAAUCAAAAUUUAACUUGGUUUGUUUCUAACAUGAAAGAAAAAUUUAAAGCAUUUUUAACUUGAACAGAUGUUGUAUAACAGGUUUGGUUAUUUAUAUACACACUAUGUAGAUUGAUUUUUUUUAAUUGAACAGUCAGUAAAAAAUUUUGCCACUGUUUUACUCUUAUUACUAUUUAGAAGUUCUUUUAGUUUAUCAAUUGAUGAAAGGUCCGGGAAGUCGUUGGUGAUGUAAAGUUUGUAUUCUUAACGGAUAUUGCAAUUUAUGUCUUCUACUUCAUGUUAUAUUACUUUUAUAACCAUCUCUAAUUCUCUGGUAUGAGAUCAUGGCAAGAUAUCUAACUCGUCCUUUUUUAUACUAUCUUCAGUAUAUUUUCGACUUUGCAGUUGUUAAGGUUAAUAUACAGUUGAAUUAGUAAAUACAUAUUCGAAAACAAAUUAGCAACAAGAAAAAAGAAUAAGAAGAAAGACUAGAAUGUGAAAGCCGUUAGAAAUCUUCGUUAUUGACGUCGAUUAGGAGAACAACUGUUUAUAGGUAGACGUUAUCUCUUACAUAUCUUAGACAGGUGCCACAUGUAGAGCAGAAACUGCUUACCCUUCUGGAGCAUACGAGAUCACCCCCAGGUUUGGGUGGGUUUCGUGUUGCCAAGUCAAGUUUUCUAUGUAAUAUUUUGUGUACUGUCUGCUUGUCUUUUUAGAUUUUAGCCAUGGCAUUAAUUUAUCAGUUUAUUUUCGAUUUAUAAGUUUAAAUGUCCAUUUGGUAUCUUCCGCCUCUCUUUGAUAUUAACCUCUCAUAUCUUUUUUGGCGGUGAAUAUAAUGUUUUAUCAAAGAAGAUCCAUUAUUAUUAAUUCAUAGAUUUACUGUUUACAAAAUUUUUGAAUUUUUGAAAUACUAAGGCUUUUCUACCUCAGGAAUAGAUUACCUUAGCUGUUUGGCAAAUCUUUGAGAUAUGUUGGUCCUAAAUGCUCUUCAAAUUCGUACUUUAUUUGGCCUUUUAACUUUUUUGGAUCGAGCGUCACUGAUGAGUCUUUUGUAGACAAAACGCGCGUCUGGCGUAAAUACAAAAUUUAAUCCUGGUAUCUAUGAUGAGUUUAUUUUGUUAUUACAAAAAUUGAAAACUUUUUGGUUGUACAUUGGUAUCACGUUGGCAUCAUCGUCUUCAUCCAAAGACAUUCGGUUUUCGCACUCUAACUUCAGUAAAAGUAAAAUGGAAAUAUAUGAAAUUUAGACACAAGAUUUAUGACCAUGAAAGGAAGGGUGGGAUUGAUUUGGGGUAUUUUGGUCUCAACAGUUUAGGAAUAAGGGGCCAAAUUAACAUUGUUCUUGGUUUUUGCUCUAUAACUUAAGUUGGUUAACAGAAAUCUAUGAUAUUUUAACAUAAGGUCUAUGGCCACAUAAGGAGGGUUGGGAUAGAUUUUGGUAAUUUUAGUUCCAACAGUGUAGGAUUUAGGGGCCAAAAAACAGGCCCCAAAUAAGCAUUUUUCCUUGGUUUUUGAAACAAUAACUUUAGUAUAAGUUAAUUGAAAAUCUAUAAAGGUUUAUGACCACAAAAGGUAGGUUUGGAUUAAUUUUGGUCCCAAGGAAUAAGGGGCCAAAAUUAAACUUUGUUUGAUUUCAUCAAAAAAAUGAAAUACGGUAUUGUGCUUCUUUGAUAUGCCAAAUCUAACCAUGUCCAAAUUCUUAAUUUUAGGUCCUGUUUUCUAAUUGGUCUACAUUAAAGUCCAAAGGGUCCAAAAUUAAAAUAAGCUUGAUUUUAAUAAAAAUUGAAUUCUUGGGGUUCUUUGAUAUGGUGAGUCUUAACAUGUACUUAGAUUUUUGAUUAUGGGCCCAGUUUUCAUGUUGGUCCAAAUCGGGGUCAAAAAUUAUUAUACUAACUGAGUAUUGUUGCAAUAGCAAAAGAAAUUUUCAAUUGCGCAGUAUUCUGCAAUAGCAAGAAAUCUUCAAUUGCACAGUAUUGUUCAAUACCAAGAAAUUUUCAAUUGCACAGUAUUGCACAAUAGCAAGAAAUCUCCAAUUGCACAGUAUUGUGCAAUAGCAAGAAAUUUUAAUUGCACAGUAUUGCACAAUAGCAAGAAAUAUUCAAUUGCACAGGAUUGUCCCUUUUUCAAAUUGGUUUACAUUAAGAUCCAAAGGGUCAAAAUUGAACUUUGUUUCAUUUCAACAAAAAUUGAAUUCUUAGGAUUCAAACGCAUUGAUCUCAGGAAUUUCUUCACUGUCGUUCCCUCAAUAACUGCAUUAAACAGUUUCUAAUCAUUAUUCAUUCGAAACCAUUUUAUUAUACCAAUGUCUCACACACAACAUAAUAUAGUAUACUGUUGUCUAUUAGUCCAUCAUCCACACUUCAGACAAUAACUAGAAAACACUUCCCCCUACUUUCAAGAAAAUUUGUUGAAAUGUUUAUAUCUAUUGACAUAAGCUCCACAUCGAUUUUAUAAAUUUUAGAAUUUUCAUUAUCAUGUUAUGAAGAGAGAUUUUAUCCUUAAAAAAGAGAGAAUUUUCCAAUUUUGAACAAUAACACAAAAAUGCAUCCAUCACCUUUAAUUAAACUUUGGUGAAUUGUUUACACCAUUGACCUAAGGUCCCUUUUGAUUGUAAUAAAUUUCAGAUUAUACAUUUCUGUGUUAUGAAUUUUUAUAUAUGCUAAAAAAAAGAAGGGAUUUUAUAGUUUUUGGACACCUUUAAGUGCAGGAGUUUUCUGGCUACAUUGAAAACCCAUUGGAGGCCUUCAGCUGUUGUCUACUCUAUGGUUGGGUUGUUGUCACUUUGACACUUUCCUCAUUUCCCAUCUCAAUUAUUCACAUAAACACUUCCACAUCAUUUUAUAAAACUUGGGUGAAUUGUCUAUGUCUGUUGACUUCAGCUACAUUCCAAAAUUUUAAAACAAGAUUAACAACUACAGGUCCCCAAAUAGCCUUCAACAAUGACAAAAGCUCAUACAGCACAGUCAGCUAUAAAAGACCUUAAAAUGACAAAUAUAAAAACACUGUAAAUGAGAAAAACAAAUAGACUAAUAAUUGUCACAAAACAAAAUAUAGUUCAACCUUAAGCAAGCUUAAAAGAAUCAAGACAUAUCAUGCGCUUACAGUGCAGCUAUUUAUUAACAAACUCCAUAUUCAAACACUCAAACAACUAAUUCACAGAGAGGGUGGAAGUUGAAGCCCCCCUUUUUUUUAUCAGUCAAUGAUUUGAAUGAAGACAUGUACACAAACUACAAUUUUAAUACACAUUUCCAGUCUGCUUUCUAUACAUUUGUAACGACCUUUUAACCCCACUGACAAUUUGCGUCUGUUGUCCAUACUUGUUUUGUUAUUAACAUAUGUUUUUGAUGUUAUUGACCACGACAUAAUUUCCACUAUAAUUCAAUAUAAUGACACAUAAUUAUAUUUUAUAUACAAGUUCACGAAGUACUUCUUUUGUUAUUCACAGAGAAACAGUUAAAUAACACAUAUGUUUCAGAGUCUAUCUGUGUCAUUCUUCAUUCAUGUACCAACACUACAUAUUCAAUGCUAAAUGCAUUUGCAAAUGUACGAAGCAAGAAGGAGUACUAGGGGUUAGGAUGGUCUUCUCUGGAAAUGAAUUCAAUGUGUGCGCUGCCUAUAAUUUUGCGAAAUGGUUGGGACGACCCCGAACAUCUUACCUCAUGCCAUUACUUUAACCAUGCAAUAUUUGAUAUAACACUGUCUCACUCUUUAUCAAAAUCAUAUGAUCACCUUUAAGAAUACAACUAUUGGAAACCAUGAAUCGAAUUUAAACUUGAGGGGUCUGUAAAUAAUAUCCUUGAAAACAUUAGGAUGUUUUAAUCCACAUUGAAGAGGGUUUCUUCAUAAUAAGCUUAACUUCCAAACUAAAAUUUUGUAUCUAAGAAAGAAUAAAGCAAAGGUUAGAAGACCUUUUUCAAAACACUUUCCCUCAUUUCAAUGUCAAUUGAUCAUUCCAAUCUUAAAUAUCACGAUAGUCUUGGACACAGCGAACAAGUUUAAGCAAAAUACACAUUCUACUUAAUAUAUUAUUAUAUCUCGAUCAUGCACAACUCUGAUUCCUUGUCCAGUUUAGGUUAUACCCAUUUGCCCUUCUAACGUCUUUAAUAAGUUUUCGAUUUUUAAAUAUUUUGGCCUGGAGCAAAUAGUGUCGAAAUGUGCAUCUGGUGCAGACAAUUGGUAACGUAAAUAUUAUUAUAAACGGAUUCAAAUGACCAUCUCCGAAAAAAAACGAAAUUAACAAUAGGGAAAAAGAAUUGCUUUUCAGUGGUUAUUUUUUUGUGUUAAGAUUUUAGCGUAAAACUGAAACAUUCGAAUACAGAAUAGAAUAGCUCUGUGAUGUAAAUUGUUUGAAUAUGUUUACUUUUAAUAAGUCAUUUGGGAUAAAUUUUUGUGUUAUCGAAAAUCAAUGAAAAGGUUUUGUUUUUUUUAAGAAAAAAUAUCAACCUCAUAGUAAUAAGGCUUUAUUAUUUUUUUUUCAAUUUAAUUGCAUUUAGACGUCUAUUCACCAAUUAAAUAAGUAUAUAAAAAGAAUAUCGUUGAAAGGAAGCACUAUUUGUACCAAUAGGAUAACAUCCAACCUGGCAAUACUGUUUUGGCAGAAACUGAAGUACAUAUCUAUAUGCCACUUAAAUAGCCAAAAAUUAUGACAUAAAUAGAUGCAGUAUGAUUGCCAGUGAGAAAACAUUUUGUUGUUAUAAGUGACAUCGACUAUGAAUGUGCAUUGAUUUUGCAAAUGAUGUCAACCACGGACAUGACUGCCGUCGUGGUUGUUUGUGCAUCUUGCUCAAAUUCGUGUUUCGGUACAGUGAAAUGUCCUGCUUUUGGUCGAAUAUAUAGAGGCUUACUCUUUUCACUAUUAUAGCCAUUUAUUUACAAUACAUAUUUACCACCAAACCUGUUUAGUUCUAUUAAUCAAUUUUAAGAAUCACAAAGUAUCCAGAAUAUUUCCCCGUUUAACAACAAAAGCAAAACCAAAUCUAAAAUUUGUAAGCUGAACUACAUGUAUAUGUUAAAUGAUGUGAAUAAGUUUCCUGCACUGGUCUUCUUUUAAUCACAGACUCGUUUCUGACAUGGCGACCCAAGUAUUUAGAUUUGGAGCUUUCUGUCAAAGGUCUGCCAUAGUCUGUACUGUGUGGUUUAAACACAAUCCAUGCAUAUUCAAUGUUAGCAAUAUGGUGAUCGUAUCUUCCUUUCGCUACAAUUCCUCUGAAAGAAUGGAAGUAACCUCUUGUUUGCGAGGGAGAUGAAGAUGAGGGAUAUCCACCAUUACUUCCAUAUGGGCCAUACGUACGACCAUAAUUAGUAUCAAAAGAUAUGCUAUCUAAAAGCAUACCUGCUCUUAGAUUGAUGUUUGUUAUGACUUCAGCCUCAUCAAGUUCAAAUUCAUGUUCUGAUAAAAUUGAAUUUUUAGCUUUUGGUCGGACGCCAUGAAGUACGAUCUUUCCGCUCUUAUACUCUAUUUGUAUUCCCCCAAUAUCGAUAUAUCCUUCCCAUCGAAUAAUCCAUAACCCAAUCUUUCUAGGUCGAUCAUUUAUAUCAACAAUUUCCUUGAAAUCUCUCACCAACUGAAGUUGAUCCGGAAGUUUGGAAAAAGAAUUUUGUACACAAGCCUUUGAAAAUUCCAAACUCUUCAGAAUCUGUGAAAAUUUUCUUUUUGGAUGAACAUUAUUCUUCAAAUAAAAAAAAGUGGAUUUAUCCAAGGUUUGAAAAGCAGAGUGAGUAUUAUAUGAAUAACUCAUUUUAUUCAUAACUAUUUUUGGUAUUUCUGAAAACUGAAUAACACUAAGAACAUCUUUCACAUAUGCUAUAUUAUCGACUUGAUUGGCUGUUAAUGUUUUACCAACAACUUCGAGAAUAUGAAGUUCAGAAUUAUCAACCGGAACCCCUUUAUGAAAAACGGACAGAUUACUGUUUUUUUUUACUAGGAACUUGAAGUCCUCAUAAGAAAGACGACAGAACGCAUUUUGCUCAACAAAUGAUUCAAAAUUUUCCGAUAAAUGCAGGAUUAUAGUAUCGAUCAAAUUGAUGAGGUAAAAACGAAUAGCGAAGGCAAGUAGAGAAUAUCACUAGAGUCAUCGAUGUUGUUUAUCAAACCGCGUUCACACUUGUACAAAAUAUGUUUGGCUUGGAGAUAUGAGAUAUGACGCUGUUGCAAUAACAUCCUGUAAUCUGUCAAAACUUAUUUAGAGUAUUUCAGUAUACACAAAGUUUAUGACAUCGUUUAACGCAUCGGGGGAGACGAAUUCUUCAUUCAGACAAAUAUUCCGCUCGUGGUUGUUGAAUUUUGUGUUUGCUUUAAAAUAAUCAGAAACAAAACUUCACUAUUGGCAUAGGUUUUAAAUUCACCGCACGUUAUUUCUAUAUCACAGUUCUUUUGUGCUCUCCAUUCACUUAUUUUGUUUUCUCGAAUGGCAAUUUAGAGACGUGUUCUGAAAACAGGAUUUUUAUUACCUGGUUUUCUGCAAGAAAAUAAGAAAAACAAUUAAUAAAUUUCUGAUACGCAAUACAACCACGUAUUGAUUGACUGUUUGAUUGAUUGAUUUUUGCUUGCUGAACGUAAAAUGUAAAAUUGGUAUGUUGACAUGUGUAAUAAUUGAAACCUCAACAUAUUCUGUAUGUGCCUGUCCAAAAUCAGGCGCUUUUUAUUCAGUGGUUGACGUUAGUUCAUGUUUUCAUAAAUGUUUCAGUAAAUUGCAAUUUCAUUGGCAUUCAUAACAUAUCUUUGUACAUGUAUUUGCAUAGUGAGCAUGGAAGCCUCAAAACAUUCUAUAAGAAGAAUGCGCCAAAACACUAAUCCAAAAUAGUCAAAGGUCACAGUAGUAUGUUUGUGAUUUAUUUUAACGUUAUAUUGUGGAUUCAAAUAUUUUUGUAGGUAUCAAUUUUCGUUAAUUGCGGAGAACUUACGUUUUCUAGGAAAUUUGAUUUUGUUGUUUCCCAGAUCUCUGCAUACAAAGUCAAUAGAAAAAUUUGUAAUUAGUUGAACAUUUGAAUUAAUAGUUUACCUGUACCAACGGAACCCCUGAAAACUGGUAUCCAUCGAAUAAUGUUGAAUCCACAGUAAUAUUAAAAACAUUAAUUUUCAUUGUCAUAUCACUAAUUAUAUGACAGUCAUUAUGUCCGCUGAUUUAGUUUUUAUCACAAGGAAAAUUCACACCAAAAAACCAUAAUUAUUACCAGGAUUAUAAUGUUUUCCGUACGCCAAAAGCAUCAGUCUACUAAAAACUCAGCAGUGAUGCGCGAAUAAAGAAAAUUAAAUGACCAAAUACAAUACGACGUUGAAGAGAAUUCAGGACCAAAAAUUUGUAAAGGUUUGCCAAUUACAACUAAGGUAGUUUGUUGUUAGAGUAGAACAGUCUUAAUUUUUCGAGCAAUUCAAAGUUUUGUGAAAAGUUAAUGUAUGAUUAUGAUCAUAGCAAUGAUAAUUCAUUUCAACAUAGAAAUGCUGACUACUGGGACAAAAGAAAAGUAUAAAACAAAAAUGAAACAUUUGCAUAUUGUACAUUGAUAAUGAUUUCGUGUAGUCUGUCUGCAUAAUCAUAUUUCCAUGUUCAAUUUACCGCUAAAUUUCAAAUCAAUCUAACUUUUGUAUUAUGUGAAAAUAUCAUAACAUAUCUAUGUUUUUAGUAUCAAUAUGAUUUGAACACAACAUCAUGGUAUAGUUUCUUAGACUAAAUUUAAAUCUUUAAGUUAUCUGUUGUUUUGGUAAAGUAUAUUAUAACUUCGAACCAUAGUUUCGAAUUUAAUUAUUUAUGAUUUAAUAGUUACAAUGAACUGGUUAUUUUGUACACAGGCAAAAUCCUAUUUUUAUGUUAAAGCAUAUACGUGAAUGACAUAUGAGUAAAACUACUCUUAUAAGGGAACCAAAGGAGAUAUUGCAAAUAAUUCUAUAUUCUGUUUUUGAAUGUCCUUAGUUGAUAAAUCGUGAAGUAAAACAUCGACUUUCUUUGAUGCAUUAGCAUAUUUUUCCACAGAAACCUUAAAUAAAUGGUAAAUACGUCUUUAGAUUUUCUAGUUUGUGUCUCGUGUACUAUUAUUUGUCUGAUUGUGUUUUUUUUUUAGCCAUGACGUUGCCAGUUUAUUUUUUAUCUUUGAGUUUGACUGUCCCUCUUGUAUCUUUCUACCUUCUUUUAAGAUGCUAGAAGUUUCACGCUGUUCCAAUUUCAUAAAUCGAGUAAAAAGAGACAAACAAAUUUAAGAAACAGACACUGACGCAAUUGCAUGAACCAAAUAAGAAGGGAGACCAGGUGUGUUGUCAAGGUAAGCGUUUGCUGCUACGUGUACUGCUACUUAAUACGAUUUUGUUUAUCAAAAUUAUCUUAAAUAACCCUCUUAUACUGUAAAAAUAAUUUGAGACAUCAAUGAUUUGCAAGUAUUUAUGUUUUCUGAAAGUUGGGAUUAAUAUAAACGAAAGUAGUUAACAGAUGUUUAAAUGUCAACGAUUAAAAAGAUAAAAUAAGAUAAGACAACACAAUUUAUUGCAAUAAACAAUUAUGCGAUGGCAAAUUUGAAUUACAACUUUAUCACGUGUAAGCAACAUGAAAUAUGUAAUUAUUUUAUAAUAUAUAGUUAUAUUUAUCAGCAGAGAGCUCAAUAAAUAUUAUGAAAACGUUUUUUAUGAAACAAAAACCCAAUAUACAUACCUAUGUUAAUAUGAAGACAAUUCAAAGUUAAAACUAAAACUCAAAGACUGGCUUUAAAUUCAAAAGGACCGAGACGUUUACGUCGACAGGACUAGUAUAAGUAAUCAUAUCAUUGAUUUUAUUUUUAAUGACAAGAUAAGGCCUUAGAAUUAAUUUAUCCUUUGAAUUAAUCAACAUAUCCAAAACCUUAUUUGUUUUUAAUAUCUGUCAAACGAAUGGUUGAGAACACCGACGGAUGGUGCUUGUUUAUAAGUUUUUAAUGAACGUUUGCAUAUGAAUAUGAAUUUACAGCAGCAUUGGACAGUCAAACACUAGUUGAUGUUAGGCAUCGUUCUACGCAGAUACCUGUCUCUGCGACUUCCUUUAAAAUGGUUAAUUUUAAUAGAGGGUGUAUGUUCUUCAUUGACCGUAUUGUUUGUUGCAAACACAGCCCAUACAAAUUCAAUGUUAGCAAUAAAGUGAUCGUAUCAAACUUUUAGCAUCAUGAUUCCUCUAAACGAAUGAAAAUAUCCACGUCUUUUAUUAGGCGACGAAGAUGACGGAUAUCCACCAUUACCACCAUAAGGACCAUAUGUACGACCAUAAUUCGUAUCAAAUGAUAAACUGUCUAUUAGCACACCUUUUUGGAGAUUUAUACUUGUGAUAACUUCAUCAUCAUCCAGUUCAAACUCAUGCUCCGAUAAUAUGGAAUGUCUAGCUUUUGGUCGGAUGCCAUGAAGUACACUUGUUCUACUCUUUUAUCGGACCACAGAUGAAUUAUCACGUUGUGAUUGGUUAAAUGCCGUCACCGUGGUGACCCCAUGAGACCGUAUGGUGUUAGUAAGUUUCAUAUGAGGUUCAUGACGCGUUAAUGGCGACGUCAUCUAUUAAUGUUGUUGUGUUUCAUUGUUUAUUUUUCAACAAACGCCGCAGAAAAAAGUCCAGCGUCCGAUAAAUUUCGUUAUACAGUUAACUACUGACCCCCUACCGGAUCCAUAAAGGGUGAAUAAAAUCAUAGGGGAUCGGACUCCGGCCUCACCCCUAUGGAUUUUACUAACCCUCUAUGGAUCCGUAUGGGGUCAGUAGCGAACCAUAUAACUUAUAAUAUUCCACUCGAAUUCCCCCGAUUACAAUAAUUCCUUCCCAACGUAUAACCCAUACCUCAACCCUAAUAGGUCUAUCAUUUACAGCUGGUACUUCUUCGAAACAUUUUACAAAAUUUAAGUCAUAUAAACUAUGAGGAUUGUUCGCAUGAAUUAUGGAAUGAUCUAAAAUUUUCAUAGAAUUAAUUUGAAAAUGUCCUUUCCUUGAGGUUAUUGUUCCUUAAAGUUGUAAAUGUUGAUCUAUCAAGGGUCUGAAAAGCAGGUACAUAUCAUAUAAAUUCCUAAGAUUUGCAGUUGGUAUUUCUAAAAACCGAAUCGCACUAAGGAAAUCUUUGACAGUUGAUUUUGCUUCAAUUUGAUUGGCUGUUAAAGAUUUAGCAACAGCAUCAAUAAUGUUAAUUUCAAUAUUGUCAACUGGAAUACCUUUACGAAACACAGAAAGAUUUCUAUUCAUCAACAAGAACUUAAAAUCGUCAUGGGACAGAGUUCUGAACUCAUUUUUCUCUACUAACGUAUCAAAAUCUUCCGAUAUCCAUAGGACUAUAGUAUCAGUCAAACUUCUCAGGUCGAAACGAAUUGCAAAAGGAAGAAUGCAAACGGCACUUACGUGAUCGACGCUAUUUAUCGAGAACUUUUCACAAACAUCUAAAAUGAGUUUGACUUGCAGAUAGGAAGCUGUUGCUAUAACAUCUUGUAAAUCGAUUUCUUAUUUCAAGAUCUCCAGUAUAUGCAAAGGUUACGAUAUGGCAUAACGUAUCGGAGGAAGUAAAUUUUCCGUUUAGAGCAAUUUUCCGUGUUUUCUUAUGAAAAUUUAGAUAAGCCUUAAAGUGAUCAGAAAUCGUUAACAAAACAUCACUAUGUGCCUUAGUUUUAAAUUCUCCACAUCUUAUUUCUAUGUCGCAGUUUUUUUUUUCUUUCCAUUGCCUUGUUUUGUUUUCGUCAACGGUAAUUUUUAGAUGAUUUAUCAAUACAUCAUUAUUGAACUUUCUGGAAGAGAGAAAAAUUUGUAUGAAAUAAUACAAAAUCAAAGAUAACAUAACUACACAAAAUAAAUGAUUCUCUCAUUUUACUGCACAACCUUGUACAUGUUGUACUGACUUUAACUCCCAGUUUUUAGUGGAAUUCGUGUUGUUUCUUAACUGUUGAUGUUAAUGUCCGUUGGCUUUGUGAGUCUUUGUUCACUCCUUGGUUUUGAUUGUUAUUGUCUUCAAUCUGAAAGAACACAGUCAAGUUUUGAAGGCAAAUGAAUCCCUUGAAAUUAUUUUAAAAAAUUGGCUCAUGGAGAUAAACAGGAAGAUUUGAAACAUGUUUUACUCGACACGUUACUAAAGUGAAACAGGAUUUAAAAAUCAUGUAUAGAGAAAAAAAAUGUAAACAUUAAAACCCUAUGUGGUCACAUACAGCUGGUAACAAAUUUAGCCACUUUAUAAAUAUGUCGGGAACAAUGUUGUAAAACAAUCACUUGUUUAAAUCUCCCGAGACCUUACGCAUCUGUCAGAACUGGUUAUACCAUAGACCAAUUUGAAAAUCUCACCCGAAUCCUCACGGAAAUAUAUUGUUUAAACAGCUCUUUCUUACCAGAAAUUUGUUUUUCCUUCCUUAUUUUUUAAAAACUAAUCAUAAGUCAAACAAGCAUUCUUUUUUUAUGAGUUGUUGAAGAAGUAUUGGAGACUUUUAAAGAUGAAGACCAGGCGCAAUUUAAAAAAAUAAUAAUCAAUUGCGUCCCUCUAAGCAGCAACGUCACAUUUUCAUGUCAUUCUGGGUCAAUUAUAAAUUAAACACAUGUGACGUCAUUCAUACAGACGAACAACGUUCACAGCGUUUUGUACGCGUACAAAAGUUAAACUAACUACUUCAUUUAUUAAAUGUUUUGAAUAAACUCAUCAUAGAUACAGAAUUGAAAUUUUGUAUUUGCGCCAGGUGCGCAUUUCAUCUUAUUGAAUGAAGAACAAAAUGCUGAUUAGAAAAAUUAGCCUGAGGGGCUCAUUUGAUAUACUAGCUUUAAAAAUCUGAAUGGAAAACAAAAAAUACCACUAUUGUAUAUUUACCAAAUUUAUUACAUUACCCCAAUUUUUUAUUUUUACAAAAAAUUGUAUAAUGUGACAAUUUAUGGAAUUAUUGUCAAGUCUUUCUUCUUUUCAUUAGAAAUAACUUAUAAUUAAGGGUCAUUUGUUUUCUUCCCCCACUAUUUUGUGCAGUUUUGUAUCUGCAACAUGUUGAUAAGAUAUUUUGAAAACAAUAUUGAAUUCUUUAACUUUAUAUUUUCAUUCGGUUUGCCAAACGCUUUUUCUUUGAAAGAGAAAUCUUCUUGAACUCUAGAUCUGUUAUUCUUUUGAUCACUGCUUCGUUUCAACUUUUAAAGAAAGUUAAUAAUGUUUUCCCAAAUUGCUCUAUAUAUCCUUAGAAUUCUUAGUUAAAUUUGACUGAAACAACACAGAUACUCAAUAUAACAGUUAUUUCCCUUCUGUUCUUGAUAUUUGAUAGAUGAAUGGAACUUGUAAACCUUAAGUGGUGGGGAUCUAUGAUAUUUUGAUUAAGGUCAAGAUUAAAGGCUAAGAUCACGUUCGAAAUGUUUACUUUUAACUUUUUGCAUUUAGUUAGACACCAAAAUAAAUAAUGGCAAACUUGUUAGUUACGAAAUAUUCGUGUUAAAAGGAUCCUAAGUCUUGAAAUAGUACUUUUCUCUCCUUGAAAUCUCUAAUAUAAAUUAUUUGUUGAUAUAACGAAUAAACAAUACAAAGUAAAACACUAGGGUAAUUUGAUCUCUGAUUAUUCUCAGAUGAGGUUUAAAUUUCUGUUAAUUGUAAAUAGGAGCAUCUGGAUUUUGACAAAUGUAUAAGUACCUUGAAGAGCAAAAAUAUCCCUUAUUUUAGGCUAACAAAAGGGUAACUAAAUAUAUAUGAAGCUUUUGCUGAAUGAGCUACCAUUUGACACCCGGCGCAGUUUUGAUUAGGCGAAAAAACGACAAUUAUCAACCUUAAUUGUUGCGAUAUAUCUCAAUUAAGAAACAUAUUCAUUUAUGGUGUCAGUAUAGAACAAGCUGUCGUCUGACAAUUGAAAACAAAAUAAUUUUUGCAACGUAAUUUUCACCUAAAAUACUUGAAAUUGAGUGCAAAGGAUCUUCAAUUUUUCUGAAUUUGUUUUAAUUUGCUUAGUGUAUGUUUUCAUCAGGUUUUAUUUUAAGCUGUUAGUACCAGCGUGUACAAAACUGUGCAUGAUAAAACUCUUUAUGUAUCUUUAUACAUGUCACAUUAAGUUGUAUGAUGUCAUAAUGAAAAACAAACUGAAAGAGGAAUGGCAAAAACAAAACAAAAUCGAAAAACAACAUGAAGGCAAACAUCAUUCACAAACACACAACAUUGACAACCAAAGAAUCAGCAAUAUCAACCACACCAGGAUCGAACUUAUUUGCUCAGGAACGUAAGCAAACCCUUUUCUAAAUAUAUGGAACCCAUCGUGGUGAUUAUUUAAAUACCAACCGAUUGAUAAGACUAAUUUGGUAGGUAAUUUUUGAGACAGAGGACGGGAUUGUGGUAACGACAACUGAAACAUAUCCAACCGCAUCUGUAAAACAAAUUUUCUAUAAAGGUCAACUAAUAGUAUAACUCUUGAUUGGAUUUGAAUUAUUUUCGAAGGGAUGAUUUCAAAUGGAAAUUUUGUUCUACAUACAGAGCCGAUACUGGAAUGUUGGUACAUAAAAAAAUAUAAAAUUUAGAAUCCGAGAAUAUAACUUUAAUGUUAUUUGUCGUCAAGUUGUGUUCUAAACUGACCCUUAUUGUCCAUUUCUUCAGCAGCGUCAUAUAUGGAAAUUAUCACAUUUUUUGUCUGGCUUGACAAGGUGUUUCUGAGACUGUUUAUGAAAUCCCUACUCUGAAUCUGUUGGAUAUGCACCGAUUGUAACUGCACUUUGAGAAAUCAUGAUACAUUCCUUUGUUAUAAUUGACUUUGUACUCGCUUUCAGAAAUGCGUGUACUUCUAUAUCGAUGCUUUCUAUCUUUUAUGGCAGUUGAUUUGUUUGUGCUUUGUACGAAUUUUUUAAGUUGCAAUUAUUCAAUGUAAGCCGAAUGCAUAUAAGGUAAUAUAUACCUUGAGUAGAAUAUCUUAAGAUGUUCGAAAACUUAAGAGGACUUUACGUCAGGACAAUUAGUGACUCAUUCACACAAUUUUUUUUAUGUCACAUUUAAGGUUUAGGCCGUUAAAUUUAUUUUGUCUGUCCGCACAAUCACAUAUCUAUAUAGUAAGGAUUGCCGCCUAAUUUGGCACAUACAUGUAUUCUGAAAAGAUCACACCACAACAAACAUGUAUAUUUAUAGCCAUUCUCAUUUGAACACACAGUCAUUAUAGAUUAUAUCAAACCAAAACUGAAACAUAUCUGUUGUUGUUUAUUGAAUCAAUAUAAUAACUUGAUAAUAUCAUCGUUUAAAAUGCGACUAUCUGCCUUUUAACUGUACACAUAUAUCGUUUAAGAUAUUCAUUUUGUUAAACAAAAACAAACCUAAUUUGCGGUUUUAUAAGCUGGAAUAUGACAGUUGUUUUUCAUUCGAUUGAUGUGUUUGAGCUUUCGAUUUUAGCCAUUUGACCAGGGACUUUCCAUUUUGAUUUUUUUUCGGAGUUCAGUAAUUUUGUGAUUUGACUUUUUUCAAUGUUAUUGCAUAUAUUAGAAUGAACGAGAAAACUACUUUGGUAGAUGUCAUGUGGAUAAAAUAUUUGCGCUUACAUCUCCCUUCUGUUGAUGGGUUCACACAGCUGCUUUUCGUUAAGAGUUUUCUUUUCUGUGACAGUUUUCUGGUUUUCUGACAAUAGUACUGCAACCAGAGUUCAUUUUUUAAAACUUUAAUGGUCCGGAAGAACACACACCUAAAUUAUAUAUCGAUGGAAAGAGGAAAACGUGUACAAUAAGAAAAAUUGGGUCGUAAAAAUCCUUAGUGGUCACAAUUUUGUGAAAUUGAGGUCAAAGGUCAGACCUAAAAAUAUCAACAUUUCAAACAAAAGGACAAAAAGGAGAAAUAUUCUGAUAUUUAUUCAAUAGAAUGCUACAAAAACGAUUCAAUCAUAAGCAUAUGCUAUAAACGAUGUUAAAACGACAAAUUUGACUACUUAUAUGAAAAGCUGCCAUUACAAAAUGGCGUUGAUUUGAACCUUCUGAUUUUUUUCCAUUUAAGACAUAGCAAAAGAAGAAGUGGCCUUGACCUUUUCACAUCCAUAAACUUUCAUAUUGUGUAUAGUAUUUCACUAUAGUAUAUUACAGAAUUAUUUUCUAAAGUAUAAAACACCAGUUUAUCAAAUUAUUUCAAUAUUUUUUCUAUCUUUGAAAAAAGCAAAAUUCAAGCGCUGAAACAGUGUUUUUAAUUUUGCAUCUUAAAGGUUGUGUAUUUUGUGAAAAUUAGUAUUUAGUUAUAGAUAAAUACAUAUUGUGUAUUUGCAAAGUCUGGACAGAGGAGUUAUAACACAAAAUAUACUAUAGUCACCCGAGGCGAAUGCGAGUUUAAAAAAAAAUUGAGUGUAAAACAGCCAGUUUGGUGCAUGAUCAUUUUUUUAGUGGAUAAUCCUGGUAAAAAAGUUAACUCAUUAAUUUUUUAAGGGAAGGAUGAAAAACUGUACAAUGCAAUGCCAAUUUUCUAAUGUUGUAAUUCAAAAUCAGUCAUGAUCCUUAUAUAACUUUUAAAAGCGACACACAAUAGCUCAAGUAUUGAUAAAUUGGGACAUGAAUUAAUCUCUUAGUCAUCAUAUGCGGAUUCAGUACGCGUAUUAGCAUUACAAGACACACGUUCGGCGCAGGACAGAGUUUGUUAAAAGCAAACACAGUUUUUGAGUACAAAUGCUAUCUGGAGCGUAAAUACCGUCAUGAUUCGGUCAAACUCGUCAGAUAUAGUCUUACCUUUGCAUAGGAAACCCAUAAGAAUUGUUAGUACAAAGUUUCGAUCAAUGUUCGUGACCCACAUUCCCAUAUGCAUAUGCAUGAUGUAUCUGUACUGCCAAUCCCAAAUGUAAUGGGGCGAAUGUUGCUAGCUACAGAAACGAUUGAUCUUGUAAUAGCAAUACAUUUACGAAUUUUUGUUAUUUUUAAGGACAAUAUACGGUUCAGAAGCGCCUUUGUGUUAUUUUUCAUCAAUUAACUAACAAAUGAACUUUUGAGCCUAGGCUCCGUGUUGAAGACCGGACCGUGACCUAUAAUGGUUUACUUUUAUAAAUUGUGACAUGGAUGGUGUGUUGUAUCAUUGGCACUCAUACCACAUCUUCCUAUAUCUAUUAACAAGCUAUGCGGGCAUCAUUUCCAAAAAAAUAUCAAAACGAGGACAUAGCUUAUAAGAGCACUGGUGGCAGGGUGACGUAAUUGUUCUUCUUUUAAUGUAUCCUUGAUAUUUUCAGACACACCUUGGUGUAAUUCUGAAAGUCUUAACAUAGACUUUAAUUUUCCUGCAGCAGAUAUGGCAUCCCCUAAAUUGAGUUCAGAGCUAAACUCUAUAUUUCAUAUCCCUUGGCCUCACUGUGUCUGAAUUGAGUAGUUUUCUGGUUUUUUUUAAAGGUUUGUCUUUUACACAAAAACCCUGUUGCGAGAUCGUAUAAAAGUGUCUGGUUGUGAGGAUACAUGUCGAUCAGUUUGAUCACAUAUAUUGAUUUCUGUUGUUUCUAAUUUAAAGUACCCCAAGGGUGACUGGGGAAACGAAACAUGAUCACUUGGUCUUCUCCCGACCGGCAGUAAAACGAAGUGGGCGGCGUCCGUUUGCUGUGGCGGGAUGUAUCAAGUUCGCAGUUACGUCCGGUCAGAAUGGGGACGUUAAGUCCGAUGCCUCGUGUAAAGGGAGUGUCACGUUCUUUGCACGUUAAAAACCCUUGCAUCAACUCUUUGAGGAGUCCGUAGGUGGCAUGUUGCAAUGGAAAAUUUCUGUCCCAAUCCAAUAUACCAUCAUUUUCCAGUGGCAGUCUACAUUUUCCCGAUCAUCAUCCCGAAUGGCCUCUAUUAUGACAAAAACUACCAAUUGUUUUUAUUCUUAACUUGUUCUCGUCCUGAACAUGCAUGAAAUAUUAGUCACUGGACGUUAAGCAACCAACAAUCAAUCAAUAUAAUUUAAAGACGCACCAAUGUUGCCUUCUGGUGCAAGUCUCAUAACAUCACUGAUGAUUCGCCCAAGGAAAGCAGAAUCUUCAAUAGUACUUUUCCCCCGACCACUUGCAUGCAUAUUAAUUGCUCUGAGGUUAAACAUUGACAUACAAUGUAUUUUCACACAAUGUCAACUAUAGUCAUAAUCCGGAAAAACCUCUUAUCCGAAGGAUUUGGUUAACUUUUAUAUAAAGUCAAAAUUUUAUGGAAUAUAGAUACAAUGGAUAAGCGUUGAUUCUUGAAAAGGAAAUCAUGAGCCCGGAGGGCGAAUGGUUUGUUUUUCAUGAAUCAACGCUUAUCCAUUGUUAUCUAUCACUUAAAACUUGUGUUAAUGUCUUUAAAAAUUAACGCCUAUUCUUAAUUAGAAGGUAUUGUAAGUGAGUUUAAAUAACCAUGUUAUUGUGUCAAAUGAUUCAUUACAAUAAAUUACAUAUCACAAUUAAAUGAUUUUAAAAAAACAUAAAAAAAAUAUUUUAACACUACACGUCUGCCCUUAAAGAUCUUCAUAUCAUCAGGCAUCUGAAAGUAAUCUUCUUUUUUUUACAAAAUAAGAAAUAUUCGAACUUAUUUCUAUUAAAAUUGAUCUUAAUGGGAAUCCGAAAUUGCUAGCAAUAAGCGUAAUUCUAGACACAUCACGAUUUUCUAGCAUAGGAAUUUGCGAAUUAAAAUUUGUGUAAAAUUAUGUAGUAAAUCAGAUGAAAUCCUAUUAUAUUAAUUUAUAAAACAAAAAUGGACCAAUACUAUGCAAUCCAUUUUUGUUUUGUUUCAAACAUGUGGAAUGGCCAACAAUAAUCCGAUAAUAAACGACCAAACUCGCUCUUAUUACACAAAAUAUCCACAAUAAUAUACAAAACAAGAACAAAAAUUGGAAAUCUAGACUAUAGGAACAACAAAGAGAAUUCAGGGAUUCGAACCUAGACAGACAAGUCCUUAGCUUUAAUUCAUUUAUCUUAACCAUAAAACCUCGUGGCUACCAACUCAUACUAUAUGUUUGCCUAUUGUGUAUAGAAUAGAAUAGAAUAUUUUUAUUACCAAAUUAGGGCCCCAGGAGGGCAUAUGAUACAGACAAUAUUAUUAUAAACAAUAAAUAUCAAUACACACACAGUAAAAGAUAUGUAACAAGUGUUAUAAAAUGAUAAAAUAAAAUAAUAUAACACAGAAAAUACACUCAACAAAAGUAGCAAUGUAUUAUUAUUCAAUGAAUACUAUGUUGAAAAUGACUCAAGUGCACCCGGUAAGUGUAUCUUUACUUUGAGAAGACAAACAUGAGGCAUUAGUAGUUUGUGCGGAGAAAUGUCAAUAUAUAUAAAAAAAAAAAAAAAAAAAAAAUACAAAUAAAAAACAAAGCAAUUAAGCACUCCCACAUUUGACUAUGAGGUAUACUGCAAAUAACAAAGUUUAUUUAAUAAAGGAUAUUUAAUAUGACUUAUCUGCAGAAAGCACCAAGAGUCGGUGCUUAAAGGGGAGUCCCUACUUGUACUUAAUGCAGAUGAGUCAGCUCCUUAAUUAUUGAAAAUAUAUUUUAAAAACAUAUUUUUAAGAUUAUAGAUUCUGUGUCCAGCCAGCAAAGAUCAUCAAGGGACGGUGCCAAAGAAUUUGAAAUUCUUCUUAUGAUCUGUGCAGGCUUAACAGGGUAUCCAAAUUCAUAUUAAAGAGUUAUAAUGAAUUAGUUAUUGCAGAUUAAGUUGUACUUUAAUUCUUAGUAUCUUCUAUAUAUUUGUAAAAUGCAAAUAAUACAUUAGGAUCCUCAUUAUUCAUUAUCCAAAUUAAUUUGUUAUCAAUAUUUAAAUUUUGAAAGUUUGGACAUGAUUUUAAUAUAUUUUGCAUCAUUUCCUCUCUUUUUAAUAAAUGAGUGUCACAUUUAAAUAAAAAAUGAACUUCAUCCUCAACCUCAUAUAUGUAUAUAUAAAGGUACAAGCCUUGUGUGUCCGUUGUACCGAUGUUUAUCAUAUAUUCAUUUAUAUAUAUAAAAUAGACUUAUCAAUCAUAACCGAUUGGUAGCCCAGAGGUUUCGUCGAUAUGUUGAUGUCAGUAACACGUAACAUAAUUAAUGAACGGGUUCAAUUCCCAGUGAAGGCAUAUAGAAAUUACAAAAAUUAAAGCUAAGUUCUUAAAAUAAUUCCAUUAGUGAACAGAAAUCAGUUAAUUAGUCAAUUCAAACUUAAUGAUAUUGGGCACACAAAGGAAACAAUGGAAUAUAAUCUGGUGAGUCCAUUUCAGCGACGGAUUUAAGAAGCGUUGAUUCUAGAAAAAGAAUCCACGGUAAAUGAAUAGGCUGACGUUACCACAACGGUUUAAUAACAAAAAUAUAACUUAUUAACAGAAAAUACACGAAAGAACUACUAUAUAUAUUCAAAUCACUCAAAAAUAAAUUAACUUCUCCUACAAAAUCUACAUAAUCACAUCGAAACUAUCAAAUUGAUGGUGUAGGAAAAAAUAAAUGGUGGAGCUGAUUGACGGAUUGGAAAUUUCCGUAAUUAAAAAAGGUACAAAUGAUGUUUUUAUUUUUGAGUUUUGACAAAUUGUUUGGAAUUUGCCCAACAAACUUUGCAUGCAGUAUCGAAAUAAUAUGUUUUGUCCUCUCAAAUGUCAAAUACUAUUUUUGAAUCAUAUGUUUUCUCGUUUUCAAAGAAAAACGCGUUAAAUUUCUAUCUAAAAAACAGCCAACUUUAAGUUUGAAAGUUUUACUUGGAAAUGGUAUUAUACUUAUGUCUUCAUCAUUCCGAUGAUCCUUGAUGAUAUGUGCAUAGAAAAUAUUUACGAAACUAGCGGGAAAUUUAACCAAAAAAUAUAUUUUUGGAUUUUAAGGUAACUACCCAAAACCGUAAAUUGAGGGUUACCCCCAUUAAAGGGAUAAAAUACAAAAAUGUGACCAUAGAAACGUUUUACAACCCGACGGAAAUUAAAAUAUAGAUAUUAUUCUAUCAUUUAAAACAAUUUGCAGCCGUGUGUUAUUCCGGACCAUUAAAAGAGGGACGAAAGAUACCAAAGGGAUAGUCAAACUCAUAAAUCUUAAACAAACUGACAACGCCAUGGCUAAAAAUGAAAAAGCGUCUUUUUCGAUGUCAGUUGCAGUACUACAAGGAACUGAGUUGGAUAUGUUCAUGCCGUGUAAUCAAUUCAUUCUCCCUAGGAUGUUGCCUAAAGAAUGCUAGAAAUGAAAUAUUGUUCUCAUAAUUUUAGUUUGUUACUCAAAUAAGUACAACUUGCAUAAAUACAAAUGCAUCAACAGUGCCGUAGGUAGAUGGGAUGUUCUUAGCUUUUGGUAAUUGUAAUGUAUUCAACCCAAGAAUGAGAAAUACACCCCCCAAAAAAAUAAUAUGAAAACAAAAACCAAUGCAAAUAAAGCAAAACAAACAAAGAAAAACUUCUCCCGACAAAAGUUUCUACAAACUGAACAUUUGUGAAUUUAUUUGUGAAUAUAUAUAUAUGUUUUUUUCUAAUUCAAAAGGUCCUCAGAAAUAUAAUUCAAUACAAAUAUGUUAAUAACUAUUCAAAUAACAAAUGUUAUAAAGGUGGUCAAGGAUAUGCUAAAUACGUUUUUUUCAAUCCGGAACACAAUCUAUUUCAGAAUAUUUUCGUUUUGUAUAUGAACAAGAUCACUGUAGAGAAGCAAAUGUCCCCAGCUAAUGCACUGACAUUGUAAAUAUCAAUUUCAUUUAAAGCCAAAUAUUUCUCGUGAAAACAAAAUCUGGAUUCAAUUCAAAUUCGUCCAUAAUAAUGUUGGUAAUUUUCUUUUUUUAGACGACGAGGUUCCGUAUGCUUCAUAACACGGCGUUUAUAUAUAUAUCUAAACUCGUUCGUUAUGCCCGAUUGUGUAUUUUUUAUCAUGAUUUCCUUGAUCGAGGAUUGCUGAUCACAAGGAAGCUAUUAAACCAAGAGUUCCAAAUGGUGAAGAUGAAAUCAUCCGUUCGUGAAUUUUACGGACGCCAUCACGAGUUGAGUUGGUUGACCGUUAUGGAAUAACCGUUUCACAGAUGAUAUCGGAUAUGUUCCUUAUGUUGUUACUACAAUGAUCCCUUUCCCUUUUUCACAAAUUUGACCUAUGGAAUAAGUCACUUCAACGGAUUUGUAAUAACAUAAGCUACACGACGGGUGUCACAUGUGGAGCAGGAUCUGCUUACCUUUUCGGAGCAUCUGAGAUCACCCCCAGUUUUGGUGGGAUUCGUGUUGCUAAGUCUUAAGUUUUCUAUGUUGUGUCUUCUGUACUAUAAUUGUCUGUUUGUCCUUUUUUAUUUUUAGCCAUGGCGUUGUCAGUUUAUUUUCUAUCUAUGAGUUUGACUGGCCCUCUGGUAUCUUUCGUCCCUCUUUUGGGAUGUAAUAGAUUUUAACGAACGUUAUCAAUGCAUCAUCGAUCAAUUAUAAGCGAUUUCUUUACCACAAAUCACUUAAAACUUUUAUUAAAUAUUGUUAAACUCUUUCAUAGAUACAAAUAUUUGAUUAGUAAAUAAGGCUGUACCGAAAAACUAAUUUAAAACGGUAUUUCACAAUCUAAAUUUUACGGUAACAUUGUUUUUGUGGGGGUCUUGUUGCUUACCCUUUAGUCUAUAGUUUACUAUGUAGAGUCUUGUGUACUAUGAUUUGUCUGUGUGUCUUUUUCGUUUUUAGCGAUUGCGUCGUCAUAUUUGUAUCUUUGAGUUAGUUUGAAUGUCUCUCACCUUUGCUUCUCUUUUAAACUAAAAGCGCGGAUAUCACUAUGUCUUGGGGAAAUCACGAUAUCAUGGAUCUACAUCUGUCAAUACAUGUUUCUUGGCAUUGCACAAGGUCAUGUUUUUCUUUGACUGUUUCAGACGUCUUUACGCUAAAUCUAUUGAAUGUCGGAUGUGUACCGAUUGAUAAUUUAGUCUUAGAUGCAUGAUUUGUUUUAUUAGUUGUUAGUGGCUUUGAACUAGCUAUCAGUAACUGCGAAUACUCUCAGAUCUGUACUUAUUGUCUUUUUGUUGUUGGGAUGUUCACGUACCCGACCACGACCACUUGCAUUUGUAGUAUUUGUAUUUUUAUACAUCUGAUAAGUUAAGGUUUUUCAACUGAUUUUUAUAGUUGUUCUUAUGUUGUACUGUUACACCACAGUCCCAGGUACGAGGACGGUUAGGAUCCCGUAAACAUUUUUAACCCCGCUACAUUCUGUGUGUAUGUGCCUGUCACAAGUCAGGACCCUGUAAUUCAGUGGUUGUCGUUUUUUUUUAUGUGUUACAUAUUUGUUUUUCGUUCAUUAUUUGAACAUAAAUUAGGCCGUUAGUUUUCUCGUUUGAAUUGUUUUACAUUGUCAUUUCGGGUCCUUUUAUAGUUGACUAUGCGGUAUGGGCUUUGGUCAUUGCUGAAAACCGUUCGGCGAGGUAUAGUUGUUAAUCACAAUCAUACCACAUCCUCUUUUCUAUAUGUGAUUCGUGUAAACUCAUCGAACCUUUCAACAAAAUUAAUUGUAAAAGUUAUCUACCAAUGUUAAAAUUAGAUUUUUGAAUAUAAUUCACAUUGACAUAAUUAUCAAUUUUGUCAUCAGCAAAUUAAAACAUCGCUAAAUUAGUAUUCUUUAAAAAAAAAUUGGGAUGAAUUAAUACACAUCGACGUUUAAAUUCUAUAUUGAGAAUACUCUAUCUAUGUCGAUACUUUUAUUUUGGCAUUGUAUAAUUCAUGUCUUCCUUGACUGUCCAUGAACUUAAAACACUAAAUCCCUGGGAUGUUUAGUUGAUUUUCGUCUCCGAUGCAUGUUUUUUUAUAAAUUAUAUUUUUUUGGCUUUAAACUAGCUUUCAGUUUUUGCGAGUACUCUCAAAUCGUACUUUCGUGUUGAAACAGUUUGUAAUGCAUUUCUGUUAUGUAAUUUCACUUAUUUAGUGUUAAAUAUCGUCUCACUAAUUUUGAUAUAUACCACCUUUGAUAAGUGUUUGGUAUGAGGAUACAUUUUAACUUCUGUUCUCGUACUAUGUAUUUUGUAUAAAAUAUUUCGUACUCCAUGUAUACCUUACACAAAAAUAUUUUCAUUUUUAUGUGAGCGUUAUAUUGUUUAGCGGCAUUUUGUCCAAGGUCAUGGUUGUCUUUCUGGUAUUGUUUUACAUCUCAUUUAAAAAAAAGUGUCAUAGAUAAAACGUAUUCGUUUAAAUUGUCUUUUGAUAAGUCGGCGAGCUACUACUACCUCAAUGUUUCAAUUAUAAUUGUAAGAUAUUCCACUGUUAUUUAUAGUCAAAACCGAAAAUGUCUAAGGAGAUAAUGUACGAUGAAUAAAGAUGAACAACUGAAUCAACUUUCAUUCAUAAAAAGGUUUGUAGAAUUUAAACAAAUGAUUUGCUUCCCAGCGGAUUUUGAUUGUGACACAUUGAAAAAGAUUAUAAAGUCUCUAAAAAUAUUAUAAAUUUGAUAAUCAAAUUUACCUUGGAGGCAACCUCCCAUCUUCAGUCACUGACUAUAUUUUUGGUUUUACCUGUGUUUGUCACUAUUUUCUCUGUAAACUCUGAACUUUGGAACUGACUAUUUUUGAUUAUGAAAAUGAAGCACGCAUAUCUGUAAUAGUGUACGAAAAGUGCAAUAUAAUUGACUGAUAUGUCAAUAUUUGAUAACGCAUGUAAACUCAUAAAUACAGCUAAGUUAUGCACAAAAUCUAUAUAGACAAGUACAAAAAGUAAGAAAACAAGUAUACAAAAUUCCAUUUAGCAAAUUAUUCCAGACUUAACACUCUUAAAUAAAAAUAUAAAUGAAUGACACAGAAUAAAAUGUGUAUCAUCUUGUUCUUCAUCUAAUUAAAAUCGAAAUUCAAUUACCAAAUAACAUAAGAUAAAGCGAAGUUGAAAACAUAUUACAAACUUACAUGACCAUCGGGGAUAGUUCCACUAUAGUUAUUCAGAAACAACACAACCAUACAGUUUAACGUUUACUUCAUAUAUUAUAAAUUAGAGCUUCUACGGCUACCUCUCACACUGAUGUCAACUCUAGAUACAAAACGGUAAAACGCAACGUCUUAACUCAGGCUGUUUUCUCAACAUUCUCCUGAACGCGAAAAGUACAUAUUAAAAUUAAAUAACAAUAAAAAAAAAUGAAUUAAAAUAACUGUCUCUCAAAUUCUAAACUUAAACUUAAACUUAAGCACAGACACUUGAUUCCUGAUUAGUUAUCUUCUAGUUAAAUAACAAUGAGUCUAUUUCGUACACAGAUAAUUAACAGUGGCUAUAUUUUCCGGGCACCACAUAGUCAAAUAAUCAGUUUUUGCACUUAGUCAAUUGAAAUCAAGCAUAUUCGUAAAAUUCCAUAAUAAAUCAUAACAGUUCAUUGGUUACGCAUUAUCUAGUCCAUUUUGUUAUAUUUUCCCUGGCUCUUCUAGCUGGUUCUCGGUUUGACAAUAUCCGGCUUGUUGUCGCACUUGUCUCUUAUUAUUAAAACUGUCCCAUUUUAAUCUAAGUUUCCAUAUUCAUUGCAACAAAAUUUUAGCCGUAAUUGUCACUGGACUCAGUAAUCCAAGCAGAUCGUAAAAUUCUGACGAAUGUUUUAAUAUUUCUCGAUUAGAUACAAAUUGUGUCAUAUUUUUUGCCUUGUGUGUAUAGAAAAGAUAAUAUGUGUGGCUACUCCAUCUCAUUCCCGAUACCUUCGUGUCUAUGUCAGUGUCUAAAACAUUCUGAGAUACUGCUUGUUGUCGUACCUUUACGCUGUCGAAUUCCAAGUUUAAAGCGUCCAUCUCUCUGUCAAUGCUAGUCAAAAUGUUAUCCACAUAUAAAUCCUGUUCAAGCAUUCUUGCGGUAUAACUGUCUGUUUGUUGUAAAUGUUUUAUCAGGGUAGCGCUCAUGAGAAAUGAUGAGCAAAUUGCUCCAAAUAAUACUACUUUAAAUAUAUACGUCAUUAACGGAAUGGUUACAUCUGUAGAGUUACUUAACAAUGGAAAUGGGGUUACUGAUGAUUCCUGAUAGUCUUUCAAAUAAAAUUUCUAUUUUUCUUGAUUUAAAGAUGAAUCUUUGCCUAUCGAUUCAAGUUUACACAACGCCUUCAUGUUAAAGUCUGAUUUGACUAGUUAGUUAAAGAUGCCAGCUGUUGUAGACGAAUGUGCUAUACCUGACUGUAAGGGUCCUGAUAGCAAAUACCCAAGCUUUUAUCUUACCGCGGUCGGUCCAUCUCCUCGUAUAACCUCGAUUUUAAUAAAAUCUCAAUAAUAGUCGGCACCAGGUUUCAGUUGGUGGUCGCCAUUUUCUCAUUAAAAAAAAAUAAUUGUGGCGAUUAAAAUUCAUCAUUUGCGAAAGAAUUUUGCUAAAAAAAAAUCUAUUUAUAUAACGAUUUAAUUGUUUAUUUUGUUUCGGGUUUUCGGAUUUUACCUGAUCAGACAAUACUCAGAAUUUAUCUUGAACUCGUUAAGACAGAAAAUCAAGAAUCAUCUGAUUGUAUUUUAUAGCUGUAGGCAAUACAUGACUAAUUAAUAAAGGUGUUGAAUGUAUUGUUAGACAAAAUGAUAUGGUUAAAUGGCUUCCGUCAUAUGUUAUAUCAAGGAUUUAUCAAUCUCCUUGCGACGAACUUGUUUGAAGCAAACUUUUGACAUCCCCUCCACAGGCACUUGUCUUAUUCCGGCCUAUAUGCCCUAAUACAUAAAGGUAAUAUAUUAACAAAUUUCUGAGACCUGUGGUCUCCUCUCCUCUCAUUAACGAUGGUCCGGACAGGAAAAUUGUUAUUAAAGUAAAUUGUAUUUAUAUAAAAGUUUAAAGCAAAAUUUAGAAAUGGAAAACUACUUAAACUGUAAAUCUUUUGAAAAGAGAAGUAACAUAACAAAAAUGAGAAUUAGCGAUCAUAACUUAAUGAUAGAAAAAGGAAGACAUUUAAAAAUACCUAGAGAAAAAAGACUAUGCACAUCCUGUAAUAUAAUGGAGAAUGAAGCCCAUUUUAUUUUAUACUGCAAAAAAAAUGCUAAACUAAGAGAUAACUUUGUAAGAAAUGUAAUUAAACAUAUGCCAGAUUUUAUGUCCUGGCAAGAAAAUGAAAAAAUUAAAUAUCUUCUUUGUCCAUCAACCUCAAAAAAAGUAGAAAGCUUAGGGUCCUAUUUUUAACAGGCAUUAGAACUGAGGACAGGGGACUCUUGAUUUAUUUAUAAAAUAUAUUUAUAUAUCAUAUAGAUAGAUUGUUUUGCUUUUUUGCUUUUUUUUUUUCAUGGUUUGUUUUUUAAAUGUAUUUUGUGUAUGUUUAUAUUAUUUGUCACAAACUUAUUGUUCAGAGUUUAUAUGACAAUAAAUAUUUGACUUGAGUUAUUAUGACGAAAAAAUUGAAAAGCAAGAAAAAUCUCCAACUUAAAAACUUGAUCCUUUGACUUUGAAUUAAAUAAUGGAUUUGAGAGGGUAAUUUAAAGUGGUUUUGGCGACGCACGUGUUUUCAAGCAUAGUUUUACGUGUCAACUUUUUCAUUUUCGAUGGACCGGAAAAGAAAACGGUCGUUAUGAAAAAAUACAUUCAACCAGUUGGGAACCACCACUAAAACAAGAGGAAACCCUUCAAUGUAAAUGACUAUCCCUUUAAUAUGGAUCAAUUUCAAAUUGUAACAAAUUAGUUUGUUUCGUAAAAACCACUUCUUAGUACAAACGGGCACAUAUUUAUUUUAUUUGAAGAUUUUUUUCCCCAAGAACUACAAGUUUACAUUUAUCUGGUAUUAUAUGGUCAAAGCAUGUCCCAGAAUUUUGUUAUAUUUCUGGACUUAUAUCUUCUUUAUUAUUAAAAGUAAGUGGACCCCUCUUUAAGAAAAGUUGUUCCAAAUAUAAUGAAUUUUGCUCCCUCUAAGUUAAAAAAGCAAAGUUUUAUUUUUAAGGCAAAUGUUAAGUGUUUAUUCAUUACAAUGUAGACUAAAAGAUAGGAUUAAGAGAAUAAUCAUAGACAACAAUGGGCCAUACUUAUAUUAUUAAUUUGGGGUUGGGGGUCGAAAGAAGGAAAAGUUUAAACGAAAACUAUAUGUAUGUUAUUUGGCCAAAAAAAAAAAAAUCAAAGUGGGGAAAAUAUAUUAUUUUGGCGAAAUAGGUGGCAAAAAAAUAAUUUACCCAGGGGAUACCCUGGUCGUCACCAAAAAGUAAAGAAAAUUGAAAAGAAUCGUCUUUGGUAAUUGUAUGAGCGAAUCUCAAUCCUUUUAGAUAACUCGGUGAACUUGGCGCAUGUGAUUCUGAAUUGGGACUGCUAUGGUAGGUACAGUUAGAACUUAAAUUGGAAAUUUACGCCUUUUUUCUGUUUCAAUGUGUACGGUUGAUUUACGUAGUUCUCUCGUGUUGGUGUUGUCCUUUCGAAAUGUCGAUGUGUGUACUUCAACCCCUUCAGUUUUCAAAUUCAAUUUGUCGCUAGAUCAUCAAAUAAGAUAUUAGUUUCUAUUCACAUACUCCUUGACAAUACAGGAGCUACAUCUGUCUUCAAUGGCACAUUUGUACGCGUACGUGUCGAAGAAUGUAAACUUUUCGUAUCUUCCUUGUUUUCAGUAUUAUUAAUGAUAUUGACAGAUGCAGAUUAAAUUUUAUUUUGAAUAUUCUGUUUAUCUGGGUUGCUUGUAGUUUCCAUUUUUAUCAUGGUUACUUACACUGCAUAAGCUGGAAUGAUGUCUAUUGUUACAGUGUCUACAGCACGAUGAUUACCUUAACAAUUAAAACAUAAAUUGUCUCGUUUGAUUAUAGAUAUUCGGGAUUUAGAAUCACUAUCCUUGGUACAGUAUAUUGGCGCAUGUAUGUCUUUACAAAAACACAUGGUCUCUGUUUAAUAUUCCGGGGCUGGCUUUUUUUUCGCGUUGUGUGUUGUGUUUCCUUGUGGUGAUUUAUUUCCUGUGUGAAGUGUACUUAUAGUUGAGUUUGCAAACUGGCGGUCUGUGGAAUCAAGAUAAGUACCUGUAUUUUUUCCCGCCUCCAUGAUCUGAAUUUCGUUAAGUAUACUCUUCCUCAAAUCUUUCAAAUUCCAACUUGACGGUCCGUGUUGUCUUGCUAGGUUUUGGCGUAUUUCUGCGGGCAACUUGUUCAGAAUAACGGGUACCAGUAGUGAACCAUAAGUGUCUGUAGUCUGUCCGAGUGACUCUAGACCUCGUACGUAAGUUUCAGUUUUGUCAUAAUAAUUGCGGAGGCUUACUAAAGUAUAAAUCGGCGGCGAAAUCUCAAGUAGAGCUUGCAUGUAUGUUUGUAUUAUAGUAUGUAUUUGUCCAUACCUCUCUUGUAACAACGAAAUAGCUUUGCCGUAAUUAGUGUUUGUCAUAGAAAAACCUGAUAUGGUCUGAAACGCUUCUCCCUGUAGUAGUGACUUUAAGUAGUUAAACUUCUGUACAUCGCUGAGUGUUGGAUUUGUGUGAAUAUAUGUCUCAUAUGAAUCCCAAAAGGAUUGCCAAUCUAGAAUAUUCCCUUUAAAAGUAGGCAAGUUCAACUUUGGUAAUUUGUGGUACUGAUUAUUUGUGCUAGAAGACGAAUGUAAACUUGGAAUAUGCAUAGACGGGUUCGUAGUAGGAAUAAUCUCUGAUAUAGCGGGGUUAACUGUAUAAAACGAGGCUGCAUUCGAUUGUACAUGAGAUGUCGACGUGAAACAAUUGGCGUGCGGGUUCAAUUGAGAGGAGUCGCUUGCGGGUACACUUUAGGCUAUAUCGGAACUAAAAGAGGGACAAGGAGAUCAGAGGAACAGUCAAACUCAUAAAUCGAAAAUAAACUGACAAAGCCAUGGCUAAAAAUGAAAAGGACAAAUAGACAAACAAUAGUACACAUGCCACAACAAAGAAAACUAAAGAAUAAAUAACACGAACCCAACCAAAAACUAGGGGUGAUCUCAGGUGCUCCGGAAGAGUAAGCAGAUCCUGCUCCACAUGUGGCACCCGUCGUGUUGCUCAUGAGAUAUCAAAUCCGAUAAAUAGUCUAAUUCGUAGGUCACAUUAUGAAGGGAAGGGGAUUGUACUUACGACCAAGGAACUAUCCGAUAUCAUUUGUGAAACGGUUAUUCCAUAGCGGCAACCAACUCUGAUGGCUCCCAAAAUUUACCAAGAGAUGAUUCAACUUACCCAUUUGGAACUCUUGAUUUAAUAGCUUCCUUGUCAGCAACAACCCUCUAUCAAGAAAAUCAUAAUAGGAAACACAAACACGGGAAUAUCGUAUACUUGAGAGUAAAACAAUAAUGUAAUUUGUUUUUUGAUCUUAAAAAUGGAUGCCUGACACACUAAGUAUAUGUUUAAAUUGUUGUGAUCAUGCGAGGGUAUCAUCAGCUCAGUAAUCAGUACUUCGGUACUGAGAUGAUUUAUAACAAUCCUUCGUGGUCAUAUAGCACUUUAAUUUUUACGGUAUUUAUAAAUCCUUGGCAAAUAUUUAGCUGUGGGCGUUCCUGAUGACGGUAAUUCCAGAAAAAUGCUUAUAUAACGUGUGUUUUUUUUUACAGUGCUUGGAUGAUACCUCUACUGGUGGACUAUCAGUCCCCGAGGGUAUCAUCAGCUUAGUAGUCAAAACUAUUGUACUGAAAUGAUUUAUAUCAAUCCCUUCGAAAACUUUCUACAAGAGAUUAAAAGAUGUUGAUUUACGCAUAUAAACAUCACUAUACGGCAUUCAACAGUUUAAUAUAUGUAUUAAAAAAAUGCAGAUUCAUGUCAUUAUAGGCGGCAGACAUAUAAACAAAACAAAUAUAAACACAACGAAAAAUUAGAAAAUAUUCCAACACCAUACAUUGAUUGUAAAACAGUAAUAAUAUUUACGCAGGUUUUGGUGUGUAUUCUUCUCAGUGAAAUGAGAAAAACAUAUUAGGUAUAUUAAGCAACCAAAGGCCCGUGUAAGAUGAAAUGAAAAGUAAUUCAAAGAAGAAAGAUGACGACCUGUUCAAUACUAAAAUAAUUAACGAACAACCAAUAGGACAUACAUUAACAAAAACAAGGACUUUUUUGUGACAACCAAUAAAAAAACAAAUCGUGGCGGGGUCCAUCAUGUUAACAAGCGCUUUAACAACUCUCUCUUCCAAGGAACGCAUUACAACUAAUUCACAAAGAAUCAAGACUGAAGAUUAACUUGUACAUAUAAAACGGAUUACAGAUAAACGUCAAAAACAGUCCGGCAAUAAUGUUCUUGUGUAUGCAAAAUGUUGAUGAAUGUUAACAGUGUUCAAAACUGUAAAGUACUAUGUAUUUGGUAAUGCAUCACGGAAUUCGAUUUAAAUUAUUCAUUAAAAUCUUAACCAGUAAUUUAAGACAUGGACACAGCAAUAUGUAUAUGAUUGCUUGAUUAUUGGUUCCCUGUGUGUUAAAGACGAGAACAAAUCAACAAUAAAUAUAAUUUACUCUGUGUUCUUGUCAUGUUAGAUUUAUUGAUACCUUGAAUAUAAUUAAGCUUGUAAAUUGUAAGUUGACAAAAACAGCAAAAUAUAAUUAAUUAAAGACAUAAAAAAAUAUAACAGGAAUAAAAAAAACUAGUGUUGUAUAAAAAAUACAGUCAAAGCUUUAACCAAAAUUAAUAAACACUAAGAUAUAUACAUAUACACAAGCAUAUAUACAAGUGCAAUUAAUGUACAAAUAACAGUAACACUAUCUAACUUUGAGUUGAAGUAUUAUUUUUUGCAAGAAUCAAAUUCAUAAAAUCCAGUUCACUCAUCUUUCUUUAAAGUCAUGUAUUUUUUUUUUUAUUUCUUUAGAGAUUGAAUAAGUGUUCAUCACAAUGUUAUCUAGAUGAUUUUGUAUUACCUUAAUUCAUUUACAUUCUUCAGAUUGGUAAUUUUGAAAUUCAUUAUAACCAGAUGUAAUGAUGAACUUUACAAUAUCUCUGAUCCAGCAGCCAAAAAUUGUUAUAUAAACAUACAUGAUAGACUAACAAUGAACACAAAAACCGGGUGCACUAAGCAAUUGCUUCCCAAGUAGUGGAAUCUGAUGUUUAACUUAUAACAAUAACAAUAAAAUCGAGAAUGGAAAUGGGGAAUGUGUCAAAGUGACAACAAUCCGACUAUAGAACAGACAACAGCAGAAGGUCACCAAUAGGUCUUCAAUGCAGCGAGAAAUUCCCACUACCGCAGGCGUCCUUCAGCUGACCCCUAAAUAUAUAUAUAUACUAGUUCAGUGAAAAUGAACGGCAUACUAAACUCCAAAUUAUACACAAGAAAUUAAAAUUAAAAAUAAUACAAGACUAACAAAGACCAGAGGCUCCUGACUUGGGACAGGCGCAAAAAAAGCGGCGGGGUUAAACAUGUUUAUAAGAUGUCAAUCCUCCCCCUAUACCUCUAGCCAAUGUAGAAAAAGUUAAAGCAUAACAACAUUAAAAUUCAGUUCAGUAGAAGUCCGAGUCUGAUGUCAGAAGAUGUAACAAAAGAAAAUAAACAAAAUGACAAUAAUAAAUACAUAACAACAGAAUACUAGCAGUUAACCGACAUGACAGCUCCAUACUUCAAUUUAACUGAUUGAAAAAUUAUAUCUUCAUCAUAUGAAUAUCAGGCACAAUAGGUGUUUAGUAUCAUACCAUCAUAACAUAUAUGAGAAGAUCAUAACCCGUGUCAUGCCAACAACUGGUUUUUAAAAAAAUGUGUUCAGUUCCCAUGCAAAGACCCUGUAAGUGAAUCAAUAUAAAAGCCAUAAUAUGCAAACUUUAAUGACCUGUCAACAGUAUCGUAACUAUAUCCCUUCUUAAUAAGUCUAUUUAAAGGUUUUGUUACAUUUUGAGGUGAAUACUGACAUUUUUGUGCUAUCUAAAGGAUAUUACCAUAAAAGAUUGGAUGUGAAAUACCUGAACGUAUAAGAUGCGUGUUGAGUUAUAUUUACGAAUGAUGUACCGAUAAAAAGAUUUAGUAAAUGCUUUGACUAGUUUGUGAUAUCGAAAAUCCUGGUGUAAUUAUUUUUCAGUAGUUCAUAAUUUUUUCUCGUUAAAAUCUAAAACGUUGUUAAAUACACGAGCGCAUCGUACAAGUUGGGAUAUAUAAACACCGUAACGUGAUAACAAGGUAACGUCACCAUUCCAAAAUAGAUAAUUAACGAUAGGAAAUGAAAAAUCAUCUCUUUUAUCAUAAAUUUUAGUAUUAAGCUUUCCGUUAAUGAUAUAGAUAUCAAGAUCGAGGAAAGAGCAGUGGUCAUUGUUAGUAUUAGCCUAAAUAUAUUCAGUAUACAUACUGAGGUCGUCAUUAUUCAAAUAUCUCAUUCAAAUAUCUAAAAGUAUUUUUAAAUUUUUGUAUCAGAUGUUGUUUCGAUGAGUCUUUGCUGAUUUUUGUCAUAAAUUGUAACUCAUAUUAAUACAAAAACAGGUCCGCAAUAAGUGGUGCACAGUUAGUCCAUAUUGGAAUUCCGAUAACCUGACGAUAUACGGAAUCUCCAAAGCGAACACAAAUGUUAUCUGGUAAAAAUAAAUAAAAAUGCCUUGAUAGGUCGAAUUUGCGGAACACAGACAAAAAGAUUGUGAAUCGGAGAAAUAUUAUAUGAUAGUGAAUAUCUAUCUUUAGCACAUAAAUUUCAUAACAGGAAAAAUGUGUAUGGAGCCCGUAACAGAUUCAUAACAUGCUUAAGUGCAAGUCUUCUUUAAACAUUCGAGGUUACAAAGCCAUGAAAAUUCAAUGUUAGUAUUAUUUGUUGAGACGCUAGAGGGCUAAGCGAAAACCAUUGAUAGUAGAACUGACAACUCUAUUCAAUUUAGAUUAGAGUCAUGUGCACUUUCUCUCGUAGGAUUCGAACUCACCAUCUCAGUGUUACAGUAGUAACUACCGAGUGAACUGUAUUUAAAAUUUUGCUUUGUCAGUUGCUGUCCUUUAAAAUUUGCGACACUCAAAUCUGAAAGCAACAUCAAAAACAUUCAACUAAUGUACUGAUAUCUCUAUUUAACUGUUAUACCACAUAAAAUGUUCAAAAUAAAUAAAAACAUGUGAUUAUUACCAGUAACACCGACUGUGAUUGUUCAAAGAUGUUACCGAUGAAUUCGAUGGUCAACCAUGGAUGUUACUGCAGACGUCGCCAUAUAAACAGAAGCUUGACUUUACACAUUGCGUUAUAAUUCACUUAAAAUUACAUACUGUCAUUAAACAAGAUACAUCAAAUAAAGUUUGUUUUUGACCAUUUUCAACAAGCUCAACUUCGUUUUCAGAAACAAUAAAUGUCUUGUUUUUAAUCAAAUACCACGAGGCAUACUUUUAUAAUGCUUUAUUCCAAUAAUUGACCACCAUCUACAAUACAGUUUCUCCACCAAGCCUUUCAAGUUCUAUUAGUUAUCUUAGAAAUGAUAUAAGUAUCCAGAUUAUUUUCAUAUUUAACAGCAGAAAAAAAAUAAAGAUACAAAUAAUUUUAAAAUUUGUAAUAUAAACUUUGUCGGUCUUCGAAGUCUCUAGCCUUCUCCCUAUGUGCAGAUGUACCAUCUUCUGUGUUUUCCACAAACAUGUUUUCAUCCAUUUUAUGGAUCGCCGCGAGCUUGUUAAAAAUGGUUGUAUUCUUAUAAGCGUGCAUGUUCAACAUGGUUGAAUUCUUAUAAGCGUGCAUGUUCAACAUGGUUGCAUUCUUUUUAACGUGCAUAUUAACCAUGGGUACAUCGUCUUUAAUGUGAAUCUUCGGCUUUGUUUUCAUAUAGCAAUCAAAUUUAUGUAAAUCAAUAUAAUGAUCGUAGUCGUCCGUAUCGUGUUCUGUAAACACAACCCAUGUGAAAUCAGUGAUAGCAAUAUAGUAAUCGUAGUUUUGUCCUUUCAAUACAUUUCCUCUGAAGGAAUGGAAAUAACCACGUAUUUGUGAAGGCGACGAAGAAGACGGAUAUCCACCAUUACCCCCAUACGGGCCAUACGUACGACCAUAAUUCGUAUCGAAAGAGAUACUAUCUAAAAGCAUACCACUCUUAAGAUUUAUACUUGUUAUGACUUCAUCCUCAUCAAGUUCAAACUCGUGCUCCGAUAAUAUGGAGUGUCUAGCUUUUGGUCGGAUGCCAUUAAGGACAUUAGUUCCACUGUGAUAUUCCACUCGAAUUCCUCCAAUUACGGUAAAGCGUUCCCAUAUUGUAACCCAUAACGAUAUCUUUUUGGGGCGAUCAUUUAUAGCUGAAACUUUCUCGAAAGAUUUUUCCGACUUUAAGUGUGAUGCUUGUAUAUAACACUCUGAACUUUCCAAAAGUUUCGAGGAAUUUGAAAACCUCCUUUCUUUAAAUUUGAGAUCACUCACAGAAAAAUUUGUAAAGGUGGAUCUAUCAAUGGUAUGGAAGCAGGGAUAAAUAUCAUAUAUAGAACUCAGAUCAUCUUCGGAUAUUUCCGAAAAGAGAAUUGAAUAAAGAAUAUAUAAGACAGUUGGAUAAUCUUUGACUUGUUUAGCUGUUAAUCUUUUACCCACAGCUUCAAGAAUAUGGAGUUCAGGAUUAUUGACUGGAAUGCCUUUACGAAAAACGGAAAGAUUUCUCUGCAUCAACAAGAACUUGAACUCUUCAUUCGAAAGAGUGUAGAACAAAUUUUGCUGAACAAACGUAUCAAAAUUUUCAGAUAUAUACAUGACUAUAGUGGCAAUCAAAUUCAUUAGAUUGAAUUGAAUUGCACUUGGCAGAAGAGACAUAGCUGUGGAGUGAUCGAUGCUGUUGAUUAAGAACUUUUCACACUCAUCCAAGAUGAGUUCGACUCGGAGAUAAGAAGCUGUUUCUAAAAGAUCUUCAACUUUGUCUCUUGCUAUUUCAAGAUCCCCAGAAUAUGCAAAUUUUAUGACAUGACACAUCGCCUCGGAUGAAACACAUUCUUCACUCAGAACACAUUUUCGUGCUUGCUUAUUGAAAUUUGAUCUAGAAUUAAAGUAAUCAGAAACACUGGACAAAAUAUCACUGUGAACUUUGGUUUCAAAUUCACCGCAUGAUACUUCUAGUUCACAGUUUUUUUGUUCUUCCCAUUCCCUUAUUUUGUUUUCAUCAACGUUGGUAUUCAGAUGAAUUUUCAAAACAUCUAAAUUUCUGUAAGAUAACAAUUGAACGAUUAUAAAUAAUAAAAUAUGACAGAAUUAAAAAUAAAAAACGACACUCUUAUUUUAUUGUACAACGUUGUAUAGAUAAGACUUUAAUCUGAUAAGUGAAUUUGAAUGGAAAAGCAAUCAAUUGAAAUGUGUCUUAUGAAAAUAGAGGGGAAAGAGAAAACAAACAUCGUUGACUGAAGAAAAACAUUAAUAUUAGAUAAAUAACAAUUGUUAUAUAUUUUUUCAUACCGACUUUAUCAGAGCAAAUUUGAGAAAACCCAUUACUCUCGCUGAAAAAGUCAGUAUAGAAAAACGAAUAAUUUGACCUUCUGGGUUUGACCUUGCUCCGACUCGGACUGGUACAUAUACAUGAUUUAGCAAUAUGUUUAUUUGCUGCUAUCACAGUGUAAUUCAACUAUUUUACUCGUAAUUCAAACAACGAUAGGAAUGUAAAAAGUUUUAAUAUAAUAAUGGAAAAAGUGAAUCAUAUAUUUUCUGUAAUGCUCAAACAUUAUUUUGAACAUAUAUAAAAAUGAGAAUGGAAAUGGGGAAUGUGUCAAAGAGACAACAACCCGACCACAGAACAGACAACAGCAGAAGGUCGCCAACAGGUCUUCAAUGUAGCGAGUAAUUCCCGCACCUGGAGGCGUCCUUCAGCUGGCCCCUAAACAAAUAUGUAUACUAGUUCAGUGACAAUGAACGCCAUACUAAACUCCAAGUUGUACACAAGAAACUAAAAUUAAAAAUGAUACAAGACUAACAAAGGCCGGAGGCUUCUGACUUGGGACAGGCGCAAAACUAUUUUUGAUAGACGAAUUGUUUGUAAAAACCAAAUUGACAUUUGACUCAUAAGUCAAAACUAAACUCGGGGGUUGAUCACAUGUGCUCUGGACGAGAAAGCAGAUAAUGGUCCACAUAAUGCACUCGUCGUGGUGGCCAUUUUAAAUGUAUCAAACUGUCGACAAGACUUAUUCGCUUGGUAACAUUGUAGAAAAGAUGGAUGGAAUUUGGGUAACGAUACGUGAAACAUAUUUAUCUGCGUAUGUAAUAGUUAUCAAAGUUACAAGGAUUAUAAUUUAAUACGCCAAACGCUCGUUUCGUCUACAUAAGACUCAUCAGUGACGCUCAGAUCUAAAUAGUUAUAAAGCCAAACAAGUACAAAGUUGAAGAGCAUAACGCUUACCUGACACGUGAUGGUGUUCUCAAAUGUUUUAAAGGGAUGACUUGAACUUCAUCAAUUUGAAUUCUUGCAUCAAUGGCUUCUUUGCAAACGAAAAAUUAUUGUUUAGGAAAUUAUGAAAUGCAAGCUCUGGGAUAUCGUAUUAACUCCAUAUGCACACACAACAAAAAAAAGUGUUGCUACAUUGAAAGUUCGAAAUCUGUAAGCAGAACACAUUUCUUUUGUUGUCAAAAUUUGUUCUCAACUGAGCCCUGUUGUCAAUUGCUAGAUAUGAAUCAAGAUAUUGACAGUUUCUGUUAUUAUCAAUUCGGUUGGAGGGAGGAAAUCAUAAAAACUACCUUAUUGUGAAAUGUUUAGUGAGACCAAAUCAUCUACAUAGAGGAAUAUGAUAUACUAAGAUAUUAAUAGCAAACCUCGAGGACAGAGAUUAUGUCCGUUCAAUACUUUACAAUACUACACACAUCUUAAGUGCAGUAUUGCGGAACAUGUAUAGAACGAAUAUGAACUCUGCGCCAGAAUGUUAUUGAUAGUUUUUUUCAUUCCUCCUAAGAUUCUUUUGUAUAAAGUCUGCCUCGUGUGAAUGAAAAAAUAAGUCGACAAGAGGAUGAGCAUUUUUGAUACCAAUGAGAAGUCCUCAAAACGCAGCAAUGUUACAAUGUCAAAACAGUCUUGAUAAUGCAAAUUACAAAUAUGUUUUAGUUUGAAACUGAGUGAUUUUUCAGGGUAUGAUUUUCCUUCUCAAAAAGAUGUAUGGUCAUUACUUUUUAUGAAACGAAGUAGAACAAAGUCUUUCAGGUUGUCUUUAUGUUUGAUUAAUGUAAUGCUUGACUAAUGUCUAAAAAAUAGUCCGUUUGUUAUUCUGCUACAAGAGAAAAGAAACAAAUGUACUUUAUCAGAUCUUAUGUAUGUUACAGUAUCAACGUCUGAUUCACACCGCUUCUAUAGUAAAUAGUUCAAAGACGUUUUGAAGCCCGGUUUAUAUAGAAGAUGAAAUGAUGUUUAAACUUUUUAAAAGAGGUUGUGUGGAGCAAAUUGAUGAUCAAUCAGUAUAGCGUUAUUUCUAAGACCAUUUAUGUAACUUAAUUAUCCAAUACCCUGCGGAAAGAUCCACUUAUUCGUUUAAUUCCGAAGGAACAUAUACAAAAAAAAAAUGAUUUUUCAGGAUUACCUCUUUAAUAAUUGUCGUUCAAUUUUGGAUAAAUGUUGAGGGUCCAAGUGAAUUUUUAAUACAUUUUUAAUUUUGUUGCAGUUUUACGUUAUGAUAUUUUACGCAAAAACGUUGUUGUUUUGGUUGAUAUUCGAGGGGGACAAUAACAACUUUAUCAUGGAGGUAAGAAAGGUGCUGAACCACUUUCAAUUAUCUAAUGAUCGAUGAAGCAUAGUGUAUAUUGUGUCCACUAGCCGAAAAAAGGUGAAAACUUCUAUGUUUCCGGUUAUCAGUAUGCGCAUGCACAAAUACUCAAAAUAAGCAGUAAUGUCUUGUAGUGAAGAUUGUGCAAAAUCGGUUAAAUUCGAAUCAAACUUCAGGACCAUGUAAGAACUUUUGAAAUAUGUUUAACUUAACUUCUUGAUCACCCGUCUGUUCAUCGUUCUGAUUAAAGAUCUUCACAAAUUUUAUGCAGAGGGUCAGACAUUGGACUUUCUAAAAACUCUGUUUUUGGGAACGAUAUAGAGAUAAAUAUGGAAUUCUUAGUACAGUUCUAGACUGAUUUCAAUCUUCUUUUGUGAGACAUUCCUAAUCAUGAAUUUUUGGAUAUAAAAAAGUAAUGUUUGAAGCCUUUUCUGCUGGACAAAUAAAAAUCAAUAAAAAUCAGGAGAGUCUGUAUAAUUGCCAAUGGAAUAACAAUCCUUCAAAGUUCAAAUGAAGUAGAUGUAAGCAAUUAUAUCAACCAUGCAGCCUUCAACAAUGAGAAAACUCAUGCUGCAUGAUCGACUAUAAAAGACCCCGACACGAAACAUUUCAAUACAGAAAACUAGCAAUUCAGUUGAAAAAAAUAAUUCGAGUUAGAAAACUAGCAAUUCAAUUUGAAACAAUAGCAAUUGAGAAAAACUUUCUUUCAAGAUAUAUAUAAUUUCCAAGUGACCAAGUGAGAAUUUGUUUUAAGAUGUAGCAAUGCAUACAAGCAUAACAGAAGACCAAUAAUUAGAACAAAGGUAAACAAUAUUUGUACUUACAUCUCAUUAUUGUCGAUUUGUUCAUCUAGUAGCUCUGUGUAUGGUGAUCCGUUCACCAGGGACAGUCCUCCCGUCUGACAAAUAGCUACUCAGAUGCUCGAGAUUACUAGCCAUCGUUCAAAAUAUCGGGCUUAAAGAAUGCCUAAAAGAUAACAAUAUGUUUUAUCUUCAAUUUAAUACUGUUUCAUUUGUUUGUAUAUGAAAAUUACGCUUCACUAGUUUAAACCCUAAAUGCAAGUGCCUUUUUACUUUUACUAAAUGCUAUCAACUCCUAGGAACCUAAAUGAAACUGCUUCAUAUAUAUUUUUUAACUAUUCAGAGACAAACUGCAUAUUUGUGGUCAAAAUCAUUAUGUAUUUGAAUAAACAGUACAUAAUCAUGAUAAUUUUAUGCACUCUUAACACAUUGAAAUAUCUAUAAGCUGAGAAAAUGAAAAUGCAUUUUAAUAUAAAUCUCAUAACCACCGCCAUUUAUUCUAAUUGUGAUUGACCGUUAUGAAUCAUCACGGAAAUUAAACCGAACAACUUAUGUACUAUUCAAGUUUUUUUAAUGGUGUUUGUGCGUCUUAUUUACAAAAUAAUAUGAAAAUAAUAUUUUACUUAACCUGAUAUCUAUGAUGAAUGAACUAGGUAUAUUCCCUUUAAAAGACCUAUCUGAAUUAUUACGAACACACAAACACAUACACUUUUAUAGUACUAUCGUAUGUAUAUAACCGCUUAGAAGGAGAUCACAAGUCUUACAUACAGGAACAGAAAUGAAGAAUUAGAACAAAACGUUCUUAAGAAAUAGAAUUUUACCUUGAUGAGAACUUCCUAUUUUUAUCCUGAAAAUUUUCAAAUGUAGUGUGGGUUUUUCCUGUUAAACAAGUGUCGCUGUUUAAAUUAACAUUUAUAUUAUAUAUAGUUACCUAUUGAUGACGUAAAUAUAAAUUAUGUGCUUACGGUGUCUGAGUUAAACGAUUUCUUGAUAUUUAGAGUCAUAUAAAGUUUAUUAAAUGUACAUAUCAUAUGACAGUAUAUGGAUUGGGUUGAGACCUUCAUAAAAAGUAUGCUGAUCGAAGCGUUGCUGGGUUGAUACAGUUGAAAUUGGUUAAAACCUAAUGUUAAAAUAAAUGAAAUAUUGGCCACAGAUAAGAAUAAUUUGAUAAACUUAUUUUACUCAACUAAAAAAAAUAAAAGUUGGUGACAGCAAUGUAAGCUGUAUAAUCUAAUCGUUAUUACUUUAUAUAUGCAUGAUUGAUAAUGCGCCAUAUGAUUCAUUCAAAAAUAGUGCAAGUGCAAAUUAUUGUAUGUUUUGUUCUUUUGAAAUAUGUUGUUAUAUCCAACUGUAUAUUUUGCACGCUAAGACAAUAUGGUAGCUUUGUUUGACCAGAUAUCUUAGGUCCAUGAAAUUCGCACAUUAGUAUACUGAUGAUACUGUUUUUUGUUGAGCGUAAAAUGUAAAAUUUGUUUGAGUUAGAAUGACAGCUGCAACGUUUUUUAUGUUAAGUAUUAUUAGUAUGAACUAGUUUUCUCCUCUGUCGACCUGUUACUUUCAAUGUGAAGUGACUACAACUUCAACCGUAACUACGUUAAAGACUAUAACCUUAUGAGGGAUAGAUUGAAAAACAGAUAAAAAGAAGGACAAAAACAUAUCUUCUGGUAUGCGGUUAUCGAUUAAAAAAUAAAAAAGCAAGAAGUCACACAGCGAAAAAAACACAAAACAGUCCAUGGUCAUAAAAUUACAAGACAAUCAAAGGCAUGAUUUUCCUGACUAAAGAUUUGUGGAAUAAAGCCACCUGCUUAAACGUGUUUACUUUUAUGCAAUCUCCUAUAAGAAAAUUCUACUAAUUCUACUGAAGAAAUAUAGAAUGUUAACAUAUUUCAUUAAUAGAUACUACUAGACGGAGAGAAUAUUCAUUAUUAAUUUUUAUUAUGCCCACCUACGAUAGUAGAGGGGCAUUAUGUUUCUCGUCUGUGCCUCCAUCCGUCCGUCUGUUCGUCAAUCCGUUCGUCCCGCUUCAGGUUAAAGUUUUUGGUCAAGGUAGUUUUUGAUGAAGUUGAAGUCCAAUCAACUUGAAACUUAGUAGACAUGUUCCUUUUGAUAUGAUCUUUCUAAUUUUAAAUCUAAAUUAGACUUUUGACCCCAACUUCACGGUCCACUGAACAUAGAAAAAUUAAAGUGUGAGUUUCAGGUUAAAGUUUUUGUUCAAGGUCGAUUUUGAUGAAGUCGAAGUCCAAUCAACUUGAAACUUAGUACACAUGUUCCUUUUGAUAUGAUCUUUCUAAUUUUAAAUCUAAAUUAGACUUUUGACCCCAACUUCACGGUCCACUGAACAUAGAAAAUUAAAGUGUGAGUUUCAGGUUAAAGUUUUUGUUCAAGGUCGAUUUUGAUGAAGUCGAAGUCCAAUCAACUUGAAACUUAGUACACAUGUUCCCUAUGGUAUGAUCUUUCUAAUUUGAAUGCCAAAUUAGAUUUUGUACCCAAUUUCACGGUCCAUUGAACAUGCAAAAUGAUAGUGCGAGUGGGGCAUCUAUGUACUUUGAACACAUUCUUGUUUUAGACUAAAUUUAUUCAUAAUAGAUUAUAUUAAAAAUUGUCAUAUAUACAUACACAUUCUCACAGGUUUGAACAGUCAUUACAUUUAUGAAAAUUAUAUGAAACGUAUGAGCACCAAUGAGCAGGAAUGCGUAUUCAAAAAUAGCUAAAUAUCUCAAUUUUAAAAGGACGUGAAUGAAAAAAAAAUGUACUUGGAUGGUUUUAAUUCACAAGUUUCAAUACCUUUCCUCUCACAAGAAACGGAGUGCAUAUUGUACAAAAAUCAAAACAAAUUAAUUACGUACAGUCAUAAUGUUAAUUCUUUUAUAUUGUUUUAGAAUGAAUUUAUUAGUGUCUGGUUAUAUUUUAUUUAGCAAUAUACUCGCGUAGUAGAAUAUUAGACUUAAAAAAUGAUUUAUAAUAAAUAGAAUAUCCGUAAAUACUUGAAGUAUUCUUCAUUGAUAUGGGUUAUAAAAGAGGGACGAAACAUACCAGAGGGAGAGCCAAACUCAUCAAUAGAAAAUAAACUGACAACGCCAUGGCUGAAAAUAAAAAGACAAACAGAAAAAUAAUAGUACAGAUGACACAACAAAGAAAACUAAAGACUAAGCAACACGAACUCCACCAAAAACUGGGGAUGAUCUCAGGUGAGCAGGAAUGUAACUUCUUUGAUAUUAUAUUCUAAAUUGUCGGAAAAAAUAGAUAUGUAUGUUGAUUAUAAAAUUUCAAAAAAUGUGUUUGAUUGUUAGUUUUAAUAGUUCAAAAUUAUAACAUCUAACUAUUUUUACUAUGGUGCGAUUCUAAAACUUGUAUUUAUUGUGUUGACCAGCUAUCCUACACGUCUUGAUUCAUUUCCAUUGUACAUCAUCUUAUUCGCACGUACACUAUCGUUUAGCGUUUACAAAAUUGUGAAUAAAAAGUCAAUUAAACGGGAAUCAAAACAUUUCAGGUAGGUAGUUUGACAGUCGAAUUCAACUGUCAGAUCAUUAUAUUCUUAUCGUGAAUGCAAAUUUUCGCUUUUAUCACCUUAAUUCAGGACAUGGCAGUAAGAGCUUGGCAUGUGACUUCCAAGCACGGUAAUCAUACCUAACAGUAAUUAGUUUAAGAAAGAUGCAAGCAGAUGUAUCUCCGCUUAGUAUGAUUUAAAGAGUUUUAAAAAGUAUAACUGUACGUCCGUCUAGUAUUCAUUGUUUUCAUUGUACAUAAAGAGUUGUACGCAUAACUAAAGCAAAUGCAUAUUAUAAUUGCCGUAUUUCAGAAUAUAAUCAGAAAGGACAACUCCAAGGAUAGCUUAUGUGGUUGUAAUUUUAUUUGAUUAAAACACGUGGCCGCGUGAUGUGCUAUAAACAUUGAAAAGUGUUUACUUUAUACUUUGUAAUAAUCUAAUAUAUUUACAGCCUGCCGCUUCACAUAUUUGCACAUUAUUCAAAAAGCGAUACUUCGCAAAUUGUAAAUGACCAGAUAAGGACACGUUUUGACAAUACUUCACUUAUGAUCACGAGGAAAAGGACUGAUCGCAUCAUAUAACGUAGAUUUAAACCUGUUUUCAACCAAAAAAACACAUAUUAUUUUUACAAACUGAUAUUACCCAUCUUCAUAUCAUGUUUGUUUAUUCAUUGACCCUUUUACUUAAUUACAGACAAAUGUAAAAAGAAAAGAAUUACGAAUAAAUAGUUUUUUUUUAAAUCUUUGUUUGCACAUUAUCGGUAAUAUUUGUUAUUUUUCUGCAGGUUACAAAAAAAAUAUAAUGUGUAAUGUGUUUACCCUUCCGGAGCACCUGAUAUUAACACUAGUGUUUGGUUGGGUUCAAUAUAUAGUUUUUUAUAGUGUGUCAUGAGUACUAUUGGUUGCCUUUUCAUUUUUAGCCAUGGCGUUGUCAGUUUAUUUUGGAUUUAUGAAUUUGAUUGUCCCUUUGGUAUCUUUCGUCCCUCUUUUACAAAAUGUAUGUUUGUAUCUUUUAAGUUACGCAAAAAAAGGAAAAAAACGUUCGUCUCAUUUUUUCUAUCUAUAUUGCAUUUCUGAUGCUGAUGUUUGUUUUGAGAUAUUUUAAAUGUAAUCAGAUUUCAUCAAGGACAUCAAUCUCAUUGCUUUGUUAGUCUUGUAUGAUUUUUAACUUAAGUUCAUUUAUAUGUUUUGGAGUUUAUUAUGGCGUCCAUUUUUACUUAACUUGUACAUUUUUUGCUUAGGGGCAAGCAGAAGCCACCCUCUGUGAACGGGAUUUUGUCGCUAUAGUGAAGACCCAUUAGUAGCCUUGUGCUGUUUUCUGCUCUUUGGUAUGGCUUGUGUCUCUAGCACACAUUCCCCUUUUCCAUGAUCAAUGUUAUCGUAACGUAAAAAAAAAGACAAAAAAAGAGGUAUUUCAUGACUUUAUAGCUAAUAGAAAAUGGCAUAUCUUAAAAUGAUUCCUGGCAACGACAAUUCAAUUAAAACUGUCUUGCAUUUUGAUUUUGCACGACAAAUGAGAUAUCCUAUCUCUUCUUUCACAACAGAUAAUAAUUGCCUUAUCAAUACACUUACAAAUAUACUAUAAUAAGGGACUUCCUUGUUGAAUACUUGGAAUCAGAAAAAGUUAAAACGAUUUACAGUAUUGUUCUUUGUUGUACUUAAUAUGAAAAGUACAGAUUUGACGAUUUGAAUUUUGAUGGGGAUUUAUAUAUGUUUGUUCAUUUAAAGAAUUGAAUUACAUUUUUGUAUAUUGUUAAUUCAGUAAAAUGAUAUUAUGUUUGUGUAUAUAAUCACUACCUCAGUAUCAUAUACUCGUCCGUUUUGUAUUAAAUGACGUACUUGAUAAAUGUUCCGAGCUAAAUUUAGAACGUUAGCACAGCUGUCAUAUUCUCACAGUGUAAAAUAAAAUCCGGGGUUCUAGAAAGUUAUAUUUCUGUUAACUGUUUAUUAGAUCCAGAAUAGUGAUGGUUAUAUAACAUGUUUACAUUUAUUUGAGCUUCAUGCUGUAGAUAUGUGGUACGAUUGCCGAUAAAAAAAACCAACUUCUUAGGUGUUUAAUCGCGGAAUUUUAACUUUCAAUAUCCACACUCUAACACAUCUGUGGUACAAUGUUUGAGGAACACAUUUCUUAAUUUAAACAUAGUUUGGGUAAAUUUUAGGAUAACAUAUUAUCUUAAAAAUAUUUGUUCUAUAAUAUAGUGUGGGUUGUGGGGAGGGGAGGGUUCUUUGAUGUUCUAUGUACUUUUUUCGUUUUUAUUUUCUCUCCGAUUUAAAUGCUAUCAUGUGUGCCAUACAUCUCUGCCAUCUGAUAUUGUUACCAAUGACGAGUAUAUGAUACUGAUGGCGUGGUUAUAAACGUAAACAUAAUAUCAUCUUACAGCUUUAACAAUACAAUAUAUUUAUAGUUCUCAUUAAAUUGACGAAAAUAUAUUUAUCACCAUAAAACUUUAAAAUGUCAAAUAAUUAACUUAUUUUCUACAUAGAAAAUGACUGUACAAUAACUUUUAUCAUAAUCAAUAUUACACAUAUGCUAUUUUUUUAAAAACCUGUUCAACAGAAGAUACCCUUUCAUUGUACUAAUAUAUGCAUGCAUUUUAAACUUUAAAAUAUUGAAUCAACACAUAUUUCUCUGUAAAUCCUGUAAAUUUCUGAUUGGCCUUAAAAGUCUAAUAAAAGUUUGUUAAUGUAUUUUAUUGCAAAUGAUCACAUUGAAAAUAUUGAAAAAGAGAAGAACUCGCUUAUACCAAAAGAAUUUAAAUCAAGUGAUUGUAUUUCGGUAUCAUCAAAAUGUUUCAAUGAUUUUUAAAGUACUGAUUUUAUCUUGCAGUAAAUCUAUAAGAUUAGAACUUUUUUUGUGAAAUCGAAAUUCUUUUUAAAAUGUUUAGUUUGGGUAACAAUAUCAAAUAAACAACAUAUUUUCUGAACUAUAUCAGAUAUUUAAAUAUUUGUUGUUUUCUACUGAGUGUCACAAGAAGCUUUUGAACCAAAAGUUCCAAGUGAUAAAGUUGAAAUUAUUCCUUUGUAACUGAUGAUAGCGGACAUGUUCUUAAUGACGUCCUCGUGUAAUAUAAUUUGAAAAGGACACCGAACAAUGAAAUUCUAUACUAGUUUUUGAGCUGAUGAGACCAAAUAACCUGAUGGUGAACUUCUGUAACAAGAAGCACGAAAUUUUACAUGAAAAUGCACUGAUUUCACAGUUAUUAUUACCGGAGACUUCAACAUUGUCAAUAAAACUUCCCUGCAAAAUUUUUAUUCAAAGGUCCGAAAUAUCGUGAGCCAAAAUUCAUCAUUUGGAAAUACAACUUCAAAAUAUUGAUGGAUUCAGUCGAUGUAUAUCCCAGGGCUAAACGCUAGAAAAAAGACGUAAAUACUCUUUUCGAAUGGAUAAAAGAGUGACGAAAGAUACCAAAGGGACAGUCAAAUUCAUAAAUCUAAAACAUACUGACAACACCAUGGCUAAAAAUGAAAAAGACAAACAAACAACAACACAUGACACAACAAUAAAAAAACUUAAGAAUAAACAACACGAACCCCUAAAAAACUAGAGGUGAUCUCAGGUGCUCCGGAAGGGUAAGCAGAUCCUGCUCCAGAUGUGGCACCCAUCGUGUUGCUUAUUUGAUAAAAAAUCCGGUAAAUAGUCUAAUUCGGUAUGUAACAUUUAAGAAAGGGUAGGGAUUGUAGUUACGACGUAAGGAACAUAUCCGAUAUCAUUUGUGAAACGGUUAUUUCAUAACGGUCAACCAACUCGUGAUGGCGUCCGUAAAAAUGACGAAGGGAUAAUUUCAACUUCACCAUUUGGAACUCUUGGUUUAAUAGCUUCCUUGUGAGCAGCAACCCUCUAUCAAGAAAAUCAUGAUAGGAAAUGUAAGCACGGGAAUAUGAUAUCAAUUGGGAGAUAUAUACCCCGCAUGCAGGUGCUGCUAGAAUGUUGCUAAUUAGAAAUGGAAAGUUCGCAAUUGGAAAGCUGAAAUCAUCUCUUUUGUCGUAAAGUUUUGUUUUCAACCGACCCUCAUUGUCAAUUUCUAAAUGUAAGUCAAGAUAUGAGGCCGACUUAACUGUAUAAGGAUGGGAUAGAUGCGUUCCACAUGAUAGUCACCAAAUUUUGAAUUAUUUAGUGAAAGAACAUCAUCUAUAUAGCGGAAAGUAGAGUUAAAGGAUAUCGCUAACUUCUUAUCUUUCUUUCUAAGAAGUUCCUGCAUGAAGUCAGCCUCAUAAUAAUAAAGAAACAAGUCAGCAAGUAGAGGGGCACAGUUUGUUCUCAUUGGAAAGCCGACAGUCUGUUGAAAAACACGUCCUUCGAACGUAACAAAUAUGUUGUCAUUCAAGAAAUCAAGCAUCUUGAUAAUAUCAGUUUCAGAGAAUUUUUUGUUUGAAUCAGAUUGAUCUUUUACAAAGUAGGAUUUAUCCCUCCCUAAGACAAGAUACUUGUAUCUACGUUGGCCAUUUCUUUUUUUUAUGAAGCAAAGCAAAUACCAACUCGUUCAAUUUUGUCUCUUAGUUUUGGAAUGUGGAAUACUUGUGUAAAGAGUAGAAAAGUCAAAUGUUUUAAUACUGUUACAAGAUGAAAGAGAGUUAGAUUGUAUGUACUUUAAAAGAUCUUUGGCAUUUUUAAGUAUCCACAUCUGAUUCACGCCCCCUCUAGAAUAGACAGUUUCACAAUAACUUUGAAGUCCGUCUUUGAUUACUGAUAAAAGAGAUGUUAAUAAUUUAGAAAGAGGAUUCGUUGAGCACUUGUAAUACCUAGCACUAUGAUAUACCGCUGUUUGUAAGGACACUUAUGUAGUUUAGGUAUCCAAUACAGUGAUGGAAGAUCCAGUUCUUAAUCUUUGGUUGAAAUUCCUAAGGAACACAUAACAGACCUAUGAUUAUCCCGGAUUUCCUCUUUGGUAAGUGCCGUGAGGGUAUAUAUAAAAAAGAAGAUGUAGUAUGAUUGCCAAUGAGACAGCUAUCCACAAAAGACCAAAAUGAAACAGACAUUAACAACUGUAGUCCACCGUACGGCCUUCAACAAUGAGCAAAACCCAUACCGCAUAGUCAGCUAUAAAAGGUCCCGACAAGACCAUAUAAAACAAUUCAAACGAGAAAACUAACGGCCUUUUUUAUGUAAAAAAAUGAACGAAAAACAAAUAUGUAACAAAUAAACAAACGACAACCACUGAAUUACAGGGUCCUGACUUGGGACAGGCACAUACAUAAAAAAUGUGGCGGAAUUAAAUAUGUUAAGUUUCCAAGUGAAUUGUCAAUACCUAAUUCGUUUAUCAAGCAGUUAAUGUAAUGAGUUUUACACACAAAAACGAUGUUGUUUGGGGCUUUAUCUGCAGGGACAACAACAUAUUUGUCAUGGAGGUAGGAUAGGUGUUUUGCAACAUUCGGGUCUUUAAAGAUUGACGUAGCAUGGGCAUUGAUAGACCCGUUCAGUUUUUUAAUUCUGAUUUAUAUCAACGACCUCACUGAAAGAGUGUCUACGUCUUCCUUCUCGCGUUUAUCCCAUUGCCUGGCAUAAUCGCAACUGAAUCAUCAAAAUUUUAAAGUUGUAUUUCCAAUUUAUGGAUUUAGGCUCACGAUAUUUCGGACCUUUCGAUAACACAUUUCGUAGAGAAGUGUUAUUAACAAUGUUGAGGUCACCGGUAAUAACGUGGCCAGCAGGAUUAAAUGUGAAAUGGGACCUAGCACAAGUGCAAUCAGGAGGUUUAGACUUGAAGUCGUCAAUAUCGAGAUCCUGCAAAACGUGUUUGUAAAUGAAAAUUUUAUUUGCAAUAGGUUUGGUAUAGGUAUAAGAAAUGAUUGGUACAGACUGGUCUUUGAAAUAAGGAGGUAUUUUCGAUUGAACUAAUUUAUGAUGAAGGAUGUUGCCUCAGUUGACGCCAUUGAGACCUUUGUUGGCAACGGAAAGAUUAAGGAAAGAUCUUCUCUCUUUUUGAAAAGUUUGUGACUUGCAAUAUCCGAAAUUUGAUAAUGGUUUGAAUGAGGGUUUGUAACUGUGGAUUCCAAACAUAAAUUGAACAGAGAAUGAAGUUUUGAAAGGGGUAAUGAAUAAAGGUUCGUGCGAAUGUGAUGAAUACCUAACGGCUUUUGUAUAAAUGGCAGCAAGUCCUUAGUAGAUACAUCAUGCAGAGAAGGUGAUGCAUGAUGACGAUGACCAUGACUGCGUCUACGUCGAGGAGUCGAGUUGAAAAUAUUCAUCACAUUCACUGAGUUACCGUGUCCAUGGUGACGUCUGUUUCGGACCUUUUUAUACUGGGCGACAUCCGAGCCAGUUUCCUGUUAGAUCUUCUUAAAUUCAUGCAAUUGUAGUUUUGCUACUGGGCGGAUGAUGUCCUCGAGGACAAGAUGUCCACCAGCAGAGACAUCGACCCAGUGGUUAUAAAAAUUGACGAAAGAUACCAAAAGGACAGUCAAAUCAAAAUCUAAAACAAACUGACAACGCCAUGGCUAAAAAUGAAAAAGACAAACAAACAACAGCACACAUGACACAACAUAGAAAACUAAAGAAUAAACAACACGAAAACAAAAGCUGUGAGGUUGUUGAUAAAAGUCCGAAUCAAGAAACUAAACGGGUCUAUCAAUACCCACGCUACGUCAAUUUCUAAAGACCCAAAUGUUGCAAAACACUUGUCCUACCUCUAUGACAAAUAUGUUGUUGUCCCCGCAGAUAAAGCCCCAAACAAUAUCGUUUUUUGUGUGUAAAUAUCAUUACACAAACUGCUUGAUAAACGAAUUAGGUAUUGACAAUUCACUUGGAAACUCAACAUAUCCCCUCACGACACUUACCAAAGAGUAAAUCCUGGAAAAUCAUAGGUCUGUUCUAUGUUCUUUUGGAGUUUCAACCAAAGAUGAAGAACUGGAUCUUCCAUCACUGUAUUGGAUACCUAAACUACAUAAGUGUCCUUACAAACAACGGUAUAUUACUGGGUCUUCCAAAUGCUCGAUGAAACCUCUUUCUAAAUUAUAACAUUUUCUUUUAUCAAAGCCGGGCUCCAAAGUUAUUGUGGAACUGCCCAAUCUAGAGGUGUCGUGAAUCAGAUGUAGAUACUUAAAAUUGCCAAAGAUCUUUCAGGUUACAUACAAUCUAAAAAAACACUCAUCUUGCAAUAUUAUUAAAAUAUUUGACUUUUCUGCACUUUACACAAGUAUUCAAAAUUCCAAUCUAAAAGACAAAUUGAAAGAGUUGGUAUUAAUUUGUUUCACUUAAAAGAAUUGCGAACGUAAAUACAAGUAUCUUGUUUUGGGUGGGAUAAAUCCUACUAUGUAUAGAAUCACUCGGAUUCAAACAAAAAAUUCUCUGAAUCAGACAUAAUCAAGAUGCUUGAUUUCGUGAUUAACAACAUAGUUGUUACGUUCGGAAGACGUGUUUUUCAACAGACUGUCAGAAUUCCAAUGGGAACCAAUGUGCCCUUCUUCUUGCCGACUUGUUUCUUUAUUAUUAUUAGGCUGACUUCAUACAGGAACUUCAUAUGAAAAAUGAUAAGAAGUGUUCUUUGACUGUACGUUCCGCUAUAUAGAUGAUGUUCUUUCGCUAAAUAAUACAAAAUUUGGUGACUAUAUGUUGAAAGAAUCUAUCCCAUGGAACUAGAGAUAAAGGAUACUACAGAUACAGUUUAGUACGCUUCAUCUCUUGACUUACAUCUAGAAAUUGACAACGAGGGUCGGUUGAAAACAAAACUGUCCGACAAAAGAGAUGAUUUCUGCUUCCCAAUUGUAAGCUUUCCGUUUUCAUGUAGCAAUAUUUCAGUAGCGCCUGCAUGCAGAGUUUUUUUUUACAGAGUAUACAGAGUAUAAUACAGUAUUGCUGCUCACAAGGAAGCUAUUACACCAAGAGUUUUAAUUGUAAAGUUGAAAUCAUCCCUUCGUAAAUUUUUCGGACACCAUCACGAGUUGGUUGACCGUUAUGGAAUAACCGUUUCACAGAUGAUAUCGGAUAUGUUCCGUAUGUCGUAACUACAAUUUCUUUCCCUUUUCUCGAAUGUGACCUACCGAAAUAGACUAUUUACCGGAUUUGUAAUAACAUAAUCAAAAAGACGGGUGCCACAUGUGGAGCAGGAUCUGCUUACCUUUCCGGAGCACCUGACAUCAUACAAGUUUUUGUUUGGUUCGUGUUGCUUAGUCUUUAGUUUUCUAUGUUUUGUCUUCUUUACUAUUGUUAUGAUAUUGUAAUUAUUGUAUUUAUUUAUGUUGGCCUGAUUUGUGUUGUGUGGCCUGAUAGUUUUCUACAGAAUAAUCUAGAACUGUUGCAGUUUAGAAUCACUGGAACAAUCACAGAAUGAUUGAACUUUCAUUUGACUUACACAUGAUUCCAGAAUGAUCCUAUUAAUAAAAGAUGCGUUAUAUAAACUUCUACAUUUAACUAGAAACUUCCGUUGUAACUUUCUAGGACGUUCCAUUCUAGAGUGUUCUAGAAUUUUCCGUGACAACUUUAUAUAUACAGACACUUUUUAAGUUAAACUCUCACACUUAGACUUAGACAUCGAUAGACAUUAUUAUUCAUAGUAUUUGGUUUGACACUUUUAUACUACAAACAACAUCAUACUGGAUUGUGACCGUAGUAGUGAAAGUAAUAUUCAGAUUGGAUUCCGAAGAUAUCCGAUACAGAUAAAAAUAAAAGAUUGGACUCAUAUUUUGACAGUUAGUUGACAUAAUAUUUGUGUGAUACUUCUUGUAAAUUGUAAAUGAAUAUUGUUAAAUUUUAUUAUUGAUUUGUGUCUUUUGUUGGCUACAAUUUAAAGGUAAUUUCUGGCCGUAACACUAUUAUUUGUCUGUUGUUUUUUUUUUAUUUUAGCCGUAGCGCUGUCAGUUUAUUUUCAAUGUAUGAGUAUGACUAUCCCUCUGGUAUCUUUCGCCCCUCUUUGAUGCUUAAAAUCUCCACUGCAGCAUAAUUAUAGUCCGUCAGAUAGCAUUCUUAAAACCGUAAUUCAUAAAACAGUCCUUGGAAACUAUUUUCCCGUUUGCUGCAAUCCAAGAAAGUCUGUAAUUAUCACUGUCAAGAAUUAAGUCUUUUUCUAUAUAUCUAAAUCGUCACAUAUUUGUGUCAGGGUAAUGUCUUAUUCUUCAUCGCACACAUAUAGCGAUCAUUUUAUUUUUUCUAUAUUAUGAUAUUUCUUAACUGUCGAUGAAUUUUAUUCAACUGUUAUUUGCGCCUUUGAAGAAGUCCGUUAUUUUUAGAAAGUGGGUGGCAUUUGAAUGGCCCAAAUCAAGGGAAUAUCUUUACAGACUCUUAUCAAAUUAUUUUCAAUGCAAAAAAAUUAAAAUAUAUAUAUGCAAAAUAUUUUUGUAAUAAUGACAGUUGCAAAAGGUUAAAAAUAUAUUUCAUAUUUUGGAUAGUUUUCCGAUGUUUCGUAAAUUAUACCAUAGUUUUUGUUGAAACCCCCGACAACCUCAUUCAACAUUCGGUCUCGUAAGGUUAAGGCCGGUGCUUUCAACAACAUCUAUUAAAUAUUUACGAAACACCCAAAAACUAUCCAAAAGAUAUGAAAUAUCUAUAUUUUACAAAAUAAUAGGUGUUAUGAAAAUAAGAAAGUGCACGUUUUAAAUGGUAUAGUCAUAAUAUGUACUAGAAAAGUUGAUAAAAAAUCAAUAUUUUUGAUAGUACAUCUAUUUUCAUAAAACUAUCUUCAUAUCAUGUUUAUGGAUUCGUGGGGACAGACUAUGGUGAAAAAAGCUUUAUUUUCUGCCAAAUUAUUUUACAUAUAACUCGAUAUGCCCACUGGUUGUACAUAUAUGUUAGAAGUGUUUUUUGUUCGCUUCCGUGUUAUUGUUGCAACAAAUUCCAAAUUAAUGUUUGAUUACUAUGCCAGAUUAAUUUUAUCGAUGUUACACCAUUUCUUUGUUCUUAAUUUCAAAUUGUGGUGUGAGCGUCGGGUUGCAAAGGUUCCACUUAGACAAGUUCCUUUGGUGAUAGUAUUGUUGUUGUUGUGCAUAAACUGAGUCUAUAAAAGAACAGACAGGAUAGGUACCCAAUAUCCUGUCUGUUCUUGUAUAGCAAAAGAUAACCGGACGAUCUACAAUGAUUAGAUAACACUAGUCAAUUAAUGAAAUCGUUACUGCAUCGUCAUAUAUUUCUUCGUCGUCAAAUUCGUCAGAUUCGUAACAGACGCUAGCUUUCAAAGGUGAGUUUCUAUCGGAUGAUCGAGGUUUNNNNNNNNNNNNNNNNNNNNNNNNNNNNNNNNNNNNNNNNNNNNNNNNNNNNNNNNNNNNNNNNNNNNNNNNNNNNNNNNNNNNNNNNNNNNNNNNNNNNNNNNNNNNNNNNNNNNNNNNNNNNNNNNNNNNNNNNNNNNNNNNNNNNNNNNNNNNNNNNNNNNNNNNNNNNNNNNNNNNNNNNNNNNNNNNNNNNNNNNNNNNNNNNNNNNNNNNNNNNNNNNNNNNNNNNNNNNNNNNNNNNNNNNNNNNNNNNNNNNNNNNNNNNNNNNNNNNNNNNNNNNNNNNNNNNNNNNNNNNNNNNNNNNNNNNNNNNNNNNNNNNNNNNNNNNNNNNNNNNNNNNNNNNNNNNNNNNNNNNNNNNNNNNNNNNNNNNNNNNNNNNNNNNNNNNNNNNNNNNNNNNNNNNNNNNNNNNNNNNNNNNNNNNNNNNNNNNNNNNNNNNNNNNNNNNNNNNNNNNNNNNNNNNNNNNNNNNNNNNNNNNNNNNNNNNNNNNNNNNNNNNNNNNNNNNNNNNNNNNNNNNNNNNNNNNNNNNNNNNNNNNNNNNNNNNNNNNNNNNNNNNNNNNNNNNNNNNNNNNNNNNNNNNNNNNNNNNNNNNNNNNNNNNNNNNNNNNNNNNNNNNNNNNNNNNNNNNNNNNNNNNNNNNNNNNNNNNNNNNNNNNNNNNNNNNNNNNNNNNNNNNNNNNNNNNNNNNNNNNNNNNNNNNNNNNNNNNNNNNNNNNNNNNNNNNNNNNNNNNNNNNNNNNNNNNNNNNNNNNNNNNNNNNNNNNNNNNNNNNNNNNNNNNNNNNNNNNNNNNNNNNNNNNNNNNNNNNNNNNNNNNNNNNNNNNNNNNNNNNNNNNNNNNNNNNNNNNNNNNNNNNNNNNNNNNNNNNNNNNNNNNNNNNNNNNNNNNNNNNNNNNNNNNNNNNNNNNNNNNNNNNNNNNNNNNNNNNNNNNNNNNNNNNNNNNNNNNNNNNNNNNNNNNNNNNNNNNNNNNNNNNNNNNNNNNNNNNNNNNNNNNNNNNNNNNNNNNNNNNNNNNNNNNNNNNNNNNNNNNNNNNNNNNNNNNNNNNNNNNNNNNNNNNNNNNNNNNNNNNNNNNNNNNNNNNNNNNNNNNNNNNNNNNNNNNNNNNNNNNNNNNNNNNNNNNNNNNNNNNNNNNNNNNNNNNNNNNNNNNNNNNNNNNNNNNNNNNNNNNNNNNNNNNNNNNNNNNNNNNNNNNNNNNNNNNNNNNNNNNNNNNNNNNNNNNNNNNNNNNNNNNNNNNNNNNNNNNNNNNNNNNNNNNNNNNNNNNNNNNNNNNNNNNNNNNNNNNNNNNNNNNNNNNNNNNNNNNNNNNNNNNNNNNNNNNNNNNNNNNNNNNNNNNNNNNNNNNNNNNNNNNNNNNNNNNNNNNNNNNNNNNNNNNNNNNNNNNNNNNNNNNNNNNNNNNNNNNNNNNNNNNNNNNNNNNNNNNNNNNNNNNNNNNNNNNNNNNNNNNNNNNNNNNNNNNNNNNNNNNNNNNNNNNNNNNNNNNNNNNNNNNNNNNNNNNNNNNNNNNNNNNNNNNNNNNNNNNNNNNNNNNNNNNNNNNNNNNNNNNNNNNNNNNNNNNNNNNNNNNNNNNNNNNNNNNNNNNNNNNNNNNNNNNNNNNNNNNNNNNNNNNNNNNNNNNNNNNNNNNNNNNNNNNNNNNNNNNNNNNNNNNNNNNNNNNNNNNNNNNNNNNNNNNNNNNNNNNNNNNNNNNNNNNNNNNNNNNNNNNNNNNNNNNNNNNNNNNNNNNNNNNNNNNNNNNNNNNNNNNNNNNNNNNNNNNNNNNNNNNNNNNNNNNNNNNNNNNNNNNNNNNNNNNNNNNNNNNNNNNNNNNNNNNNNNNNNNNNNNNNNNNNNNNNNNNNNNNNNNNNNNNNNNNNNNNNNNNNNNNNNNNNNNNNNNNNNNNNNNNNNNNNNNNNNNNNNNNNNNNNNNNNNNNNNNNNNNNNNNNNNNNNNNNNNNNNNNNNNNNNNNNNNNNNNNNNNNNNNNNNNNNNNNNNNNNNNNNNNNNNNNNNNNNNNNNNNNNNNNNNNNNNNNNNNNNNNNNNNNNNNNNNNNNNNNNNNNNNNNNNNNNNNNNNNNNNNNNNNNNNNNNNNNNNNNNNNNNNNNNNNNNNNNNNNNNNNNNNNNNNNNNNNNNNNNNNNNNNNNNNNNNNNNNNNNNNNNNNNNNNNNNNNNNNNNNNNNNNNNNNNNNNNNNNNNNNNNNNNNNNNNNNNNNNNNNNNNNNNNNNNNNNNNNNNNNNNNNNNNGACCUCCAAACUAAGCUUAUAUACCUGUAACAAAAUUUUAUUCAUCGUUUUUAUUUAUAUAAGAAUCAACUUUUUGUGGAUUGAAAAGGUAAACUAAAUGGUCUUUCCCUUUUGUUUUAAUUUCACUGUCAUCCUGUUUCUUUUUGUAGCGCCUGCGACUUUUGUCGCAAAAGCGAGACAUAACAAACCAUUCUGUCGUCAGUAGCGUCCACACAUAUUCACUAAGUGGUUAAAGUAGUUAUCAAAGGUACCAAGAUUAUAAAAUUGCCAAAUACGGCUAAGGUUAUCUAUGCCUAGAAUAAGAAAAUCCUUAAUUUUUCGAAAAAUUUAAAGUUUUGUAAACAGGAAAUUUAUAAAAAUGACCACAUUAUUGAUAUUCAUGUCAACACCAAAAUGUUGACUACUAGGCUGGUGAUACCCUCGGGGACGAAACGUCCACCAGCAGUGGCAUCGACCCAGUGGUUCAAAAGUACCAAGAUUAUAAUUUUGUACGCCAGACUCGCGUUUCGUUUACAUAAGACUCAUCAGUGACGCUCAUAUCGAAAUAUUUAUAAAGCCAAACAAGUACAAAGUUAGAGCAUUGAGGAUCCAAAAUUCCAAAUAGUUGUGCCAAAUACGGCUAAGGUAAUCUAUGCCAGGAAUAAGGAAAUCCUUAGUUUUUCGAAAAAUUUAAAGAUCUUUAAAUUCUAAUAAUUUUCUUAAAUUAUCCUGGAUUUCUACCAAACUUGAACAGAAGCUUGUUAAUGAUCAUAAGAUAAUUUGCAAGACAAGACAAGAAGUAAAUCUCGUAAAAAUAAAAUCUAGUUUUUCCGUAUUUUACUUAUAAAUGGACUUAAUUUAAAAUUGAUAAAGGAAAUGGGGAAUGUGUCAAAGCGACAACAUUGCCAGUAAACAAAACAUUCACACUGUGGUUAAGUUUUUAAAAUUUUAAUAACUUUCUCCAAAUAUCCUGGAUUUCUACCAAACUUGGACAAAAGCUUGUUUAUGAUCAUAAGAUAAUCUCCAGAAGUAAAGUUUGUAAAAAUAAAUCCUUUUUCGUAUAUUCCUUAUAAAUGGACUUUUUUCCAGUUUACUCUACAUACACCAUGUACACUCUGCGGUUAUUUUUUUUUUUACCUUUAUUGGUUUAUUAACCAAAUUUGGACAGAAGCUUCUUACAGUACUAGUCAAAAGAUAGUAUCUGGAGGAAAAUUUUAAUAUUUUUCCCCAUAUUUGUUGAGCCUGCGACUAACAGCAAAAGUAGGCGAGAUACUGGGUUCCGCGAAACCCUUACAAUUUAAAAUCUGAAUACAUCGGUAACCUAUCUCCAGCAAGGGGUUGAAUUGAAGCCGAAUUGAAGGUCACAUAAAUACGUAUUCAAUGAGGUCCAAUUAUUCACUCACAAGUGCACAACUCAUCAAACAGGUUUCUCAACUUAUUUUAGUAAAAAAAAUCAUAUUUAUUUUUUUGUAUAUCUUGUAGCUAAUGCUCCUAUAAUAAAAAGGUGCAAUUUAGGCUGAUCACUUUUUGAGAGUACUCACUGAUCUUCUAUAGUUGGUACUACCAUAACUUUUGAUCAGCUGACCAUAUUACAACAUUGUUUAAACAGUUAGUAAAUAGGUGUAAAAAUUCAUUUUAAAAUGAGUAAUUACUGGUAAUAACUGGGCAAUUUCAGGAAUAACUUGUAUUUACUAAAUGCACCAGGGAUUACGUGUAAUUCAUAAAUUUUAGUAACUACAUGUAAUUCCUAUUUUCACCUAUUUACUGUAACAUAUAUAAUGUAUACUAAAGAUAUAUUAAACCCAAUGUCAUUCUGGCCAACAUAAGCUUAUUUUUAAAAUAUUUUACUGCUACUUUUAAACUAAUGUUAUGACAUAAAUCAUAUCAUAUCAAUUAAUAAUGUUUCAUGUAUCAAGUUGUAAAAGUUUAAACCGAUGAAAAGUAUCAAAAUAUCAAUGUUAUUUGUACAAGGCUUAGAAACAGGUAGAAAGCGAGGCUGUGCCGAGCAUUUCUAGCUGUUUCGAGCCGAGUACAAAUAACAUUGAUAUAUCGAGACAAUGUAUGGUUAUUCUUUAUAUACUGCAACUCUUAUAACUGUUCUAAAUGAAGUAUCUAGGGUAAAAACCAUCAUUUCUUAAUUUUGAGCGGAAGAGGUAAAAUUUCCGCGAACCUGUAUGUUUUAUCGACGUCAUAAAUAAAACCCUACGGAAACACAUUGUCAACGUCAUAAACAAGCUAGGUUAUAUACGGUCAGUGACUGUAUAUCACAUAUGAAUAUACGGUCAAUGCAAUUUGACUGCUCAAAUAGCACAGCUGCAGUAUAUAUUGUAAUGCCGACAUUCCCCCUUUUUCAUAGUAAACCUAUGUAUGUCUGAAUAUUUUCUUGAAGUUAUGGAGGAUACAAGAUAGAUGUUAGUGAGAUGUUUUGUGUUGCAAGUCAUUAAGACUUGUAAUUUGUUAUUUUGGCUGUUGUUUUCAUGAUACGGCAUAUUUGUGUAUAUAUGUUAGUUUGUUAAGUUUGUUUAUUUCACGUACAGAUUCCGUGUUUUCGCGAUAGUUACCUUAUUAUACUAUAAACUCAAAUAAAACUGUUCUAUAGAUCUUUUAAUACAUAUAAAGUCAAAUCCAUCUUUAUUGAUGAAGAUCAAUUCAUGUUUACAAACAAUAUCAACAUUACGGGAAUUUCCCUUGUGUGAUCCAUGGUUUCCGAUUGGUAAACAAUAUGUAACAAGCUCUUCCAUUGGUCAGUCGAAAGUAUAAAUACAAAAGCAAUAACAGAAACGAUGGAGUGUUGGGUUAAUAAUGAAUGGGAAGUGACAAACUUAAAUAGAAGCUGGAAUAUGUCUGAGAAAUACAGACAAGCGUUGAAAGUUAACUUUGUUUUAAUUAAAGAUUGUCGGUGCCGGUGACGGUGCUAAAUAUAGGUGACGGUGACGGUGCUAAAUGCGGUUACCGGUGACGGUGACAGUGCCAGUGACAGUGCUAUUGAAGGUGCACAUUAAGAGUUCUGUUGGCGGUUUUGACAUGAUUAAUAUGUCAUUUAAUGUGUUAUACUAUUAAAGUUGUUGUCUUCUUAGUUCUAUAAUGUAGAAGAGCGUUUUUAUCCUUUAAUUGAGAUUAUAGAAAGAUACAAAAUAAGUGACAACCUUGUUACUUGACUGUUGAAUUAAACAUGCACUAGUUGUGUGUGUCUAUGCAAGACCAACCUUAACCGGGGACCUGACCAGACCAGAGACGGAUCCUGCAAGACCCAUUUCUUCCGUCGUGGAUAUUUUUUGAUAUUAAUUAAAUAUGAAACUUUAUUUUAUUCAGAUAUUUUAUUUCAUAACUGAGAAUUAUAUAUAAAUACAAGUAUACGUUUUCCUUUUCUGUAACUUGUUUUGGUCCGAGAGUUAUUAGUGGACGUCGAACCUUACACUUUAUAGAUCCUUUAAAUCCCUUUUUCUUUGUGACUCUGUGUUUUCUGAUGACCGACUCUAGCACCAAGGAGGCGGCGUUACAAUAUAUAGAAUAACCAUACAUUGUCUCGAAAUAUCAAUGUUAUUUGUACAAGGCUUAGAAACAGGUAGAAAGCGAGCAACAAUUCCUUUAAUGUCGGAAACUCCUGUUUUUGAGGUUUUCGUUAGUUUUUAUUUUAUUUCAACAAUUGAUUUUUUUAUUUUUAUCUCUAUUAACUGGGCCUGUUUGUUUUUAUGUGAGACGAGGGAAAGUUCAUAAGGAGUUUUCUGUUCCUCAAUUGAGCCAAAUGUUUUGAUAUCAUUGGCAAUGUUGCUUAUUUUACCAUCAAUUUUGAAGUGUAAAAUAAUUUUAUCAACAUAGUGGUUUCCAAUGACCAACUGCAGGUACGACUCAAUACUUAUUGCCUCUGUAGAGAUCUUCCGUAAUCCAAGGUAAAUUUGAAGGUUGGUCGCAUACUUGUCCAUAUCUUUUAGCUGUUGUUCAGCUUCAUGUGUAUAAUUAAUCCUACCUUCUCGGAUCUUUAAUGUUUGUUUAACACCAUCAUUUGAUUUAUUUGUUAUCUCGAAGAUUUCAUUUCUGAUCUCUUUUUCCAGUUUAUCAAAGUGGUCAUUACUUUGUGUUCUUGUUUCACUGAUCUUGGCGAGUAUUGUCUUUUCUUGCUGUUUUAUAUUUCCUUCUUUUUUCUUAAGCUCAUUUUGUAGAUUUUGUAUGUUUUCAAUUAUAUCUUUCAAACCUUGAUUUGUUUCUUGGAAAAGUGACGACUUUAUUACGUUUUCUGUAACCUUACCUUGGGGUACUAUACCUUUGCAUUAAUCAUGAUUCCCAAUACAUUUCAGGCAGAGAAGUUCAUCGUGAGCUUGGCAAACCAUUUGGUAUUGUUCAUUAUGUUCAACGCAAACCAUUCUUGUUUGUGAAAUAGACGGUGACAUUGCCGAGAAGUCCUGAAUUGAUACAGUCACGUGAUGUUAAGACAACUUUUUCAGCUGGACCAAAUCACUACUUUACAUUAAAAUUCAUGACCCCAUUUUUAUACAGCGUUAUUUUACCCCCUACUUGCUAUGUGAGGCAUUAAACAUAGAGAAAUAAAUUUGGAAGUGAUAUAAAAAAAUAUUGGCAAGUAACACACCAUCCACACUAGGGACUAUAUUCUUUGACAACGAAAAUCAAGGGACGACAAUUGUGGUCUCGGACCAAUUGGUUGACCGUUCUGUCAAUCAAUCUGGUGAUGGUUACAAACAAACAAACAAACAAACAAACAAAUAUUUUAUUUGCAAAUCAUGGCGCCCAAUAUGAACGGAAUAAUUACAGUUUAAAUUUUCAAACAUAAUGUUAAGUAAAUUAGAAAUAGGUUAAACAAAGUAAAUACAUUCAUUGCCUUUGAUGGUGACCCAUCUAUUGGUAAGUGGAUAACCAGGUUUCAGUGUAUAUCACAUGAUUUUAACAUUAAAAAUGAGGUAAGCAAUUCAGCUUUCGAACUUCAAAUGUGUUUUAGACAAUGAAGUAAUGCAUGAAAUUUAUGUGCAUAUAUUUGAUUUAACAAAACAUGCAUAUUUAAAAAAAAAAAGGAAUUAAAAAGAGAAUUACCUAGUGUUGCGUUUCUUAAGUCAGUUUUUAAUUAAGAAAUACUAGAUGCAAUCUAUUCUUUAUUGUAGUGUUAACAUGGGUAGGCAUUAUAUUCGUGAUUAUUUUUGCCCGAGCGAUAGCGAGUACUAGAAUACCAUGAAUAUAAUGCCUACCCAUGUUAAAUCUACAAUAAAAUAUAGCUUGCAUCAAUUAUUUGGAUUUUGAUGAGGAUCAAUUACGGUUAUUUCUAUGUCCGAUGUGUAUAAGUGUAGAGUGUUUGUUAAUGCUCUUCUAUGAACCUCCAUAAUUUUUUUCAGAGGGUUGGAUUUUGAAAAACCAACAUGACCGUUGUCGUUUCUAUGUCAAAUAGGUCAGUUGCGAAUUGUAGCACAUUGUUGUCAUUGCAUUAACAAGAUGUACAUCAUUUGACAGUUUGAAAAUUUUUAAGUUAAUAAUACCAAUUUGAUAAAAUUCAUUUUUCUGCAGUAGUCAAAAUACGCAUGUGCAAACAAAUUUUAUUGGAUUUUGAACUUGGGUUUUUUUUACAAAGCAAAAGAAACACGUCAUAUUAGUAUAUAUGACAAUGGUCAGAGUUAUUCAAAAAUUUAUAUGUUUUCAUUUUAUGUAUUUUGCACAUGAAAAAUCAAAUACGGAUGUCUCCCAGCUGAGACGAUAUUUCAGACCUUUUCUUACUUAUCAUAAUAUCAUAUCUUUCAUAUAGAGAGUUGAUGUCAACAAUUAAUCUAUCAAGUGAAGGAUUCUAAGAAGGUAGUUUGAAGUCCUUUGUUUUCAAGUUGGUGGGUGUAUUAACAUUUAGUUGACUGCUAUAAAAUAUCUGUGAUACAGAUGCAAAUUUCCGAAACCAAAGCUAUGUCCUCUUUUUUGUCGAUUGAUACCGAAAGACACAUCACGGAAAUUAUACUGACCAAGAGUAACAUGACAGGUGACAUGUGUUGAGCAAAGAUCGUGCAUACCUGAGGUCUCAUUCAAGAUUUUUGGUCUUUAAUUUGCUAUCAGUGUUUUGGGUUGUGGUUCAGUCUUUUCUACAAUGUUGUCAGAUUUGUUUUGAUUUAUGAGUUUAAAAUGUAAACUUGGCAUCGUUCUCCUAUUGUUUAGUUACAGUCUAGUUGAGGUUCUAUAUCUAUUGAUUUGUAUUUUUAUAAAUAAUUGCUAGAAACUAAAUAAAUAGACAAAAUCAUCAUUCAAAGAAAAGAUCUCCUUUAAUGAGUCGAUUGAUAAUUGGUUGUAGAUCUGAUCUUAUUGAUAAUUUUUAUUUUUUAUUUAAUCUAAUAUAUAUUCAAGAUAAUAGACAUAAUUACAAGACAUCGGUAAGCACACUGAAGAACAAUAACACAUAUAAGGAAUGAAUUGAAAAUUUAAGAAAUCUAACUUAUUAGAACAAUUUAUCUUGUUGGUAAUCUUUUUGUGUGAACAGUUUCUUUUUAUCUUUUAUACAUAUGUUUUUCCAAUUCGAAGUCAAAUCGCAAGAAUUUAGCAAAAAUUGAAAAUCGAGGAGACUUACUCCCUCUAAAAGUCGAUUAACAAUUUACUUAUGCUGUUUGUUCGUGUGUUUCUCAGACUGUUCAUGUGAUUCUUAGACUACAUUUCAGUAACUGUGAGUAGAUUUAUAUCGGUGAUUAUGUCUAUUGUUUUUUAGUAGUCGGUAUACUUGUGCUUUGAACCUAUUUAUUGAUCAAAACUUUCAGUACCUGAACUUACAAAUAGUUCUUAUAUAUUAAUACCGCUGUAAUACCACUGUCCCAAGUUAUAGAGAGUUGAGCAGAUACUAUCAUGUUUUAAACCUCCAUAUUCUGCAUGUGCCUCUCCCAAGUUAGAAACCUCUAAUUCAGUGCUUGUCAGUAGUUUAUGUUUGUAAUAGUUGUUCUUCGUAAAUUUUAUCAUCUACAUUUGGUCGCUUUUUCUCGUUUUAAUUGUUUCACGUUUUUCUUACAACUCAAUCUAAGACUCUAUCAUUUUGCAUAGUAUUAAAACAUUUGACCUUACUACACUCUACACAAUGAUUCCCCAUUUCAAACUAAAAGACACAUCGAAAGAGUUGGUAUUGCUUUGUUUCAUAAUAAAGAAUACAAGUAUCUUGUCUUAGGGAGGGAUAAAUGCUGCUCUGUAAAAACUCCCCUUAAUUCAUACAAAAAAAAUCUUAGAAACUGACAUUAUCAAGUUGCUUAAUUUAUUAAUUGACAACAUAUUUGUUACGUUUGGAGAACGUUUUCAACAGACUGUCGGCAUUCCAAUGGAAACCAAUUGUGCCCCUCUUCUUGCCGAAUUUUUCCUUUAUUAUUAUGAUGCUUAUUUCGUAUCAUGAUUUCCUUGAUAGAGGGUUGAUGCUCACGAGAAAGCUAGUAAGCCAAGAGUUCUAAUUGGUGAAAUUGAAAUCAUCUCUUCGGAUGUUUUACGAACGCCAGCACGAAUUGGUUGACCAUUAUCACGGCUGGUAAUCUACACACGCAGAACAUUUGGUUCUGCAAUGAAAACCGUGAGAGGAUUUUCCGGUUGUGCUUGAGUGGAGUAAUUGUCACCGCUUCAAAAGGUAUGUACAUUUCUAAAUCUCAAUUUUCUUAUUCAACUGAUCAAACUAUUGAAAAUCAAAGAAUGCUAUGCUGUGGCGACUACUUUAAAGAAGAAAUACAUGUAUCAUUUACUGUUGUACGUAGAGUUGAACUCUUAUAAAAUCAGUUGCCCCACGAGAAAUCGCCAAAAAAGUGACAUUUCAAUUUUAAAAUGGUUCUAUUUACAGACUUACAAGUUCAAAUUUAGUUUUUUUUAGGGCAAUGUGUAUGAAUGUUGUUUUUGGCGGCGUGUACGCUGUCCGGUGUUGAUAGACGUCUUAAUAAUUCCAAAAACUACAUUUUUUCAUUAAGUCAUGCGUGAGGGGAUCGGUUCUGAUUGAGGACAUCGUGAAUGCGUGAGGGGAAGUACAGAAAUUUUUUUUAAAUCUUUGGCUUUGUGACUUUUGUUGACUCAAUAAAUGUGAUCAAUGCUGAUUAAAAAUCAUCACAGAUUUGUCCUUAUACUUUAAGAGAUGUAAACUGAUCACUGAUUCAAUGAAAUCAAACUAUUUAACUUGUUUACUCAAAUUCAGAAAAUGCCAUUAUUCAAAGGUAAAAGGAAAAAGAGGACUAAAAUUGACUCUCUACAAAAAGCCAUGAAGAUAAAAGUUAUCCCCGCCCUCGAAGCGAACUAAACCCUGUGGGAGUAGUCCUGUCGUCAAAUAUACAUUGUACGUCACAGAGAUCACCACAUAUAUUAAAGAAAAGUAUAUCGCCGAUCAAAACUUCAACACCUAUAUAUAUUAGACGUAAUCUGUUCACCCAAAAUCACGAAAUUUUCGAAACAAAAAGGGCAGAUAUACAGAAUUUAUUAUUCACGAACAUCGAUGUAAGCCAAGAUAAUCUCGAGGAAGACCAUAAGGAAGAGCAUGUAUUAGACAACGAAGAAGACAUAGAAGAAGUCACAGAAGAAGACCACGUAGUAGACCACGAGAAAGACCACAUGGAAGACAUUGAGGAAGAACAUAAAGUUUUUCAAAGUGCUUUAGAUAAACUCUCAGACGAAGGGAAAAGGGAAAGAUUUUUGAUUUUUUUUCAUUAGUGGACGUUUUCCUUUAAACAACAUUGCAUUCGACCUGUUUUUGGACAUUGUUGAGUGGUUUGAAAAGGACGAAUCAAGACGAAUGAGAUACUCCCCAACAUCUCUGCAGAAUUUUUGGUUAUCGUUGACAACAUUUUUUGUUUUUAUUCUUCGUGAAACAUAUUAUUAAACCAUACGUUCCAACAAUUUAUUUCAAUAUCAAUCUCAGUGAUUUUUUUAGCACACAUUAUGUGUUUUUUUCAUGAACAAUGUAGCCUUAUUUAGGUAAGUUUCAACGACUCAUAGCUCGAAUAUAAAGAUAUGAUUUGUACUUCCCCUCACGCAUUCACGAUGUCCUCAAUCAGAACCGAUCCCCUCACGCAUGACUUAAUGAAAAAAUGUAGUUUUUGGAAUAAUUAAGACGUCUGACAAUCCCGGACAGCGUACACGCCGCCAAAAACAACAUUCAUACCCAUUGCCUAAAAAAAAACUAAAUUUGAACUUGUAGGUCUGUAAAUAGAACCAUUUCAAAUUGAAAUGUCACUUUUUAGGCAAUUUCUCGUGAGGCAACUGUUUUUGUAGAGUUCAACCUACGUACAACAGUAAAUGAUAUAUGUAUUUCUUCGUUAAAGUAUUCACCACAGCAUAGCAUUCUCUGAUUUUCAAUAUUUUGAUCAGUUGAAUAAGAAAAUUGAUAUUUAGAAAUGUACAUACCUUUUGAGGGUGACAAUUACUCCACUCAAGCACAACCGGAAAAUCCUCUCACGGUUUCAUUGCAGAACCAAUGUUCUGCGUGUGUAGAUUACCAGCCGUGAUUAUUGAAUAACCGUUUCACAGAUGAUAUCUUAUAUGUUCCUUAUAUCGUAACUACAAUCCCCGUCCCUUUUCACGCAUGUGACCUACCAUAUUAUACUAUUUACCGGAUUUAUUUGUUAUAAGAUCAUCAAUACGACGGUUACCAUAUGUGGAGCAGGAUCUGAUUACCCUUCUGGAGGACCUGAGAUCAUCCCGAGUUUUUGGUGGGGUUAGUGUUACUUAGUCUUUAGUUUUUAUGUUGUCUCAUGCAGUGUACUAUCAUUUGUAUGUUGUCUGAUUCUUUUUUAGCCAUGGCUUCGUCAGUUUAUUUACGGACUAUAAGUUUGAUAUCUGUCUCUGGUAUCUGUCGCCCAUCUUUCAUGUGAGGGCCUUUUAUAGCUAUACGGUAUUGUAUUUUUUGGUUAUUGAAUUCCGUGUGGUUGCUAUUGUUCUUAUCAUUAUUACUUGAACAGUGAGGAAUAUUUUUUUCAUUGUACCUGUUUUCCGUUACCUUCUUGUACAAUAACUAAGAAACAAUUAAAUGAGAAAACUUGGAAAUAAAGUAAGGCCAAGGACAUGUCAUACAUAGCGAUGAACUGACGAAACACCUCUCGCAAGACCUGAAUAUGUAUUAAUCUACCGUUAAAUAUUCCGACUUUUCACAACUAUCGACAAGACACUGGUACAUGUUUUUAUUUUAUUUUGAUAGCUUCAAGGAGAAAACAUUACUGACAAGCAACAUAACUGCACAUAGUAGCAAGAGCGUAUCCUUCUUUAUUGAAUUUGUAAGUCGCAACUUAAAUGUUUUAAUCUACCACUUCAUAUUCAAACACAGUUUGUUUUCCAUUUGCAACAAAAAGACGAUUGCGAUGUCUAUCGAAAUGUAAAGCACAAGGGAAUUGCAAUCCAUCGUCCUGAGACAAAAUUUGUUUGUUAUUUUUUCCAUCCGAGGACAGCACCAUUACACUGUUUGAUGAUGAACAUGCUACAUACACAUUCCCGCUUUUGUCUAAUGAUAUCCCGUGUGGGUACUUUAAUAUGUCAACAUUUUUAAAUGUCCAAAUAGAUUUGCCGUCCAUGUCACAACAAACAACAGUUUUAUAAAAAUCGUUGGUGUAAUACAUUUUAUUAUCAAAGAUUUCAAUAUAUGACCAUGAGGGUAAGUCUGCCUGGACGAUACAGGUACUACUUCCGUUCGAAGGGUUUAAUUUGAAAAUACCCUUUUGGGGCGCACACACAAACAAAGACCCAUUGUAAUGUGUUAUUCCAUAGCAUUGGUAGUUUGUUGAAAUGUACUUUGUUAUAACCUCUGUGUCAAUAUCUAUAAUAUUGAUACCUUUCCUGGUAUGUUCACAUGACGUAACAGCUACAGUCUUAUCAUCUAUAUAAGUUACAUCAAAUGCGUUAGCAGGAUUUAUUGAGAUUUUACAAAGUUUUUUCCAAUCGAUACUAAAGAUAACAACAUCCCAGCAUUUGGGAUCCAUGUCACUUAAUGCAAUGUUUCCACUCGGUAAGACAACAACACCUUUUAUGUCUGAAACCCCUGUAGUUGUGGUUUUUACUAGCCUGAUUUUUAAAUCAGUGAUUGGUUUAAUCUUUGUUGCUACCAGCUGAGCUUGUUUACUUUUGUGUGUGACAAGUGAAAGUUCACAAGGAGUUUUUUGUUCUUUAACUGAUCCAAAUAUUUGAAUAUCAUCGCUAAUGGUGCAUAUUUUGUCAUCCAAUUUAAAUGGAAAAGUGAUUUUAUCCAAGCUGUGGUCUCCAAUGAUCGAAUGUAGGUAAGAACCAGUAAUAGCAGCUUCCUUCUGAAUCUUUCUCAAUCCAAGGUACGUUUGAAGGUUGGUCGCGUACCUUUCCAUGUUUUGUAACUGUUGAUUAGCAUUAUUAGAAUCAGUAUUUCUGCUUUCUAGCAUCUGGAGUGUUUGUUUAACACAAUCAUUUGAUUUACGUGUUAUCUCAAAUAUUUCAUUUCUGAUCUUCUCUUCCAAUUUAUCAAAGUGAUGAUUAAUCUUGUUCCUUGUAUCGGUAAUCUGGGACAACAUAGUAUCUUCUUGCUGCUUUAUACUUCCUUGUUGUUUCUUUAGUUCACUCUGUAUAGUUUUUAUGUUAGCAUUUAUAUCUUUUAAACUUUGUAGCGUUUCUCGAAAUAGUGACGACUUUUUAACGUUUUCUAUAACGUUAUUUAGAGGUACAAUGCCUUUGCAUCCAUCGUGUUUUUCAAUGCAGUUGAGACAGACAAGUUCAUCGUGAGCUUGGCAAAGCAUUUGGUAUUGUUCGUUAUGUUCCAUGCACAUAUUACUGAUUUGCGAACUAGAUGAAGACAUUGACAAAUGAUUCAGCAUCGAAACAGUCACGUGAUGUUUAGAUAACUUUGAAACUCCGUGGUAAACGUUACAAUCGUCACAAAAUGCUUGUUCACAUUCGGGGCACCAAACGGUGGACGGUUUUGCAACAUGUAGUUUGUCACAGAUGUCACAGAGGUGCUGGGUAGCUGCCAUCUCAUAUAUUCUACAAAAAAUAUUUUAGAAAUCGUCAUGUUAUUACACUAAGUACACUGAAUGUUGGAUGUGUACUGAUCGAUAUUUAAGACUUAGACACAUGAUGGUUUUACUAGUCAAAAUAAAUAUAUUUAUAUAAUAGUUCUUAAAAAACUGGUCAUUAUCGUGAUAUAUGGACUGCCCACAGACAGUGGAUUGAUCAGAUAGUGAUAAUGACUGAGCAAAGCGAGGUCAUUAUCGCUGUCUCAGUCAAUACCACUGUCUAUGCCAGUCCAUGUAUCACGAUAAAUGACCAGUUUUUCAGAACUAUUAGUUUAUUUCAUUGGAAACCAUGUUUUGGGAAAAUCUCGUAAAUUAAAAUGCCUAAAGCGAACUCGGGUAAGUUGUACGAUUUCUGACAAAGAUGAAGACCAGUCGUAGUAAUACUGCCAUUCAUUUUAGUGCAUGUUUUUAGUAUAUAAAUACUUAAUCAAGUUAUCUUUAAUUUUAUAUUUAACGAAAACAUAUAAUAAACAAUUCACAACUAAAUACAAUAUUAAAAUCAGACACAUUUUCAUAAAGGUAUAAAACGAGAAGCUAGCCCCAGCGGUCAUUAUCAGACGGGAACCACGCACCAACGUCAUUAUCAGACGGAAACACGCCACCGGUAUAUCAUGUAAAGUUUUAACGAUCGUUUUCUGGUCCGUUUUUCUGUAAUGACCGAUGAAUUAUUACUGAAGAAUAAUGAAUGCCAUGUGACCCCUUUUUAUCCAAUACGAGAAUAUUAUUCUCAACCGAUAUGAAAUAAGCGUAGUUCAUGAUGAGAUUAAGGAUAUUGAACCCUUGUGUUGAUUCAAUGCUAAACAUAUGGGAAUUUUAAAGAAAAUCCACAGCAUUUCCCUUUGUACUCUCAUAUUUGGAAAUGCAAUGCUUGAUAGAUAGGAAAUUAGUUUAUGCAGUGCUAGCAACCAUUUCCUUUAAACAAGUUUUUAAAUUUAGAUAUUGGUGAAAACAAAUGAAAAUUUUGAUCAAUUUAAUUACACCUUCUAGUGUGCGCUCGACUUUCGUGACUCAACACGAGGGUUUUUAGAAAUGUAAAGGUUGUUUGGGACUUUUUACUAACCGGAUAAACGCUAGCACAUCAUUGCAAAAUAAGUGAGUAAUAUAUGUUUUCAGCAUUAAAGUCUAUAUAUUUUCUACAAAAAUCUUGGUUUUAUCAAAGACAUAUAUACACAUAUGUAUAUAUGUCUCUGGUUUUAUUUACCAAAAAGUCUUCUUUUUCUAUUAAAUGCAAUGCAACAAUAAAUAAUAAUGUUUUCAAGAAUUUUUGUGGAAGUUUCCCCUUGGUAUAUGUACAAAAAGGCCCAUUUCAAUUAUAGUGGAAGAUAUUAGCAAGCAAAAUCGAGUGAAUUGUGCAAAUGAUGAUACAAGCAUGAAAAUUACCACAAAGCAUCAUAAUUAUAUACUUUUUAAGAAAUAACUGCUGGCCAUUAAAAAAAAAAUUUUUUUCAAGAUGGCCACGGCCAUUUUCUAAAAUGGCUGUUUUCUUCAGUUUGAACAUACUAAUUUUUCUUGAAAACUUUUCAUUGAACUUCUAUUAGUAAAAAACAAUUAUCAGGUUUGGCGGCUACCUUCCUUACAUCACAUAUUUAUUAAGAUGAAUAUCCAGUAUUUGCGCAUGCGCGAAAAUGUUACAAAAUUCUUUCAAAAACAUUUGAACUAUUUACUAUUUAUGUAGUGUUUUUGGAUAUCUAAUGAUAUUAUGAAUUGGUUUCAUAACAUUUUUCAAGGUUAUCAUACACAAGUGUUUAACACUUUUGCGCAUCUGCAAACUAUUUAUAGACACCCAGAGCGAUUCGUAUGCACUACCAGGCAAUUCUAAGGUAUUCGAUGGAUAAGGCGAAAAUGUGGUGAAUCCCGGAGAAACAUCAAUUGUAACUGCAUAUCAGCCACUUUUGGAAAUGCCUAAGAAAAUUCACUGGGAAUGGCCUGAUUUUUACGGAAAAGAUAAGUUGAUCGUCAUGUUUGGUGGAUUGUACAUUAAAAUGACUUGUUAUAAAACUCUGGGUGAUAUAUUGCGUGAUAGGGGAUUGAAAAUUUGUCCUACUGAAGCCAAUAUUGUAACACCAAGAACGGCAGAUUCUUUUCAUGUAUGUUUAAAUGUAUCUAGGACUAGACAGGUGCAUCAGACAACUGCAUGUGAACUGUUAAUUUCGGAUUAUGAAAGCUAAACUCAGAAAGUAUAAUUAUGUCAUGACUCUGUGACGUUCUAUGAUUUAAAAGACUGGUGUAUAGAGUCAUCUUGACCACAGUUUCAUUCCUGGCGUUCAAUUAUAAAUUAAGAACUUCUUCUGAAUUUGGUAUUAUGCUCAUUUCAUGAAUGAGAUUUCGUACUUUACAAACAGUCCAUAUAGAUCAUGAUAGCGUAUUGUUUUAGGUCUUGGUCGUGUAAAUUAUGCUCGAUCGUAACAGACCCAUCCCCAAGAUAUGACUUCACCCACAGGUGGCUAUGGAAUUUGAAAAUGAUAAUUUCACUGUACGAAAGACCAGCAAAUUUCUUUCUUAUAACACAAUUGAUCAGGCACAAAAACAGAAUAAUGCCAUUGUGAAGGGCGAUGUUGGUGCCAUAGGAUUAACCGAAGAUCAAAUUUAGACAAAUGGAUGGUAGCUGGACCAGGAGUCAGUAUACUAGAAGAUGAAUUUGAAAGAUCUUGUGGUUUGUGUCAUUCUAUAACAGAUGAACGACCUAAUGAAGACUCUACGAAAACACAAAAAGAUGUCUUUAAACAGCUUUAAAGACUUUGUAAAGUGAUGAACGAGUUUGGAAAUUCAUUUCUAGAUUCGUGAGAUUUGUAAAAAAGUACUCCAUUUAGGAAAUGGUAGAACAGGUAAGAUAUGUAAACAAUUCCAAGAUAUUUGUCCAAACAAUACGAAGAUCUUUUGAAGCAAAUGCAAAAUGAAGGAGAACCUGCUUUUUAUAACCAAAUAAAAAAUAACAACUUCUUAUUUUGGCCGCAAAAUGAAACUGGAAACGUCUUUGUCAAAAACAAAGCUAGAGAACCUUAAAAGUGAUUGCGAUAUCUUUUCUAGACUUUGCAUUUCUUGUUACAGUAGACAGUUUUACUUCAAAUAUUUCUUUAUCCUUAAGAACCAAACUUCUCGUCUGUCUUUAUCUCAGGAUGUUUCUUGAAAUAGUGGUAUAAAAUCGCUGCAAAUGGGUUUAUUUGAAACAUUCUACGAUGAUCCAAAUUCGGACGCAUUUAUCGUCGGUGGGGUGGGUAGCAAUGGUUAAUUCAAGGUCGCAAAGUUGGGAAAAAAUAUUUGAUGAUUAUGCAAAUAAUGUCAUACUGCCUGACAAAAAAUCAUGCAUCGAUUAGUAUUCAAGAGUAGACAUUGUAUUUGAUGUUUACUAAAUAAAUAAUUUAAAGGCUGUGGCAAGACAAAGGCAAGGUUUUUGUGCCAGAUAGAAAGGUGUUGGCAGAACAUCAAGGAUUUGGAGUAGUUUUCUCUGUGAAGAUGACAACGAGACGAAAUUGUUCAAGUUUCUUGCUGACAAAAUUGCUUCUUAAGAGACUAAUGAAAAUGUGUAUGUUACACAUGGUGAAAAGAAUCUUUGUAAUUUCAAUAAGGAUACUUCCUAUCGACCCCUUGUAAUCAUGAAUAAGCAGAUACACGAAUGAUUGUCCAUGUUCGGCAUGAUUAUGAAAAGUGUUGUAAAAUGUAAUAUUAGGUAGUACUGACACAGAUGUAAUAGUAUCAAGAAUUACAGCAAUCGCAAAACUAGGUAGAACACAUUGUGUAUAGGCUAUGGAAGGAAUAAAGACUUUUGAUGGCUUCCUGUACGUGACAUAUCAAAUGCGUUUGAUCCUUGUGUAGCUGCUCUUCCUUUCGUUCAUGCAUUCAGUGGAUGUGACACUUUGUCGAAUUGUCGUGGAAAAGGGAAUUGGUCUUCUUGGCCCACAAUGGAAGGUUUUUCAAAUGUAAAGGCCGGUUUUUUUUGCUAAAAUAUGAAGCGAGUCACGAUGUGAAUUGUUUGCCAGGAAGCAGCGGCACUGUGAUGCAAUUCCGCCUACAUGAGGUUCUUUUCCAGAGCACAUAAAAAAAGAAGUAAAUCAAGGAGGAGUUGUUUUGGUUCAGCCUGAUUCGUGUAUUCGACAGGUACAUGUACCAAGUCAUGAACACUGGGGUUGGAUGAAAUAAACAAUCAAUGACAGUUGGAAACCGAAAUGGACUUCUGUGACUGCCGUUGCAUCCUUGUGUCAGGAACUUUUGAAAUACGGAGGCAAAAAUCCAGCUGUGUUGGUAACUGUAAAUGCUACCGUUCUGGCCUUCCUUGUACGGGUUGUUGUAUAGGCAACUGUCAGAUAAUUAUAAGAUAAGCAACCUGUUUUUCUAACCAAACUUGGCAUUUAAACUUAACAAAGAGUGCUAUCAAUUGUUAAGUUGGUGGAAAUUAUAAAAAUAUUUUCUACGUAUUUGCCUCCAUUUUGGAACCGGAAAUCACAAGUUUUUUUCAUUUGUGUGUUGUUUUGUCGUACUUAGGAACUGUUUUUAACGUUUUAUCAUAACUUACAUUUUAUUAUAUUUGAUUAUACCUAUAACACAUCUUUCAAGGAUUUACAUCCCUUGUGAAGUUGCUUGAAAGUAUAAGAAUUGAAAUUUUUGACUUUUUUGCCGGCAUUUUAAAACCGGAAGUCACCUUUAGUUUCAUUAAUGUAUUUUCUUGUCGUAUUUACUUUUUAUCAAAUCUAACAUUGAAUUUAAAUAUAACACACCUUUCAAAGAAUUAACGAGUUAUUGCCAAUUUAUAAUGACGCCAUUUCUAAAAUGUGUGGUGGCCAUCUUGAAAUUUUUUUUCUUUUUUUCUGGCCAGCAGCGGAUUUUUUAUAAGUAUCAUUUAGUCAACCUUUAUACCAAAUUUCAUGCUUGUAUCACGAUUUGCACAAUUAUGUCCAUAAUAUCUCCCACUAUUAUUCGUUAUCUUGAUUGUUUUGAAACUAUUGCAGUUUAAAAAAAAUUGUAAUUCACAUGGUUAAGGAAGGGUUCAUAAAUCUUAACCUGACAAAGUAUGUUAUUGCCAAAAGUAAGCUUUUCGGGAUAUCUGUACAAAUACUUAAGGUUUAUGAACCCUGUUCUGCGGUCUAUAAAUUACGAAUUUUUCAUACUACAAUAGUAUCAAAAUUGCAAAGAUAACGAAUAAUAGAUAUGGGUAAUUUUGUACAUAUACCAGGGGGAAACUUCGUGCAAAGCGUUAUUAAUCAUUGCUUCAUUGGUUUAUCGAAAAAAGGGGGAAUUUGGUGAAAAUAAAAGCAAGAUUUUUGUAGAAAAUCCACAGACCUUAAUACAGAGAAUUUUGUUAUAAAAUUUUAAACGCAGAUUACUUACUUGUUUUUUUUUAUGAUUUGCUAGCUUUUAAUGUUUUCAAAAAGUCCUCAGCAACCUUUAAAUUCCAAAACACCUCGCGCUGAGUCAAUUCGAGCGCACCCUAAAAGGUGUAUUUGGUCUGUAUUUAUAUAUCAUUUAACCAAUGUCUAAAUUUAUAAACUUGUCCUAAGGACAACAUUGCUAGCACAGCAUGCAAUAAUCCUCUAUCUAUCAGACAUCGAAUUGCCAAAUAUGAGAGUAAAAGGGGAAAGACUGUGGAUAUCAUUUUCUAUAAAAUUUCCAUAUAAUUAGCAUUGAAUCGACACAAGGGUAUAUAAUCCAUCAUGUAACCUAUUCAAUAAAAAGGUAAAAACAUUGGGCAUGUAAUAAAUCGAAUAAACCAAAGCUUAUAAUGUCUUUAACGUUAAUAAUUAAUCGAAUGGCACAGAUAAAUAACCGAAGAUACAACAAAAUAUUUACCUAUAGUUUGUAACAACGCUCAGGUAUUCGACCAGGAAGAUAUUCACAGGUAAAGAGUUACAUACCGUUGAUUAUUGUCAAGUAUUUAAACGCGGGAGAUUUUAAAUUUCAUUACACUGUGUAUAAAUUGUUGCUUCACUGUAACAGAAAAAGAAAAGAAAAACAAGAACAAAUAGACAAAUGUGCAUACUGAUUCCGUUUUCAAUGCGCAUGUAUUAUGUUUCCACUUUAUAUCAGCAAUGACUAUUUAAGUGUCUUAAACACCAAUAAUAUCUCUAUCAUUUAACUCACGCACUUAUUUUUAAAGUUUUAUCUAUAUUUAAUUUGCCCCUUAAAACUUCGUCAUUUUCUUUUCAUUGCAUUGCAAAAAAUGUAUGAUUUUAUAAUCAACAAAAAGUAUAUCAAAUAUACCGAACUCCAAUGUAUCUGUAAUGUAUAUAAGGUCUUGGUACUUUCUCAUGAGUAAAGGACGAGACGUUCUUUGACAAAACCCUGGCAUAUUGAUAUUUUGCUCAGACAUCUAUGACGUUUUACAAAGUCUGACUAGCAGCUGCAAACUCUUGAAUAUCGUAUGAUUUGAGAAAUGUAUACUCCAUACGCGGAUGAAGUUGGUAUGUUGCAGCUAAGGAGACUGAAAUUUUAUAUGACAUGAAGUAUCAUUGAUAUGGUCAUACUUAUAAAUUUUUUGAAAUACUAAGGUUUUUCUUCCUCAGGAAUAGAUCCUAAGCUGCAUUUGCAACACUUUAAGGAAUUUCGGUCCUAGCUCUUCAACUUCGUACCUUAUUUGGUCUUUUUAACUUUUUUGGAUUUGAGCGUCUUUUGUAGACGAAAUGCGUGUCUGGCGUCAAUACAAUAUUUUAUCCUGGUAUCUAUGAUGAGUUUAUUUACAACCACCGGGUCGAAGACAGGGCUGGUGGAGUUUUAAUUCCCCGGGAAUAUCACCAGACUAGUAGUCAGAACCUCUGUGUUGACAUGAAUUAUCAUUGAUAUGGUCAUAUUCAUUAUAUGAAACGCGCGUCUGGCUUAUAUACAAAAUUUAAUCCUGGUACUAGUAUUUACGAUCUGUUAAUCUUUAAUUUCAAAAAUGAAAUGAAUUUAAUUAAUCCCUUACAUUUUUGUAGUGAUUAUGCAUAAUUUCAGAAAUUUUAAUAAUUAUGUGACCAGUGGUUCUACAUAAUCCCUGAAAAUGUUAUGGAUUAUACAGAGACAGCAAACCGCGACUCAUCAGAAGACACCACGCCAAAAAACGCUUUUGAGAUAUGACAUUAUAUAAUCAUCGACUAUGUGCCGUACUUGGUAAAAUAGAAAAAUAAUGUCAUUGUCAGAAAAAUAUCAACUGAUUGAAAGAGGAUUAGAAAAUUGGAAAAGGCAAGGUCAAGCGAGCAAUUCAACUGUUUCGUGCGGAAUACAAGAAAGAAAUAUAUAUCAGCGGCGGAUCUAGAAAUUUUCAUAAAUGGGGGCCCGUUGACUGCCUAAGAGGGGGCCCGCUCCAGUCAUGCUUCAGUGAUUCCAUAUAUAAGAAACCAAUUUUUUCAUAGAUAAGGGGAGGGGGGCAGGGCCCCUGCCCCCUAAAUCCACAUCUGUAUAGUAUCUUACACUGACCUAAUAUUGUUUAAAAUAAAGUUGCAUCUAAGAUAGAUACAAGUAUACAUAUUAUAGUUGUGAAUAUGUUCAUGGUUUUCCAAUUUGUAUUUUGACUGCAAGACAUAAUAUACAAAACAUUGUUAUGCCGACUAUGCGGUAUGGGCUUUGCUCAUGGUUGAAGGCCGUACGAUUACAUAUAGUUGUUAUUUUCUCUGUCAAUUUGUCUCUUGUUGAGAAUUGAACUUGUCUCUUUGGCAAUCAAAUCACAUCUUUUUAUUUUCAUAUAUAGGGUGUUUCUAAAUACAUUUUUCUAGGGAGGAAGUAAGUGGGCUUGUGGUUUGCUAUGUAAAGAUAUCUAUGCAUAAUGAAUUUACUUGGGAAUUAUCUAUUAUAGUUGAUUGAUGAAUUAUAGUGUUAAUUAGUAUCAGCAAAUGAAAAGGAUAAACAUUACUAAUUUAAAAACAUCCACAACAAUAUGAAAAAAAACCAUGUAAAAUCUUGUACGAAGCAAAACUAACUUCGAUAUAAAAAGUAAAAUCACAAAAAUACUGAACUUGAUUUUGCAGGUUUCUUGUAGCAUAUGUUAAGUUUGUAUUUUAAGAGACAUGCAGUCCUUUCAAUUCUCGCGCUUGGGUUCAAUUAUGAAUGGUGAUAUCUGUUGGUCAGGCCACGAAUAAUGCUAUGUGUCUUACAUCGGCGACCUAUGUAGGAAUUACCAGGCAUGACUACAUUAUCUGUCACUUUGAAUUGACAAAUAUUAACAUUAACAUUCCGUCUAUAUGCAUAUACCUCUAACGUGUACUUUUCAUAUCAAUUUUAAAUCAUUAUAAAUGUAAAAUUGAGUUACAUAUUUAGCUAGCAAUAGAAAAUUAAGUUUAAACUAAUAUGUGACUAGCAAAAAAUGUAGCCCGAUGUUAGAACAUUCGAUUUGAUAAAAAUUGUGCUCACACGGGUGGUUGAAUGAUUAUGAUAUGUAUCUGAUAUAAAAAGAGUACUUGUGAGUAAAGAACAUAUCUAUCUGAAAAUUUGUCUUUUCGUACAAUAAGCGCAAUAUAUCUCGGCAGAUUAAAUAUUUCUACUCAAUAAAGUUGACAAGAGUAUAACUGGAAUCGUUGCGCUUUUUAUUUUAGAAAAAGACCUAAAAAAUGAAGAAUACUUUUAUUAUUUAUAUCAAUAUUAUAAAAUGUAUAAAAUGUAAGUUCUUUUUGACGGAAAAAAAAAAAGAAAAGUCUUGAUAUAGUCGUAGUUCGUUAUAUACAAUGAAAUCUGAGGAAAACGUAAAGUCAUAUCGGAAACUGAAAAAUAUGUAUGCAAAAACAAGUUAUAAGCAAUAAUUGUAUCUUAAUAACAAUUAAUUGGAGAGUUACACAUACAAACUUUUUCAAUACACGAAUCAAUAGUAGUCUUCAUUAACACAAUUAGAGAUAGACGGCUUAAAGAGUCAUUCACUUGAAGUUGAACUGUAAUUUGACUACAAGUUCUUAGUCGGUGUGACACUCGGAAGACACUUGAAAUAUGACGGAAAGGGAUAAUUACAUAUAGGACAUCACUUUAAAUUCGUCACAGAUCAUAACUAUGACCCCUUUUAAAACAAAUCAUUUUCUUAAGGAUAAAUCUAUAGCCAUCCCUAAAUCUUCUGUCAAUAAAUGCAUAUAUAAUAGGAUUCACUACAUUGUUUAUGGCGAAUGACCUGGAUACUAUUGGCAACACAGCGGACACAACAGGACCUGGUGCAAACAGGAAUUUACCUUUCAAUGCCGUCAAUAAAGAUAUCGUCAAAUGCGGCAGGUAACUCAAUAUGAAGGCGAGACUGACGGCAAAUGCGAUUUUAGUUAGUUUCUUCGAUGCCAUGUCUUCUUUUGUUGAUUUUGUUUUAUCUUUGAUGGUUGACUUUUUCUUGUUCAAUAGUUUCUUUUCACUGUGUUCCUUUUUGUCCUUUUUGUCCUCGAAAACCUCAUUUUCGUAUUGCUGAAAUGUAUUUAAAUGGUGUUGCUCAUUGGAAAGUGUUGUAUCAGACGUUGACUUAGACGAUGACACAUUAGAGAAUUUCCGCCUAAACUGGAUGUGUGCGCAAAGUUUUCGUCCAAUUAACGAGUAUAUUACAAUCAACGAUACCAUACAGAUAAUAAAAAUUAGAAACAAUGUUCCACCGUACACAGUUGGGUAAAUUGUUUUUGCAAAUUGAUCCGAAAGCGAGCAAUCAAAUCCUGUGAUAUUGAAUUCUCCGAGUUUUACAUGUCUUAUUCCACUGAUAAAGAAGUUCGGCCACGAGAACAUGAAUGAUAAACAGACACUAAAAAAGAUGAUUAUCGUAGCAUGGUGAGAAGUCAUUUGAAGUUUUAAUGGCGUAAACACACGUCGAUAUCGAUCGCCUGAUAGUCCCAUUAAAAUAAAGAUCGACGACAGUGCAAAAAGGUUGUUACAGGCGCGAAAAAAUUUACAUGCCCACAUGUUGUAAAACGUAUAUUGAAAUCGCAUCUCUGUUAUCUCAAAAGGCAGAGUUACAGCACAGACAAAUAAAUCUGAAAGUGCCAGACCAAUGAUAAACGUACGGUGAGUACUCUUCUGAAAUCUCAUGGGAUAAACAAUCAGAACCAAAACAUUGCCUGGUAUUCCAAUUAACAUUAGAAGUACAAGAUAGAUCAUUGGUGCCAGUCUUCGUAAAGCUUCUUCAUCAUUGUAAUCCUGUAAAGUUUUGUUUAAGUCGAGAUCUGUUAUGUUGGUUAAAUUAUAGUCAGUGAUUGUUGUUGAAUUAUCCAUGAUUUGUGAUUACAACUGUACUGUAUAUUAUACACAUAAAAUAAGAUGUCCAAACUGUCACUAAGAAAUUUUUUUCUUGGAUAUUUCUUUCUUUUAAGACUACGUUAUAACGUCAAUAAAUGUAAACAUUUAUGAAUGGACAUACACAAGACUAAGUUAAUAGUAUCCAUUUAUGGCGCAUUGUCAAACUUAUAAGCGGAUGACAACAAUUAAAACAAUCCCAAGUGGAAGGAUGAUAGUUAGAAUUAGUAAAUUUUCCGAUGAGGAAGUCACUUGUUAUAUGUACGCAUUUGCCAUAGUUUGAUUAUAUAAUGAAGGAAAUAAAUUAAAAUUGAAUUAUCUAGUGUGUUUACUGUAGCUAUUAACAAUUGAAGGAAAAUGGCAUUCAUAAAACACAAGAGUAGAAUGGGACAAAUAAUACAAAAAGUUCUUAUAGAAAUAUAACGAAAAUCGUCAUUGUACGUAUCAUUUGUAGAACACAAAAUAACAAGAAUGUGUCCUCAGUACACGAAUGCCCCACUCGCACUAUUAUUCUAUGUUCAGUGGACCAUGAAAUUGGGGUAAAAUCUCUAAUUUAGCAUUAAAAUUAGAAAGAUCAUAUCAUAGGGAACAUGUGUACCAAGUUUGAAGUCGAUUGACUUCAACUUCAUCAAAAAUACCUUACCAAAAACUUUAACCUGAAGCGGGACAGACGGACGAACGAACGAACGAACGGACGGACGGACGAACGAACGGACGCACAGACCAGAAAACAUAAUGCCCCUCUACUAUCGUAGGUGGGGCAUAAAAACUAUGACAAUGAUUGUUUAGGAGACAGAAGUUGGUCUUUUGUUGUUGCUUGCUUAUUGAAAUACACAUCUUUUUUUACUAGCUCAAUCAUGAAACACUGAUAGUUGAUCAACAAUCCAUGGAAAUUGGGUAAAGUUUUGGGUGCUUCAAAGAGGGAAGUUUUUUGUAUAGUAUUCCCACGAGCACAGCUUAUCCAUCAAUGUUAGUACAUUUGUAACUUUCACCUUGAUCACUAAUCCAUGAAAUGAUGUCGAGGACAGGACAUCUACAAUGUGAGCAGCCGUAUUUCGGAGUAUAGACAAAAUAUAACACCGUGACAUCUACAACAUUUUCGUGUUGGUAAUUAGACCAUAGACAUUCCUAUAGGUACCAACUGUGCCGUUCAUAUUCGUCAUACGCCUCUUACUUCACUCUGUUAUUUCGACAUUGUCCUGUAAUCAAAUUAAGACGAAACGCGCGUCUGGCGUAUAUCUAUGAUGAGUUUAUUCAUUCACUCAAUAAUUCAAACUGGUGUGUAUGUUGACUGCAUCUAUACCAUUGAACUUGAAACACAUGAUAAUUAUAUCACUUUCAACUAAGUCUGCUUCAUAACUUAACCUAUAUCUAGUAAUUUAUAAUGAGGAUUAGUUGUGAACCAAACUUUUAAAUUUUCCCAUUGUGAACUACUCUUUUCAUAACAGCAACAUUUCAGCAACAACUGCAUGUACAAUGUGGAGAACAGGUUAUUUCUGAACCUGCUGGUUACCUAUGAUAAUUUCCUUGAUAGAGGGUAACUUCUUACGAGAAAGCUAUUCAAGUUCAAAAUGGUAAAGAUGAAGUUAUUCUCCUGAAAAUUUACAUCAUCAAGAUGUGUGUGGCUAUUACGAAACAUGUGGGUCACAGAUGACUAUAGACCUUUUUAAUUUGUUGUCAUCUGCAUGUUUUUUCUAUUACAGAAUGAGAUGUAAAACCAUUCAAGAAAAGAAUAUUUCACUAUCAUUACCGUAUAAAACUUUUACUUUAAGAGCUCUCCCCUUGAAAGGUCAUGUUGAACAAUUGAUUCUAAAAACCCAAACAUUUGGUAUUUGUUUAAACCUUAUAUUUAUGGACGAAAUCUUAUUUUUCAGUACACAAAUCAAUAGUAUUACACACAAAUUGCAAAUCUGUCUCAAAAUUUGCAGAAUUAGGCAAAAAAUUACACCAAAUAUGUACUGCUAUUCAGCCUAUUGUACAAUCCAAGAUGGUGGUAAACAGUGAAUCUACCAUAAGGAAGCUAGAAAGAAACACAAAAUCUGACAGAAAAACUUGCAAUCCUAGUCAAUUAAGAUUGGAUUCAAGGACAACUACCACAAACGAUGUUUUAACUCACAAUGUCAGUUGACAGACAAAUGAUCACAAGAUGAACUACUAUAAGCACUUAGCCUCUAAUGUCCCAAUUUUUCUUAGAAAAAAGUCAACAGUCAAUAAUACUAUGAAUUAAACAAACAAAUUGAAAACAAUAAUUUAUUUUUAUUUUUACUGUGAUGAAAAUGCAUACAAAGCAUGUUUGUAAUUUCUAAAUGAGAUCAAUAUCUUGUACUUAAUGUUAUUGUGAUAGCACACAUUCCCUAAUGUGUUCAAAAUCAUAUUAUGCAGUAAAAUGACUUCUAAUAAAUAACAACUCAUUUAUAAUGCUUAUAUGGAUAAAUUUAUAUUGCUGUAUACACACACAUAUUCUGUUCCUAGAUACACAUGAGAAUGUCAACCUUUGAAAAAAAAACUUUGUUUUAAAACAGGAAUAGAAAUAGAAAUAGAAAAUAUGGGACAAAAUUGUCAAAUUUCAUAGCAAUGAUGAAUUUUGAUCGUUAAAACAUACAAUUAUUCUUAUAGAACCUUAGAUAAUGUUGACCCUUUCAUGAUUGAACAUUUUUUAGAUAUCAAACAUGAAUUACAACUAUAUGCAGAUUUUCAUGAAAACAUAAAAAGUUGAAAAAAAAUCAGCCUUCCAUUUACAGAUAUCGAUGCAGGUCUUAGGUAAAGAAAAUGAACUAAAAACAAGACUUAAAAAUCUGGAGUACACAUUCUAUUGCAUAAAUAGUAUAUAUAUUAUCUCAAACAUUGAAUAAAUUUACAUCAAGUUUCUUGUAAGUGGUUGUUAAUUUAGUAAAAACAUGGCAUUUGAUGUGUUGAGAACCGUGAGAAAGCCUUCAUGAAUGAGGCUCUAUUAGGAAGACAUUUACGUAGCAGAUAAUGUUUAUAAAUUGCUUCUCUGGCAUACAACUAAUAAUAGGUUGUCUCAUACAUGUAUGGAUUUAGAAACAACAUAAAUUGCAGCAAUUUAAAUAAUGGUUCAUCUUAUUCAGGACUGGUGAAACAAACAAACAAACAAAAUAGUAAAACCUAUCUCAAUCAAAUUAGGAGACUGAAUAAAAAUAACUAUCUGCUAUAUAAAACAAAACAUAAUCAAAUUUUUGGAGCUGUGUUUUUGGAGUAAAAAGAGAAAAAACUUUCAUGUUUAACACUUUUUUCCUUAAUAAUUUUUACUCUUUUACUAUUUAUGUAAAUUACUUUAAAACAAACUUUUAAAAAAUAAUGCUAUGUUUAAGUUAUCAAAUUAAUUUGAUAUGAAUAAGUUAAUUUCAAAAUUCUACAAAAUUAUAUAACAGAUCUACGUGCAAAAUAUUUACAAUUCCAAUUUGGAAUAGUGAGUAUUCUUAUCAAUUAUUCAUAAAGCCUUUAGCAUUACAUCAGAAUGAAACAUUAACAAUGAAAAGUGUUAUAACUUAUAAGCAAAUGCUAUGUGAUUUCACUUAUAUUCUGGGUUGUUUUUCUUUUUAAAUGUACACCAAUAAAUUUUUCUAGAUACAUGUUUCUAAGAAAAUUUCAUCAUAAGAAGCUAUUUCAAAAUUUUAAAACCAUUUUCUUCUAUUAUGAAUAUAUAAUUUUGAAAUUAUUCAUUUAAAAAAAUGAUUCAUUUGAACUAUAAAGUCGUAAUGCUACUUGUAAAUUUGUACUGAAAAUCUCAUCCUUACUCUCAUCUGCAAAAAAUCUUUUAAUUGAUAUAUAAUUGUCAAUCCUGGAACAAUGUCUGAAUAACAUGAAAACUUGAAUGCAGCACAUAUAAUAAAUAACAUUUUGGCAAAAAAAAAUAUAUUUUAAAUCAAGUUAACUUAAUUUUAGAUAUAUCUCAUUAAGGAAACGUUAAGACUAUAUGGUAGAGAGGGGACAGACCAAGAAAAUACUAAGUGGUCUAAAUGAACCAAUCAAAUGGUUGUUCUGUAUGACCACUUAAAUGGUUGACUCAAUUUCUUUGUAGAAACCUUGAAAUUGCUUCCUUAUUUCAAGAAUCACUUAACAAUAUAAGCACCAGAAUAAAAUAACUAAGUAAUAAUUGAGAUCACAGAUUUAGUACCCUUUAAAACAAUAAAAUAAAAUGCUCAACAUACUUGUGUAGUAUUCUGUUUAAAACUAUCAUCUCUUUGAAGAUUAAAAAUAUAUCAUUUGUAAAAUUGGAAUGAAUGCUAAAAAUUAACAUUGUAUUUGGAAUGUAAUUAACUGUUCUACAAAUUACACAAUAACACACAUUACCCAUACAUCCAAUUAAAACAAAACAAACACACUGUGUAAUACUGAUAUCUCAAGGAAAAUGCUGUGUGAAAUCUACCUAAUUUGCAUUUGAUUUGAAAAAAAUAUCUUUCAUUUUAGGCACAAACUAUAUUACAUUUGCACCAAAAUAAAAAUUUGCAAUUGUGUCAAUAAUCAUUGAAAUAUGUCUGCAUUCUAUAUAUUCAGCAAGAUGUAGAUUAAACAUUAUAUUAAAUUAAUAUACAUUUUCAAGUCAAUCCUCAUAUUUUGCUGCACAAAAAUUCAAAUUUUCAUACAAAAAAAUACAGUAUCCUUGUAAACAACUUUUCCACAGCGAAACAAUAAAAAAUUGGCAAACUUGGAUUUUGCAUUGAUUACCUAUAUGGGAAUAUCACUUUAUAUACAGACUAUCAUACUGCAUCAUAUUUUUAAAUAUGUACUGCUAACAAGCUUUAAAUACACAGCUAGAUCUUCAGCAACAAUAGUAAACAAGUUGCAUGCAUUGUCAUGCUUAAUGGAUGGCUCCAUUUGUUAUUCAAAGUAUCAGAACACUUGAAAAAGAUGUCAGACAAAAAGCUCUGACAAAUUAUACUGUAUUACUGUCAAGCUGCUGACCACACAUGAAUUCAUUCUGUUCAGUGGUUUCAGAGAAAAAAGUUAGGAAAAUGUUCAUUCAAACUCAAUAUAUAGGCAUUCCAGCUUAAAUUGCUUAAGUUCAAAAAGAAAUAGCAAAAAGGUGUUAUUCAUUAGUUAUCUGCAUUAAAUGCAAAAUGACUUUCAUUACCCAAAUUUUGAAUAAUUUUAAGAUGCAUCCACUUUCCAUUUUUGUUUCAUUUUUUUUUAGUUGCAUGCAGAUCUANNNNNNNNNNNNNNNNNNNNNNNNNNNNNNNNNNNNNNNNNNNNNNNNNNNNNNNNNNNNNNNNNNNNNNNNNNNNNNNNNNNNNNNNNNNNNNNNNNNNNNNNNNNNNNNNNNNNNNNNNNNNNNNNNNNNNNNNNNNNNNNNNNNNNNNNNNNNNNNNNNNNNNNNNNNNNNNNNNNNNNNNNNNNNNNNNNNNNNNNNNNNNNNNNNNNNNNNNNNNNNNNNNNNNNNNNNNNNNNNNNNNNNNNNNNNNNNNNNNNNNNNNNNNNNNNNNNNNNNNNNNNNNNNNNNNNNNNNNNNNNNNNNNNNNNNNNNNNNNNNNNNNNNNNNNNNNNNNNNNNNNNNNNNNNNNNNNNNNNNNNNNNNNNNNNNNNNNNNNNNNNNNNNNNNNNNNNNNNNNNNNNNNNNNNNNNNNNNNNNNNNNNNNNNNNNNNNNNNNNNNNNNNNNNNNNNNNNNNNNNNNNNNNNNNNNNNNNNNNNNNNNNNNNNNNNNNNNNNNNNNNNNNNNNNNNNNNNNNNNNNNNNNNNNNNNNNNNNNNNNNNNNNNNNNNNNNNNNNNNNNNNNNNNNNNNNNNNNNNNNNNNNNNNNNNNNNNNNNNNNNNNNNNNNNNNNNNNNNNNNNNNNNNNNNNNNNNNNNNNNNNNNNNNNNNNNNNNNNNNNNNNNNNNNNNNNNNNNNNNNNNNNNNNNNNNNNNNNNNNNNNNNNNNNNNNNNNNNNNNNNNNNNNNNNNNNNNNNNNNNNNNNNNNNNNNNNNNNNNNNNNNNNNNNNNNNNNNNNNNNNNNNNNNNNNNNNNNNNNNNNNNNNNNNNNNNNNNNNNNNNNNNNNNNNNNNNNNNNNNNNNNNNNNNNNNNNNNNNNNNNNNNNNNNNNNNNNNNNNNNNNNNNNNNNNNNNNNNNNNNNNNNNNNNNNNNNNNNNNNNNNNNNNNNNNNNNNNNNNNNNNNNNNNNNNNNNNNNNNNNNNNNNNNNNNNNNNNNNNNNNNNNNNNNNNNNNNNNNNNCAAAAAAGGGAACUUAGUUUUUGAUAUACUAGAUAUGAAAAUUUUUCAUGUUAUUACACUAUUAUAUUGAAUAUUGGAUGCGUACUGAUCGAUAUUGAAGACUUAGAUACAUGAUGAUUUCACUAGUCUGAAUACUUUUAGUAACUAUGGGUACAGUUAGUGAUCGGACUAACCUGAUAAGUACUUUAUUCAAUCAAAAGUAAACUUUUCCAGUUAUCUAUUCCAAGUCUUAACCAAACACAUCCGGUAACCCAUUCAAUGAAAAGAUAAAUAUAUUGUGCUUGUUUUUGACCAAACUGUCGGAAUCCGUUUUAUCGUCUAUUGAAUAUGCGUUUCACAGAUGAUAUCGGAUAUGUUUCUUUUGUCGUAUCUACUAUCCCGUUCCCAUUUCACGAAUGUGACCUACCGAAUUUGUCUAUUUACCGGGUUUGUAAUAACAUGAGCAACACGACGGGUGCCAUAUGUAACGCCGGAUCUGGUUACUCUUCCGGAGCACAUGAGAUCACUACCAGUUUUUGGUGGGGUUCGUGUUGAUUAGUCUUUAGUUUUCUAUGUUAUGUCUUGUGUACUAUUAUUUGUCUGUUUGUCUUUGUAUUUUUUAGCCAUGGCAUUGUCUGUUUAUUUUUUGAACUAGGAGUUUGACUGUUCCUCUAAAUGUCCAGAAUGUCUUAACACGUAAUAAUUGAUGGAAUGUAACAGAUAAAUAACCGAAGACAAACAAAUAUUUACCUGUAGUCUGUAACAACGACCAAGUAUUCGACCAGGAAGUUAAAGACAGGUAAAGAGUUACAUAACGUUGAUUAUUGUCAAGUAUUUAAACGCGGGAGAUUUUUAAUUUCCGUGCAAUAAUUCUGUGUUUGAAAUUCUCUCAAUUAUAAAAGAAUAUUUGCUUUUGUAUAGUUCCCUAGUUACUUUGCGUUUUGUCCUUUCAUAUCGAGUAAAGGUUUGCUAAGUAGAAGUUUUUACAUGACUAUAAAACGAAACAUUUAUUUCACACUGCAAUGAAAAUAAAACGAUGAAUACUUCUUAAGAGCAAAUUGAAUACAAAUAAAACAUUAGAAAAUGAGUACGUAAUUUAAAUGAUAGAGCUAUUAAUUGGUGUUUAAGACACUUAAAAUAGUUAUUGCUGGUACAACAUCGAAAUUAAUACAUUGCACAUUGGAAAGGGAAUCGGUAUGCAACAUAUAUCUUUUUGUUCUUGUUUUUCUUUUCUUUAAUGAUGAGAUUAUCUAAUAUGAGUCAGAAUUUUCAAGCUGUUUUAAAAAAAAAAUAUUCAUUAUGUCUGAUUAUGGUAUAAUAAAAAGAAUAUUUGUUGAAAACAGUUUAUAAAUUUCAGAUAAGGAAAGAGUCAAAGUGUGUAAAAGAUAAAGUAUGCACUCACAAUUUAGGAAUUAGGUACAGUGUUCAUUAAUUUUGCACGGUUCUUGUACCGUUUGUUUUAUAAGAAACAGGAAGUUCUUGCAAUUCAUGAGCUUGAUUUCAAGUAUGGUGAGGGGAUAUCUGUUGGUCAGGCUAUUUCUAUAUAAUUUCUAUCCCUUUUAGAUUUACAUAUUUUAACAUUAAUGUUCCGUCUAGAUGCACACACUUUGUUGUGAACCUACAAGUCAUCUAAGUCUUAAGGGCAUACGAUACAGUUGAUCCGUAUUUAAAUUUUGAUGAAAAUUGCAUGUAGCUAUUUUUACUGAAUUAUCAAAUAUUUUAUAUAAAUACACGUCAUGUGCUACUUUUUGGGUAAAUUGAUUUCAAUUUCAGAUAUUUCUAAAAAAUACGGAUUGUUGAGCAUUUUCCUUUCGAUAGAAUACAUUACUUUUUUGUUUUAAAAGGUAAACCGAUCUGUUUUUGUUAAUUAUUUGGUAAUUUAUUGUGUAUAAAUAUGCAUAAAUUUGUACAUUCAUUUUAAAAAUAACUCAAGUUUAACAAAUGAUUAUAAAUGUAGGCAGAAAGCGUAAUUUUUGCUGUAUAUUAAUCAAAUUUUAAAAAAUUGAACUAUUUACGUUUUCAUGAAAAUUGGUACACAUAAUCUUUUUAUGUAAACAAACCAAAUGUCUGUUUAAAAAAUAGGGGUCCAUGAUCUCAUUUUCAAGUUAAAUCAGUUUGAAUGAUAAAAAUCAGCCGAAAACUGCAUCUUUGUUUUUUGUUAAAUUAUUUUUGUAAUUUGAUUGUGUUAUACAAAUACUUCUUACAAUGAUUACGAAUGUCGAGAAAAAGUAUUUUCUGUAUAUUUCAAUUUAAAAAAUUGCACUAUUUCUUUCAUGAAAUGGAACACAUAAUCUUUUUACGUAAAACCAAAUGUCGUUAAAAAAUAGGUCCAUGACUAAUUUCAAAUUAAAUCUAUUUGAAUGAUAAAAAUCAGCCGAAACUUCACUCUUUCGAUAAAGUCACCGUUUGAGUCGCGAAAAUCAAUUUCGUUAGCACGUCAUUACCUCCCCUAUAUGAAAACUUGGCUUUUCGUAUAAACUGGGAAACCAUAAGUGUAAUGAAUAUGCCUCGGCAGAUUAAAUGUUUCUACUCAAGAAUGGCGAAUUGACAAUUAUGGUUGACUUGAAAUCGUCGUGUUUGUCAUUGAUUCUGUUUUAGUUAUCAAACUUGUCAUUGACAGUUUUGAUUUUAGAAAAAAAAAAGUCAAAAUGGAGGUCAGUUUUAUUUCAUUUUUGUUUAAAUAUAUAUAAAAUGUAAGUUUUUUCUGAAGAAAAGAAAAAAAAGAAAAGUCUUUAUAUGGUGGUAGUCCAUUAUAUGGUCAAAGGACACAGUUAUCGUCCUUUGGGUUUCGUUGUUUACGAAUACAGUCCCUAGUGUGAACAUGGUACAUAACUUGCAUUUUUUAUUUGAUACACUUUCCUAAUUUAUUUCUUAAUAUUUAAUGCAUAAAAUAUUAAGAGGGGGGAUAAAAUUACAUGUUAAAAAAAUGUGGGUGCUAAAUCAUUAUGUUAAUUAGUGAUUUGGUCCAGUUAAAAAAAGGUCAUAUUUUAUUACGUCUGAAGCUGUCAAACUGAAUUUUACAUCCCCUUAACACAGAAUUGUCAAUAUUUUGAGUUAGAGCUGGUAGAAGUUUCUAUGAUUUUGAUAUUAUUUGUCUCACUGGUAGUAUACUACACUGUAAAAUCUAUUUGAGAAAGAGCAGGUGGGAUUUUUUAAAUUUGAAUUUAUUGUCUAAAAGAAAUGCACUACGAAAUAACUGUGUUCUCGGGCCAUAUACAAGGAAAUAUGGAGUAAUGUUAAGACUUUUGGAAACUGAAGCAUGUGUAUGCCAAAAAAUACUAGUAGUUACAAACAAUAAUUCUAUUUUAGUUACAAUUUAUUUGAGAGCUACAAAACAAAUACAAACUUUUACAAUAAUGGAAUCAAUAUUAAUCUUCAUUGACACUAUUAGAUAAACGGCUUGAAGAGUCAUUCACUUGAAGUUGAACUAUAAUUUGAUCACAAGUUUUUAAUCGGUGUAACACUCGGAAAACACUUUAAAAAUGACGGAAAGGGAUAAUUACUAUAGAACAUCACUUCAAAAAUUCGUCACAGAUUAUAACUAUGACUCUUUUUAAAACAAAUCAUUUUCUUAAAGAUAUAUCUAUAGCCAUCCCUAAAUCUUCUGUCAAUAAAUGCAUAUAUGAUAGGGUUCACUACAUUGUUUAUGGCGAAUGACCUGGAUACUAUUGGCAACACAGCAGACACAAUAGGACCUGGCGCAAAUAGGAAUUUACCUUUCAAUGCCGUCAAUAAAGAUAUUGUUAAAUGCGGCAGGUAGCUCAAAAUGAAGGCGAGACUGACGGCAAAUGCGAUUUUAGUUAGUUUCUUCGAUGCCAUGUCUUCUUUUGUUGAUUUUUUUCUAUCUUUGAUGGUUGACUUUUUCUUGUUCAAUAGUUUCUUUUCACUAUGUUCCUUUUUGUCCUUUUUGUCCUCGAAAACCUCAUUUUCGUAUUGCUGGGAAGUAUUUAAAUGGUGUUGCUCAUUGGAAAGUGUUGUAUCAGACGUUGACUUAGUCGAUGACACAUUAGAGAAUUUCCGCCUAAACUGGAUGUGUGCGCAAAGUUUUCGUCCAAUUAACGAGUAUAUUACAAUCAACGAUACCAUACAGAUAUAAAUUGAACAUGUUCCACCGACACAGUUGGGUAUAUGUUUUUGCAAAUUGAUCCGAAAGCGAGCAAUCAAAUCCUGUUAUUGAUUCCCGAGUUUUACAUGUCUUAUUCCACUGAUAAAGAAGUUCGGCCACGAGACAUGAAUGAUAAACAGACACUAAAAAGAUGAUUAUCGUAGCAUGGUGAGAAGUCAUUUGAAGUUUUAAUGGCGUAAACACACGUCGGUAUCGGUCGCUUGAUAGUCCCAUUAAAAUGAAGAUCGACGACAGUGCAAAAAGGUUGUUACAGGCGCGAAA
This 168892-nucleotide long non-coding RNA is filed under the name Mytilus galloprovincialis (Mediterranean mussel). The record is from RNAcentral. Lineage: Eukaryota; Metazoa; Mollusca; Bivalvia; Mytilida; Mytilidae.